Molecule: long non-coding RNA, 145002 nt
Filed under: Citrus maxima (pomelo)
Lineage: Eukaryota; Viridiplantae; Streptophyta; Magnoliopsida; Sapindales; Rutaceae
Description: long non-coding RNA (CMAX_LNC002383)
Source: RNAcentral
GUUCUAAAAGUGGAUGGUUGUUCAAGGAUAAUCCUGUGCUGAUCAGCUGGUUGUUGCUGUUCUUCCUGUUCUAUAACAGGUGUUGAAAGCCUGAGCAUCACCUGAUCUCUUUUAUUUCUCUAGUUUUACCUUACUCUUAGGUUAUAAGUCAUUAUUAGAGUCUUCCUCAAAGAAAGUAAAGAAUAUUUCUAUAAAUACAUUCCUAUCUUGAGGACUAUAAUUCAGACUUUCCCUUAUUCCUUUAAGAUACCUAAAACAUGCAAGCUUCCUGAACACGAAUCCAUCUUGUCUAUCUCUGAUUCUAGUAGAAAUACUAGUAAACUCCAAAUACGAAUGUGUCUCAAACCAUGUUUGUGACUUUUUCAUAAUUUCUUAGAGUAGUAGACACCGAGAUAGAUGAAACUAAGUUCAAUAAAUUUUGUAGUUUUAAAUACUAGUAUCUGGAAUCAAAAAAGGUAAAUGAUAAACCACUUAGUAUAUAUCUUGUCUUAUCCAAAAGAAUCUUGUUUUCUCCAUUUAAUUACACUAUUGUAUUCAUAGUGUUCAUUGACAACCAAAUAGUGCUUGAAUUCUCCAUAGAGAUAUUCUUUGUUUCGAUCAUAUCGAAGUUCUUUUAUGUUCCUGUCUAAUUGCUUCUGUCUUAUCCACGUACUCUUUUGAAUUUCAAAAGCAAUGGAAUCAUGACGCAUUUAGACAAAACAUAAAUAAAAUGAAUAUUCAUCAACAAGAUUGAUAGAAUACUCAUAACCUCUUAUAACAUGUAAACUGAUUAGUCCGUAUACAUUUGUAUGCGCUAAAUCAUCAAAUACAUAGUUAUGCUUUUAGCUCAAAAAAGAGCAUCCUUGUCAUAUUACUUUUCUAAAUAAGAUUUUAUAGAGUUACAAUGAUCAAUCUUAAUAGGCCAACAAGUCUAUCAUUAAUCAUUUUCUUAAAAUCUUAUUAUAGUUUAUAUGACUUAAGCAUAAUAUCAGAGGUGAUUUUUGGUUAGAAGAAACAUUUCUUUCUUAGAUAAAUGCAUAUACUUUUAUCAUUAUAUCUUACUUUGAAUAGAUCAAUGUACUUUUUAUGAUAUAAAUUGUCUUUAUAAAUAACCAAAAUAAGUAAUAAACAGAGGAUCCAAAAAUAACAGUGUACUCCUGUUUAUUAAAACAAGCCACGAAAUUAAAUUCCUCUAAUAUUUGGAAAAAUAAAGACAAAUAUCAAAACUAAAGUCUUGUAAAAUUGAUCUAGUCUUUCAAUUGAUAUAAACUAGCACAUCCUCAACUGCUAUUUGAAGCUUUCUUCACUUAAUCUCUUGGUUUCCUGAAAACCAAAUAAAUGAAUUACAAAUAAGAUUAGUUAUCUCAGAAUUCAUUAUUGUAUGAAUCAAUAGAAAUCUGAACUAAUUAGGAAGCUUAAAGAUUUCCUAUACCUGAUUUUAAUAAUCUUAGGACAAUCUUUCUUCCAGUGACCCUUCUGUCCACAUUUGUAACACUUGCCUUUUGGCUUGCCACUUCUUUUAAUGGACAGUUUGCCGAUCCCAACUCUUGCUUGCUCAUUCUUGUCUUUUGACUUAAGCCUUGAAGAGAAUCCUUUUUCAGGAAGUUUUCUGCUAUGAUAAAAUUCUUCUAUAGCAUGUAGUUCGUGCAUUAAUUCAAUUAAGGUCAUAUCUUUAUUGUUUAAGAUAUAGCUGACCUUAAACUCUUUGAAUGUAUCAGGUAAAGAUUCAAUCACCAUGUUAAUCUUUGAUUUAUCAUUGAUUUGAACACCAUGAAUCUACCUCAUUCAAAUAGUCCAUCAUUUUGAGGACAUGAUCACGAACUUUUGUGCCCUCUUCCAUCUAGUAUCCGUAAUACGUUUUAAUGCUGCUUCUCUGGCAAAAUGGGUAUUUUGCCCAAACAUCUGAUGAAGACUAGCCAUUAUUUCAGUGGCUGUUUCCAUGCUCCGAUGUUUCUUAUGCAGUUCCACAGAAAUCGAAGCCAAUAUAUAGCGCUUAGCCAUUUUGUUAGCUUCGCACCAUUUCUCUCAUAAGGCUCCCUCUGAUUUCUAUAAUCGUAUAACGAUGGUUCAGGAGGGCAAGGCUGGGUCAACACAUAUUUGCUUCCCUUAGCAGUGAGAAUAUUAAAUAGAUUGCGUUUCCAAUCUAAAUAAUUUUCGCCAGUGAGUUCAUUUUUAACAAGGAUAAAUAAUAAUGGGUUUGAUGGAAGACAUUUUCUGAAAAAAAAUAAAAUACACAUGCAUAAAUACUUUGAAACAAUAUUCACAAUAAAUGACAAAAAUGCAAAAAACCAUAAAUGCAUUUUAAUUUAUUGUAACGAUAAUCUAGUACCGCUUUGACAAGCUAUCCGUUGGGGAAGUCAUGUCUACACUUACUAGACCAAUUAUCCAUUGGAUUAUUUACUUUCAUGUAGAGACAUGAUAAAUAAUUAUCGUUAUCCCUUUGGACCUAAAUUUGUUAACAGAGCUUCGUUGGGAAGGUUAAUAACAAACUUUAGUUGAGUGUAUAACCAUUGUUUCAAUCUACGUAUUUUUCAUAUCAAUAGUCACCGUUGGGGUGAACAAUCGAUUGAAAAAUAUUUCAAUUUUAUCUUUGAAGAAGUUCAUCAAAUAAAAUAUCUAAUAUAUAUACCCUCCGAAGGGAGCAUCACCGUAUCAUGAAGUCGAGGUAUAUAUAUAAUUUUAUUAUUGAACUAACAAUGGAGCCCGUGGGAAAAAUUAUCUUGAAUUUUCCCUCUCCCACUCAAUAUUUUAAAAUUGGUUUUUCCUUUUUAAAACAUACAUAUUGUUAAUUGCAUGCUUCCUAUAAUAUUAUCUAGAUGAUAUCAAAUAUUAUUAAGCAUACGCAAAUUUCAAACAAUAUAAUGAAAUUCAUUAUUAAUGAAUGACAUGUAUUUAUGCAUAGAGUGGCACUACCUAUUCUAUAUGACAUGUUAUCAUGGCAUGUAUCAUCCAAAACAUAACAUAUAGAAAAACAAUUAAAUAAUCUUAAUUCAUGGCUUUCCUAAUAAUGAAAAAUACAUUAACCCUAAGCCUAAUCUUCAUUGGGCUUCUUGUCAAUGUCCAUCUUCCAUAAGCUUGUCUUUGUUAAUGGACUAGGGGAAAUUGGGCUUUUAAAUUUAUAAUUGGUCCAAUUUUAAUUUUGAAAAGAAAAAUAAUAAUAAUUAAUUUUUUUAUUUUAUUAAAAUAAAACUUUUGGACCAAAAAUAAAUUUAAUGUAUUUAAUUUUGUCUAUGCAUUUUUUAAUCCAUUAAGCCCAAUUGAAAUUGGGCCUAAAACUAGGAUUCUUUAAGCCCAAAACGGUUUUUGGACUUAAAUGCAAAAAAUUAAAAACGUUUCUGCCCAACUGAAAAAUAUGAAGCUAUAGGGACCUCCACGAUAAAAACCAUGGAACCCUAAAAUCACAUUUUCUUUUCCUCUUCUUCCCCAGCCGCCACCAGCACAAAAACCCAGCCGUUGUUUACUGUUUCCACACCGACAGCGUCAUCGACGCCGGAAAGACGCCAACCAGAACGCUCCGCCAGCUGCCUUCACUCGCGCGCCUCCAGCCACGUUCGCGGCUUGGGCGCUGCAGCUGCUGCUCGCGCGCUGCAGCUGUGUGUGCAGCGCUGGCAGCGUGUGCUGCUGGGCUGCGCUCGCAGCGCGCGCUGCUGCAGCGAGUGCUGCUGGCCCGUGUGCUGCUACUCUGGUUUUGUUGCCGCAGUUUCCAGCAAGUUUCCGCAUUUCCAGUAAUUAAUUUACAAAUUUCUUAGGCCAUUUUUGGCUUACAAAAUUCUAUAACAGUAAAUUAAAUCAAGAGGGAAACAUGGUGAGUAAAAACCACCCCUCUUGUUACAGAUCCAAACGAAAAUACAGUAGAAAAUCUAACCAUGAAUUAAGACAAACCAUAACAUGCUUUAUUCAUAUAUUAAACAAAUAAUAUAUAUCUGAAUAAAUUGUGCCACUCUAAUACAUAAAUUUCAAGAAUGAUUUCAUACGAAAUUCUUAUAUAUUAAUAUGAGACGGCUCUGAUACCAAUUGUUGGGGAAAAAUCAGGUUUUUAAAUUUUUAUAAAACCUUUUGAAGAUCGCUCUCAUAUAAUAUAUAGGAAUUCGUAUUCUAGAAAUCGUACCUUGUAAAUCUGAGUUUGCUUUUUCCGUUGAAGUGAUUUAGGCUCCUAGAUCACGAUCCGCCACCACCACUCCUGUUAGAUCACGAUCCGUCACCACCACGCUUGUUAGAUCACGAACUGUCACCAAUGAUCUUCCAGGUUAUGACUCAGGUUCGAUCUGCACUUGACGUGUGGGCGCCUUUAUCACUACCAAAGCAACUAGCACGAGAAAAUUUUUUCUCUCAACAAUAGAGAGAAAAAUCUUAUUCUCCGAUCUGUAUAAAGUGGCUUCCCUUUUUCCUUUUUGGGAAAAUAAGCCUUUAUAUAUCUCCCUUUAGUGAAAACCCUAGGCUCCAAGGAUUCCCCCAAAAUAAAACUCACGUUACUUUUCAUUUAAUAGGGGACCCACCAUGUAAAAUAACAUAAGGCCCCUUACACAUAAGCUUAUUAAAUGGAGCCUCCCACUAAAUGAUAUAUUUAGGCUUUUGACCCAAAUAGCUAGUUAUCUUGCUUAUUAGUCCAGCAGUGGUGCAAUCAAUUAAAUGAGCUAACCCGGGGAUCAUUUGGGAACAUACAAUAGUGGCUACAAUAAUUAGGCCUGUAAUUAAACUAGCCCAAUUAUUUAAUUCCAAAUCUACUCCACUAAAAGAUUGGAACUGACUUCCAUAAUUGUAUGCUCGAAUAAUAAUUCGUCCCAAGCCACAUUGAUUUCUUUACUGCACAAUCCUUUGUACCACAUCGUUAAUUAAAUUGAUAUCUCAACUGUCCAAUCAAUUUAAUAACAUCUUAUUCCUUGAUCCUUACUGGUUUUCUCUAAUGAUCAUUUUCAACAUACUAAAUAUGUUGACACACUCUGGCCAGAGAAUUCUAUGAUCAAGUACCGAAAACCUAUCAAGAGAUGUGUUGUACAAAUUCUAUAUUGUUAAUCCAUAACUCCAAUACUCAUAAUUGCUCCACCAAGAUACCGGGUAAUCUUGACCACAAGGAUGUGUCGUGUCCAUUGGUAACUCAAAUGAAAUAACAAUCACAAUCAUGAAAUCAUAAUUAACUCAAGAUUAAGAUUACAGUAAAAUCAACGCCUAUGAGAUUUAAUAAGUCUGACAGUUAUUACAAAGUUAAUUAAAUCUCAUAUGUGAUCCUGUUCAAUGUAGUCGUACUACAUCAAUAAAUUCAUACAUGAUUAAGACAAAUCAUUCAAUGAAUUUAUUACAGUCUAUACCUAAAUAAAGUGCCCAACUUUAUUUAUCAACUGCGAACUAAAUUUAUUUAAUCAUAAGAUAACUUGUAUUUAUGUCUUCUGUGAAUCCACAUGGUGAUCACAUAAAUACAUAUAAUAUGAUUAAAUGGACUUUAAUACAAAUAUUAAUGCAAUUAAGAUAUUUGAAUAAAAUACCUCAUUUAUUUUAUUAAUCAGAAAAAUUGUUUAUUACAAUUAAAUAAACACAUAUGCUUUUAAAGAGCAUAUUUUCCCAACAAUAGGUUCACAAAUCGUGAGAUAUUUGUUGAAUACCCAUCAGGAACUUUGACAUUUGAUAAUACUUGACAGAAGAUGUCUUUUUCACUCUGAGUCAUUGAGUAGCAUGCUUGUGGUAGCCACUGUCUUUCCUUCUUUAUAUUAGAGAUGAAGAGACUGCUUUAUUCUCAAUUCUUUCAUAUCAAGACGUGCUUUUGAAUUGUCUUUGGUUUUACCUUUAAUAUUCAACAAUGUCCCAAUAAAUGCCAUCACAAAUAUUUUUCUCAAUUUGCAGAACAUCUAAGUUAGGGCGAAUGAGGUUAUGCUCCUAAUAUGGCAACACAAAAAAAAAAAAAAAAAACUCUUCUUUUUCCAUAUCACAUUAUCCUCAUCAUUGACAUCAUGCCGUUUACGUUUUCCAUUAGUAUUUAAUUUUUUUUUCCAUAUAUAGUGUGCACUUGAUUCUUCUGUUCUAGAACAUCAGUCCCCGUUAAUGGAGUUGGAGCAUUUCCCUCUAAGAAACGACGAUGCCCUAAAUAACAAUACUUAUGUCAAUACUCUACCCUUUGAUAAGAUGUGUUUACAUUAAAAUACUCUAGCCCUUUGUAAUAAAAAAAAUAUUAUCAAAUAAAUAUAAUAAUUUAAAAUUUUAAUAUUAUUUUAAAUGUUAAAAAUAAUUUAACAUUAUUAAUCUACUGCAUUGAUUUAUAUUAUUUAUAUUAUAUUUUUUAAUUAAAAAAAUUUAAAGUCAAUGUUCUAAUUACUAUAUUCCAAGAUUAUUAUAAUAAAAAGAGGUCUAUUAAAAUUAUUCUUUAAUAUUUGACAUCAAUCGCAUUAAUCGAUAAAACAUAAAAUAGUUAAAACUAUUUAUACUAAUUCACAGUAUGUGAAAAUAAAUACAAACUUUCAGCUGAUCAUAUUCAAUGUUAUUAGUUGGAUUCAUUAUGCUUCAUCAAUUUCAGCUUGUGGAUCACGUUUUUCACUGAAUAUAUAUAUUUGUGGUUGUUUAAUUAUGCUUUUUGUUUUUGGUUCUUCGACCACGUCAAUACUACGUUUUUAUUUCAAGAUAUAUUCAUGUCAAACAUGCAUGUGCAGUGGGACUACAUAAUAAUCCGAGUUAUUUAUUAAAAUAAGAAUGGAAGUUAAAGCAUUUUUUAUACUUGAUUAAAAUAGAAUUUAUAGAUUUUGGGCAUCCUUUCUUUUAAGGCUAACCGAAAAAUAUUUAUGUUGAUUUAGAAUAAUAAUUGAAAUUCUAACAGUUAUAUCUUAAAAUGAGUCCCAACUAUUUUGUGUCUUCAACUAUUUGAUAGUAAAUUUCAUAACUGAUAAAAUUAAUAUUCUAUCAUCAAUUAAAUAAAUGUUACAUUAGUUGAACUCAAUUAUUACUUUAUUGGGAUAUUUAGUAUCACUUUUUGUUUUAAUAGUAGCGCAUUUUGGAAAUAGUUUUUUUUUAAGUUAUCAUGGCACCCACCUCACCCUCCAAAUUAAAUGUAUCUAUUAGAAAUAAACACAAGAAUCUUUACCUUGACUUCAAGAGGUGAAAUUAACUAGAUUAUCCUUUGAUUUAAUACAUUGAUGUCGGGUUACUUUGUGUCUUUAUUUUAAUAAACAAUGGUUGGUAUCCUGUAAAAGAGAUUAUAAUAUUUAUUAUAUUGGUGCUGUGACACUAGAAAAACUAUGCUGCAGCAACAAAAGAUAAGAGUUUGGUGCUGCAGCACCAAAAGAGCUAUGGUGCAGUCCAUAAUUAAUUAAUUAGUUUAUUUUAAAUAAUUAAUUAAAUUAAAUGAUGGAAAGCGUUAAAAUAUACAUUUGAAGAGGAAUGUCUAUUCUAAAAAGGUGUUUUGUUUGAAGGGUUGUAUUGUUUUGUGAAUAAAAUAUGAAUAUAUUGCUUCAUGAAUAGAUACUUAAAUUCCCACAGAUACUCCAAAUUAUUACAAAUUCAUAACUUGUUCUCGAAUAUAAUUUCAUUGUUAGAGAUUGUGUUCAGAGUUUGUGGUAUCUUGGGGGUAAUUUGCCAUUCAACUUUAUAGCAAACUAAGUGUAGUGAGGGCAAAUAAAACCUUAAAGAAAACUAUCCAAACACACCUCAAACUAUUUCAAUUUUCGAUUUAGGGAUUGCUGAGAGUGUGUGUUUUGAUUGAGGUUUUGUUGAGAGUAUGGGUUUCGAUUUACUUUUAGUUUCUUCAAAAAAUUUUCCUUGGCUAUUGAUUUUAGUUUUAGGGUUUCUGUACAAAGAGAGGAGGGAAUCGAUUUUUAAGGAGAGAGAAAUAAGAACCCAAAACAUUACCAAAUGUUUAAUUUAUAGUGAUAAUAUUUUAGCAAUAAGAAUGACACCAUUUAGAUUUAGCGAAAUUAAAAAAAUAAAAAUUAAAUUAAACUACUUCUCUAAUUAGUAUCAAUACUUGAUUAUGACACUAUAAUAUCAACAAUCACUUAAACUUAUAUGUAAAAGGUAAUAGAAAUCACUUAGGUUGUCAAAUGCUGAUACUUUUUAUUAGUAUCAUAAACUUAGGGCCAGUUUGGGAAUAUUGUAGCUUCUAAAAUGAUUUAUGUUAGAUGUACUAUAGAAAUAAUCAGCUAUGAAGAGAAUCAAUUAAGUGUUUAGCAAAUUUUGUUUUCAGAAGUACUAUGAGCUUUUAAAGCAGUUAUGGAUGUUUGGUAAAUUUUACAGUCAAACUGCUAAAACAAAAUAAAUAACUAAAAUGUACAGAAUGUAGUAUAAAAUUUACUUAUACAUAUAAAAACAUGUACAUCUAAUAUUUUUAUCUUCCUUUUUCUUUUUAUUCUUUUGCAUGGUGGUAAUGGCUCUCUUGUUGCCGGGAAAGCCUUAACGUCGGCGGUAAUGGUUCCUUAAUAACCCAGAUUUUUUUAAUUAAUCCUUUAAAAAAUACAAAAAAACAGCCACAAUUUUUAUCAAAUUCAAUGAUACAAAAUUCGAGAAAAUCAAAACUUUAUUUCUUAAUCCAAAACAAAUUUGAUGCUCAAAGACUUCAACAUGAAGAGGCUUUGAUAGCACCUAUUAAAACAAGAAAUCCUUUGGUGAAAAUCAUCUAUAAUCCGGGCACAUUCAUGUUGUAUCACUAAGAAUCAAUAAUAAAUUAUGCGAAAGCGUACUUGAAUAAAAAAUGCUUAAUUGCUCUUGAGUCAUGUGGUUGGUCUUCCAGAUCAACACGUUCUCCUAGGGAAUCUUUUAAUUUUCUUUGUACUCUCUCUGAUGAUUUGAUGUCAGAAAAAAUAUAAUGAUACGUGUGACCUGGAGACCAUGACUACUUAUAUAGACUAACAUUUUUUUAUUGUUUUUAAGUAUUCUUAUUUCAGCCCAUCAUAGAAAUAAAAAUUACCUUUAAGUCUCUACACAUUAAAGAUCCACACCUAUCAGAUACAUUAAAGCUCAUAUUGCUGAAAACCUUAAUAGAUCACUUUUAAAUUGGGCUUAAAAGAGAGAGGAAAAGGUUUAUUAUCUUUAUUAUCAAUUUUCAAACAAGGGUACGUGGCGUUGUUCUACCGGAUCGAUGCAGAACUUAAUCUGCCUUUGGACCCAGAUCUGGCUUAGAACAGAUCAAUUGUCCGCAUGUUCUGGUUUCCAGCCGAUAUACUUCUUUAAAUUUUAAAACUUUUCUUUAUUAGCAAGCUUAGCAACAGAUCUAAAGGCUCAUAAAUAGUACUAGAUCUGGAUCCCAAAAAUAGCAUUCUGAAUGGAUGGAGGGAGAAGAGAAGAUACAACUGAGGAUAGAGAUCUGGUCUCGUUGCCUCAGAGGAAUGUUUAAUUUGUAUGGCAGAUCUGAUACAGAUCAGUCUGCAAACAUGCUUGUAAAAGUAAAAUAAUUUAAAAAUAAAUUGCAGAAAUUAAAUUAUAUUGCUAGAAUUUAAAUUGAAGAAAGUAAACAUACAUGAAUUUAAACUUUAUUACAAGCUUUAAAAAGAAAAUUACAAAUCACAAAGCUUACAUGUGGAUUUUCUUGCUUUGGUUCUUUUAAGGAAAAAUUUACAAAGGAGAUGGGAAAUUAAUCUGAAGACAGGGAAUUAUUUCCUUGACGUCUUCUGAUUCCAGAUUCCCAGAGAGAGAUGAGAGAAUGAAGAGAGAAAGAAGAGAAGAAGAGAGAUAAGGAAAACUCAAAACUAAAAACUCUGAGGAGUCUAAGUCUUUCCUUCAGCUUUAUAUAUAAAAUUGUAGCUUUAAACUGUAGCGGAGCUGUAGCUUUAUUAAACUGUAGCGGAGCUGUAGCUUGAACAGUAGUCUAUGUAGAAAAUACAGAAUACAAAUGAAAUUCGAGUGAAGAGACAUGUGCACCCUCACUUGUGUCCAAAGGACCACCCGAAGGUACAGAAAAAUACAAUGAUAAUACUCUUUUUUUUUUUUACUUUAAUGCUUUAUUGGCGAGAAAAUGCCGAAGCAGUCAUCUUCAUUUUCAUCUCCAAGGGAAAUGAAUGGUUCAGCAUCAUUAGAGGAGCUUGAAGAAGAACUUGCAACAGAUGUCUCAGAUCUUGUGGUGAGGAGCUGCUGCAUCACUUUGAAAUAUUCAUCUUCUGUUUUGGCACUGGCCAAAAGAGAUUGGGCUUUGGAUUUUUGGGUAAGAAAGGUCUCUUGGGCUUUGACUUCUUUAACAGUAGGAGGUAGAAAACCUUUGGAACAGAGCCAAUUUCGGAUUAAAGUAUCGGUUAAUUUGGUCUGCUCAUCAAAUUUUGACCACCAUUUGACUUUAGAGGUUCUUUGCAAAUAAGUUGAGUUUCUUGGGUAUGAUAUCUGAGAUUCCACAUCCAGAACCAUGGGAGGAAGAAAUUUGUACAGAAACAGAGAAAGGGGGAACCGUUUCGGAAUCAGAAGAGACAUAAUGGGUUUUGAAAAGAUUUAAACAAUGGAUGGCAUUUGGAGUCAAGAUUUCUGGUAUUGGGCCAAAAAUAUUCCACCAUUGUUGAAACCAAUUUGGAAGGCUUUGAACGGUUAUUUUUGAAUUAAAGAAAAAUAACCAUGAGUGGGAUUUUUUGGGGUUUUGGAUUAAAAAAUGUGUUAAACCAGGCUUGUUGAUAAUCCCUAGGAAUAGGUCAAACAGUGUGGUAAACGCAAUUGAAAAUUUAGAGGGAAUCUUUUCUGUGUGUGGAGUUGGUCGCCCCACUGGUUUGGGCUCAAGACUUUUAAAAUGGUAGCUGUAGAAUAGGCGGGUUCAGAAUGGGUUUCACUGAGAAAGAAAUGUUUGAAUUUGACUAACUCAGUGGACUCAAGGAUGCUUUGGUAAUAAGACUGGGGUUUUGUCAAAUCUCAUGGUUUGAAAAACCAGCCUUUAGGGAAAAACUUUGAGAUAGCUUGAAAAGGAUCAGUGUGGUAAAAACUAUCUUCCAAAGUUAAAAUAUUUUGAAAAUGAGCUUUAUCAUACCAAUCCGAAGUUUUCUUUGAAAGCUUUGGUUGUGAAAGAACAAUCUGAAAUGAUGCACUUUCACCAGAAAGAACCACAUUUUGAGAAGAAGCUUUAAAAAUUUCUUUCGAAAUAGAUUUUUCUUCUUUAGGGGAAAUUUGACUUUGAGAAAAGCUUUGUAAUGCAAGCAUAAGCUCAGGGGAUUUAGAAAUGGAUUUCAUCCAUUGAUUUACUUGUUCUUGAGAGGAGAUGGGUUUGGAUUUGGCUUUCGUCUUCAAUCAUGUCAAUCCAAGAUUUAAUGGGCAUGGCCGAAGAAGAGCAGUUUUUCUUUAGGAGGAGAGGAAGGUUGAGAGGCUUUAGAAGGUGUCUGGGACACAGGGUCUUUGAGGAUCCCUUUCCCUUUGUCUUUCUUUUUGGGCGGCAUUUAUCUGUUUUGAAGAAAUUCCUGGUUAGAAAAUCAGGGAGAGAAUUUGUAUCUCCUUUAAUAUAUUCAAUAUCAAAAUCAAAAACACUUAAAAUAGCCUGCCAUCGAGCAAAAAUCUAUUUAGAUGCAAUGUUUUGAACAUCUUUUUCCAAAACGUGUUUUGCAGCUUUGCAAUCAAUUCUAAGAGAAGUUUUUGAUUUAAUAAAUCGCUUUGAAAUUUUGAAAUACAUAAGACAAUGGAUAAAAUUUCUUUUUUGAUAGUAGAAUAAUUUUUCUGGCAUUCAUUCCAAUGUGCAGAGGCAUAUUGUACUAUUUGUUCUUUAUUAUGGUCAAUUUGCUUUAGUAUCCCACCAUAACCUAGAUCUGAUGCAUCAGUUUCAACAAUUUUAGGUAAUGCAGGAUUUGCAAGAAAUAAACAUGGAAUGUUUUUUACUAUGGUCUUUAUGUGUUUGACAAUUUUUGUAUAUUCUUCCGACCAUGCAACAUGAGUUUUCUUUAACCGAUCAUGCAAUGGUUUGGCGAUCCUAUUAAUAUUAGGACAAAAAUCAAGAACAUAAUUUAAACUGCCCAAAAAUCUUUGCAAUUGGGUUUUAUCAAGAAUUUUAUCAGGAAACUUGUCAGUGAAGGCAAAUGAUCUUUCAAUGGGAGUAAUGGUUCCUUUGGAAAUGUAGUGACGAAGAAACCGGACUUUAGUUUGGAAUAAAGAAACUUUAGAACUAGAAAUGGCUAGGCCAGCUUUUCUAGUUGCCAAAUAAAAAGUCUUUAGAUGUUUGAAGUGUUGGUCAAUUGAAUGGGAAAAAAUCAACACAUCAUCAAUAUAAACAAUGCAAAAAUCAGAAAAAUGAUUAUAAAUAUCGUUCAUAAUUCUUUGAAAUUCUAAAGGUGCAUUCUUCAAACCAAAAGGCAUUACUGUCCAUUCGUAUUGCCCAAAUGGAACAGUGAAAGCGGUUUUGUAACGGUCUUUAAGGUGAAUUUGAAUUUGCCAAAAACCAGAUUUCAUAUCAAAUUUUGAAAAUAUGAAUGCAGAGUGUAGUUUUUGGAGCAAAUCUUUUUUAUUAGGUAUGGGAUACCUUAUCCAUUUUAAUGCUUUAUUCAAGGGUUUGUAAUUAAUAACAAGUCUGGGUGUUCCUCUUUCUAUUUCAGAAUUUUUAUUGACGUAGAAAGCGGCACAAGACCAAGGAGAUCUGAAUUUUACAAUGAGUCCUUUGGACUCCAAUCUUUGAUUUCAUCUUUACAAUGUCUUUCCAAAUCCAUGUUCAUUUGGAUAUGACGAGCUUUAGUGGGUAUUUGUUUUUCAUCGAAUGAAUUUUCAUAAGGCAAAUCUACCAAAUGUUGUUUUCGAUUCCAGAAGGCAGUUGGUAAAUCAGCACAUAUUUCUUUUUCAAUUAAUUUUUGGAAAUCAGAAAUUCUUGUCUGUAUAAACUGAUUUCUCAAUUGGUUUUCAAUUCUUUGUAAACUCAAAUCUUUUUUCAAACAAGUUAAAUCGGUUUGUUUUGUUUUAAGCAAAACAUUUAUUUGGUUCUGGUAAACAGAACAGGCUUUAACAAUAUUUAAAUUUCUGGUUUUAGGUUUCUCAANNNNNUUAAUUAAUUAANNNNNUAUUAAUGAUUCACUUAUUUAUUUUAUGUUUUAUUUGACACUUGUUGAUGAUUCAGAAGUUUUAUGUAAUAUUUAUAUGCUUUUGUUUGUUUACUAUUGAUAUACCAAUUUAUCACUCUUAUGUUAAUUUACUUGUUUUAUCUUCUAUUUACAAGUCUUAUGUUCCCCUUACUUAAUUUAUGUUUUAUUUUACACUUAAUGUUAUUUAAAAAUUUUAUAUUAAUUUACAUUUCUUAUGUUUCAUUUAGAUAAUUUAUGUUUAAAUACAAUAUCAAUCAUGGCAUCAUAGAAUGAAUUUUUUUUUAAUAAUAUUUGGCUCUAAAGGAAGUUCAAAUUGUUUCAUGCCCCCCUCAUUUCGUGGCCAAAACUAACCCCUGUUAAACGAUUUAUUAGGUAUUACUAUGGAUUUAUGAAGUAAGAAAUAAAAUUAUAAAUUAAUAAGAGCAAUGACAAACAUUUCAAAUGAUAAUAAAAUUUUAUCCUAAAUAAUGUGACAUUCACCAUGUGAAUGAUGAGAUAAUGUAAUUAAGUUAGGAUAUCUAAUACUGUUUUAAUAAUUACUUUAUUGAAUAAUUUCAUGUGUUCAAUAUAUCUCCAUCCUUACAUUUAUUAAUAUUAUUUUAUUUAAUAAUAUUACAUUUAUUAAAAAUAAUAAUAUUAAACUUAUUUAAAUGUAAUAUUAUUAUAUUUAGUUAAAAUUAUAGUAUCAUAUUUAUUUAAAUAAUUAAUAAUAAAAAUAUUUACCAAUAUAUUUUUUAUUUACUUUGUAAUUAAAAAUUAUAAUUUUUUAAAUAAGAGUAAAAUUGUUAUUUGAAACAAUUCACUCCUAAUUCAAGAUAAAGUAAACACAUAAACAAGAUUUUGAUCCUUAUUCCAACUUUCAUUCUAAUGUAAUAAAAAAUCUACUGCUACUCUUACGGCACACUCUCAAUCUCAGAAUUCUCACUCCAAUCCAAGAAGUAAACGUUACCCUAAAAUAUUGGACCAUUUGCAAAGGGAUCUAGUAGUCCUUGAAUUCGGCCCAUACCAGAAUAUUUUCUUUGCAAAAAUCUAGUAUCUUCAGCAGGCUCUCAGUAGUGUUCCUGAAGAGAAAAUUCCCCCUGCUGGCAAAACAAAGAAAAUACCAUGCCACUUGGCUUAAGUGUACAAACUUUAUUUAAUAUUCUUUCAUUAACGUUCACUCACAAGAGUACAAAAAUCAGUUAAGUUAAGAGAAUGAAUCAUAAAAAUUCUGGAAUUAGAACAGACUUUAAUUAGUCAACACAAAACAUACUAGUUAUCCACAAUGCAUUAAGCUAACAAAUUAGAUUGAUCAACUGAAAAUAAACACUAUAUAUCUUAUAAUGUAUAUCCGUAACAAUAUAAUAUUAAUGGACAUUAUUAUAUAAUUUAGCUUCACCCAAUAUUUAAUUUGAUUAAGCUAAAAAAAAUUUCUUUGAUUAGCAGUCUCUCACAAGACACUUGAGUUAAUAAAAAAAAUUAAGAUAAAUUUAAAUAUAAGGCAAAAUUUAUAAUUUCAAGCACAGUAAAGCAUAAAAGGUACUAAUUACCAAAGAAUGGAAGCGUAUAGUUAAUGAAGCAUAGAUUACUAAAAAAGACCCAUCUACAUCUGCUACUCACUUUGAGUGUAGAUUAGAAAAUGGUGUUGCCAUCUAUCUCGUUCACUUGUCAUUAGUUAUCUCCAUGAGCCUUUCUCCAAUUACUGCCAAGUAAUUAUUUUUCCUCAAUACAACUUUUAUCUUCAUUUUCCACAAUGAAAAAUUAUUUCCGUUGAAUUUCUUAAUUUCGUAUUUUGCCGUCAUCGCUUUUCACCACAAACUAACUUUGCUAAGAUUGGCUCCCACCAUCUCACGUGAACAGUACCGUAUACGUGAAUAGUUCCAUAUAUGUGAAGAGUACUUUUACAUGAACAGUAUCACCAACUCCAAAAAAAAUACAACCAAUAACUCUGAUACCAAUGUUAGGAAAUUGGUGGGUGAAGCAGGGCCACAGCUAAAAUGAAAUUGGAAGAAAAUAAAGAACAAGUACAAAAGAGGACACCAGAAAAUAUUGUAAAUAUUUUACUACGUCCACGGGCGAAGACAGAAGGAAAAUAUUUUACUAGUAAUAUGAGGAUUACAAGUAUUGUAAUAUUUUGGCUCACUUCCCAGAACUCAAAUACACCCAAUCUCUCACUCACUAGACUCACAAGAGCUUUAUAAUUUUAAGCUCUUUAAAUCACUCAAACUCUCUGCUUUCUCUCUCACAAAAAAAAUUGAAUUGCUUCGCUCUCAAUGGGAUGCCUAAAUGAGGGUGGGAAGCCCUCUUUAUAUAGCCAAAAUUUUGGCUUUUUUUUUUAUAAUAAGUCAACAUGGCACCACAAAAAAUGGCGGGUUGUGUUGAAUGGCAAGGCACCGCCCAUCCAGCCAUGACUUUAACAUAUCGAGCGUGUAACAGGGACAUGCUAACAAGGAAGAAUUCUAUUAUCAAAUUAUGGUUAUGAGAUGAAUUUGCAUCCAAUCCUCAAUCCAUUUUUGCAAUUCUUUUUUUUCAUAUAUAUUCUUCAAUUACUCAAAAAGGAAACAAAGUGGACGCACACAAAAUCUGCCUACUUACAAAUUUUUGGCAAAGUAUGUUUCAAAUCAAUUAACAGCAUCAGCAUAUCUUGAGAUUUUCCUUCUACCGUUAAUUGUAACACAAAAUUAUAAAAACAAAAUAAAAGGAGGAUAGAAGAAAGAAACAUCCACCCAUACCUUUGACAAGAAUGGUUCAAGAACAGUUACAACUUCCACGGACAGAUUGAGAGCGAGCACGACAGAGAGUGGGGCUGCUGUUGCUGGCUUGCUGCUGUGUGUGCGUGUUGAGAGAGAGUAAGAGCGAGUGUGAGAGGGACUGCUGGUGGCCUGGUGCUGCCGUACUGGCUGCUGCUGCGGGCUGCGAGUGCUGGCAUGCGUGCUGCUAAGAGGGAGGCUCUGCUGUGGCUUGAGGGAGGGGCUGCUGCUGUUUCGUGUUUAGAGAGUUUGGGAUUACAAUUUAGGGUGCGUUUGGGAUUAAGGUUGGGGAGCUGUAACUUUUAAGUUACAGCAUUAAAGUGUUUGGUAAACACUAGCUGCUAUAACUUGGAAGUUAUGCUGAUAUAAUUUUUCACUUGUAUGAUGGAAAAUAUUAUAUCUUUAAUAAUUUUGUCAAAAUUAUUAUUUAAAAUUUAUAUUUACUAAAUAUUAUUAACUUUUAUUUCAAAAUUACAAUUUUUUUUUUCACAAUAGCUAUAGCUUAAAAGUUAUAGCACCUCAAUCCCAAACACACCCUUAGUCACUUGGAAUUUUAAGGAUUUAGUUUUAGGAUCAGGAUCCUCUCCUGAUCUGAUCUUUAUCUGAGCAAGUGCUAUUAAUAUGAUUGGUGGUUAAUAAAUGAAAAAAAAAGUAGUUAAAUCUUAACCAUUCACUAAUAUUAAAAUACAGGUGGCACAAGAUCUGUCAAAGAUUAAGAGUGCUCAGAUUAGGAGAGGAUCUCAAUCCUUAGUUUUAGGGCUGGUUUUUUUUUAAUAUAAUUGCACAUGAACCGAAGAGUUUAUCUAUUCGGUUUGGCUCUGAAACCGAACCGAAUUCAUAAACCGUUUGGUGGAAGUAAAAUGAAACCAUCCAGUUUUUUCCCCUUAAACCGAACUUGCAAAUAGAAAUUAUUCGGUUCGAUUCGCCAAAAAUCGAAUCGAAUUUGAUUUCCAGAUAAUUUUUUCCAACCGAACAAAAGAAAAUAAAGAGGAAACAAAAAAGCUCUCCUCUCCUACCUUAAUUUCUUAACCGAACAUGGCCUAAAGGUAAUCAGCACCCUUUAUGCUUUACUGUAAUAAGAAUUAUAAAUUUUGUCUGUUAUAUAAUCCGAUCAAAACUGACCUUAUAUUGAUGAAGAUCAAAUCAAAGAAGCUAAGAUUUAAUAGAACCAGAACCAAGAACAAGCAAAGCAUUAAAGAAUUUGACAAGACCAUAUAACGUGGUUCGGCAACAAGAUGCCUACAUCCACGACUGAAAUCAGCUCUGCUCUGAAACGGUUUUUGAAUGAGAUGUGUAACAGAUGAUUUUUGAGAUUACAGAAAUUAAAACUUCCCUACCUGAGAUUUUUCCAUCUCUCUCAAAAUCAAUCACUAAGACUUUGUAACUGCCAGCUUUUCUUUUAUAAUUCCAGGCAACAACUUUAACAACUGAUGGCCCCACACCAACGCCAGCUCAGCACGCCACCUCAUUCACUCUUAACAGAAUAUAACUACCCAGGCUUCACAAUGUCUUACAUUUACAUUUAUCUUAAAGUUUUUAUUAACUCGAGUGUCUUGUGAGUGACUGCUAAACAAAGAAUUUUUUUUUUUAACACAAUCAAAUUAGAUAUCGGUUGUGGCUAAGUUAUAAAAUAAUGUCCAUAAAUAUUUGAUGCUGUCAUGGAUAUACAUUCUAAGAUACAUUGUGUUUGUUUUCAGACGAUCCAUCUAAGUUGUUAGCUUAAUGCAUCGUGGAUAGCUAGUACGUUUUGUGCUGAUUAAUUAAAGUCGGUUCUAAUUCCAGAAGUUUUAUGAUUCAUUUUCAACUUAAUUGAUUUUUAUACUCUUGUGGGUGAACGGUAAUGAAAGAAUAUUAAAUAAAUUUGUAAACUUAAGCCAAGUAGACUGAUACAUCUUUGUUUUCCAAGCACGGGGAAUUUUUCUUUAAACAAAACUAGAAGAUAAAAGCUUUAAUCAAUAAUAAUUACAACGGAAUUCCAGCUUAUGUCGCUGCCCCUUGGACGACUGAAUUGGUAAUCUGAAAAGAAACAAACGGAACUUGCCACGUUUAAUAUAUCUGAAAUAUCAAUCAUUACAAUGCCACUGCGCUCAGAAAUUCAUUUCAUCGCUGUCAAGUGGAUGAAAAGGCUAAUAACUUCCAGAUCAGAGAUGAAAAUCAUCAUCUAUCAAGUACGUUGUCAUUGAAAUCAACAAGUACAGAUGGAGUGGACACACCUUAAAUUCUCUGUCUAAUGGGUUCCUGCUGCCUUGCACUUGCUAAAUUGAGUUACCUUCAACACCAAGAAAGAAAAGCAAGCCGAAGCUGCAUUGAUUUCAUCAAUCCAUUCUUGGCAUUCAUGCAAUCAGACAUGCUUCCUGAGAAAGAAAGUCAAUGGUGCCAGCUUAAGGAAUAAACCACAAAGAAAAACCCACUCUAGUCUUCCGCUUAAUAUCAGUCAACUGAGUUGCUAUUUGAACAAGAAAAUGGAUCCAUCAUCUGAAAACAAACGCAAGGAACUAUAUAUCCAAAACAGCAAAUAUCCAGAAAUAACAUUAAUCAAAAUCUGCAACUCUAAAACUAUGACAGAUAAGCUUGCAAAUUUCUUUUGAUUACCUAUUGUUGUUAGCUGUAAGGUGAAUUCAAACACCUGGUUACUAAACGGCGGCGUUUCAAGUUUCUUGAUGGCUUAACAAACUCACAUGAGAAGCACGACCUUGUUAUUACUUUGAAACGGCAAAGAGUGCUAGCGUUUUGGAGUCACUUGAAUUAAGUAAAUCACACAAGCAGUCACGUGAGAUACAAUUGAAGCCAAGUUCAUUAUACCAGAAUCUUUGCACACGUGUCAUAUAGCUGUGCAUUCUGGGCUGUUAAGUUUGUUAAGAGACUGGUUUAUAAGCUGAUGAAUCAGGAGAAGCUGCGUGAAUUCGAGAGAAAUACUGAGAGGAAUUGUAGAGAGAGAGAGAGAGUUAAAUCUUAUUCUUUGUUCUUUUUUCUCAACUCUCUGUAACAAACACCUUGAAUCUUUCAAUGAAAGCCUGCUGGUGGAUUCACCCGUGGAUGAAAGCCAUUAAUGGCUGAACCACUUUAAAUUUGCUGAGUGUUCUGUUGAUUGUUCUCUGCUCUUAGUUGUUCUGUUCUUGUGCUGUUAAUAAUCCUUUGUUUGAUUCAAGUGAGGUUUAUUGAUUCUUCCAAAUCGAUUAAUCUGUUACAUGCAACUCGAUUGAUCUUGACAAAGGAUCUUGGGUAGAAUCUGAUUUUGUUGUGUGAAUCGAACGAAUCAGAUUCUACACCUAUCAACCACGGUGACAAGAUUAGAAAAAUAAUUGAGUUGAAAAUGCUGUAUUGACAAUCCUCAUUUGAUUUUUAAAAAAAAAUAGAGGUGAUGUGAUAUAUCUUUCAGUAUGUAAUCUAAACAAUAAAUUUUUAAAAUAACAAAAAAUGGCAUAUUAUAAAAUCUAGACUAGGACAGAUCGACUAUAUUCUCUCCAUGGUAGUAAAUUUAAGAUAAAAAUAAAAAGUAAGAAGCAUUUUUUUAUCAAUUUAGCUAAUGAUACAACUGUAUGGGGGAUAAAAGAAAGCACAUUGUUGUAGGGGAUAUGAGAUGGAAUGGAGCAAAAAAUCUACUCCUCUAAAUACGAUUGUUACUCGUAUAAGAAUUUCCCAUCUAUUAACGCAAGGAAUGUUUGCAAUCUUGGGCCACUCUUUUCCUUUAUCCCUUUUGCACUCUUUUUUCAGCUUCGGACAAGCUUCGAUUGUUAAAUCCAGGAGUGAGGUUGGAAGGCCCUCCUCUGGAAAAGAUUUAAGAUUUGGACAUUUAAUGAGCAGCAAAAAUUCAAGAGAGGUUAGGCUUUGAAAACCAUUGAAGAUAGGUAUUUCAAUUUCGACAACUAACAAUAAAGAGGUUUCUGAGAGAGGUCGGCAACAUCAUUCCCAUCUCCUCGUCCGGAAAACACUCUGCUUCAUCACAUCCAUAAAUAUCAAGGCUUCUGAGAGAGGUAAGCCUGUGCAACCCCCACUGAAUGAGUGGCUUAUAAAUUUUCACAUCAACUCCAAUACUAAGUGUUGUUAGAUUGGUGGGAAAACCUUCCUCUGGAAAAGAUACAAUGCUCGGACAUUCACUUAUGUAAAAAUGUUGAAGAGAGUUGAGUUUGUGCAUGUCACUGGGCAGGGCUUCAAGCUUCUCACAAUCGGCUAUCCAAAUGCUCUGUAAAUUAUGCAGGCCAUUGGGUAUUGACUUCAGCUCUGGACAACUACUUAUGUGGAGGUAUUCAAGCCCCUCAAGUAGCUGGAUUCCUGAUGAUAAACUUGUGAGCUCUGGGCAGCGCCUUAUCUCCAGAUGUUUCAGCUUCACUGAUGAAGAAGAAGAAGUAUCAUCAUCUCCACCAUCGACCAAAUGCUGCAAGUUCUUACAAUUCUCUAUCUCAAGCCUUUUAAGAGAUGCUGGUAGCUUGCUUCUUGCAAUGAAUGUUACAGAAUCACAAUCUCGGAUGUACAAACUUUCCAGUUGUGAAUUGUUGCCUAUAAUUUCCUCAGGCAAUGUUUUUAAAGCUCUGGCAUUUCCAAUUUUAAGAGACCGCAGAUUAUUGAGAAAAAGUUUAAUCUCUGGAAAUGAAACUAGACUUACGCAGCUUUCAUCAAUAGACACCUCUUCAGGGGAGGUGAUAACAUGCAACCCUUUCUCUGGCUGCUCAAGUUCAUGCCAUGACGUGAUCCAUUCAAAAUUUCCAAUCCGCAAAGUCUCUACUUGAUGAAGUCCUUGCUUUAAAAAUUUUCUUAACUCCAAAAUAUUGGAAAUAACUGUCACAGAGUCUGCUUCUGUACAAUCACUAUGUAUCAUCCCCUUGCAUCCGCGUAUCUGCAAUGUAUCAUUUGAAAUAGUCAUAGCCUCGAUCAACUUUGAGUCAAUUGGAGUGCUGCACACAAGUCCCUUGCAUUCAUGAAUUUCUAAUUUGCAAAGAUUCAGAAAGCUUGAGAAUGAAACUACCAAUUCUCCACAUUUACUAACAACUAGUUUCUAUAAUGAAGGGAGAUGCUCUGGCAAUUUUCCAGAGAAUAUGGGACAUCUGACCAUGGAAAGUUCACGGAGGCUAGAGAAUCCUGCAACAAUACAAUUUUCUUCCAAUUUAGUGUCUCAAUACUCCCACUCUGGUAAAUUCUCGAAACAGAGAAUCUCCAAUGAUUGAAAAGGCUUUGAGCAAUCCUCACCAUAAACCUCAGCACCCAUGCUUUUCAGUUUCAUCAAAACCUUUAAUAGUAAGAUGUUUAAGUGAACUCAACAACCCGAGCGAUGGCAAGGAUGUGCAAUUUUCACAGUUUUCUAAUUUAAGAACUCCAUCUUGGAGAAAAAGAUGUAUCUCCUAUCCAAGAAGGAAAUUUUUUUCCACCAUAAGCCCUCGAUUGCAAGUUUCUUGAUGUUUGUACAAGGUUUUAGCAUGCCAAGUACAAGUUCUUCUCCAUCCUUAUUUUCGUGAGUUGUCAAACUGAGAUCCCCAUUGCAAUGACAAUGCUUCUAGAUUCUGCUUCUCGCAUAACAUCGCUUCGCUUGCCUCCCACGUACGGUCCACAUUUUCCAAUCCUGAGAUGCAAAGUUCUCCGCCAAGAAAAUUUAAAUUCUUCAAAUCGUCAAAGUGGAAACUUUUCCCUUGCCCACAAUAAAAUUAGACAACGUUUGAAGACACUUCAACUCCUUCAUUCCCGGUGGCAUCCCUUUUAGUGAAUUUGCACCUUUUAUAUCGAGAUGACGUAACUGAAGCAAAUUCCCCAUUUUGGAUGGCAACUUAAUCAAACAAUAACAAUCUCUUAAUAUCAAUAUUUGCAAGUUCAGUAGCAAGCUUGUUUGACUCGGGUAAAACUUUUGAUACUAGAGCCUUCGAGGUUGAGAUACCUUAGAGAUCUCAUAGUGUUCAAAAAGAAAUGGGUAACUGGGUGAUGUAGUAUCCUUUUAAAGAUAGCACCCUUAGCUUCUUGAAUUUGGCAACAACUUCCGAUAGAAACAUGUUAGUAAUGUAAGUGGUGGCUCCUAUUGUGCUUAUUUGCAAGAAUGUCCUCAGCUGUGCAAGUUGAGCAUUACCGAUAACUUCAAAUUUAUUUUUACCAUCACACCAUCCUUGAUUGUAAGAAUAAUGACGAACCCUUUCAAAUCUUCUCGAUGGCUUAUUGACCUCUUCUAACCUGAAAAUAGUGUCGCCGGAAAACCAAUUGAGUGAGAUCAUGAACUAGGUCAUGCAUUACAAAUUUAGAGCUAUCAACACAUGAUUGCUGGAAAAUUGACCUUGACACUAGACCUCGAAAACACUCUCUUCCCCAUUUUUCUGGCUGCUUAUUGUUUUCGGAACAUUGCUGGAUGACACCUUCAGCUAUCCACAAAAAAAAAACAAGCUCAUUCUGCUCAAAUUCAUAAUCUUUAGGGAAAAUAGCACAAUAAGCAAAAACAUCUCUUCAACUGAGAAGGAAGAUAGUGAUAACUCAAUCUUAACACUGAGAGAAUGCCAUUUUGUUGAGGAAGAUCCAAUAUAUUGCUGUUCAAUAUUUCAUCCCAUUCAUCAUGUCUCUUGGAACGUAAAAGUCCCCCAAGAGUUUUUGCUGCUAGGGGCAAGCCUCCACACUUUCCAACAACUUUCUCGCGAAAUAAAUCUGAAAUUGUUGUGCAGUUAAUAUCUUGACCCACAAACGCGUGCAUCAUGAAACAGGGACCAGCAAUCUUCAUCUGACAGGCACUGUAGGUUAUAUUGUUGAAUUGGUUCCAUUGUUGAUUGCAACAUGUGCAUGGCGAGUGGUGACAAUAAUUUUACUGUUUGGUGCAGCAGCCAGGAAUGGAGCUUUCAGAUCUUCCCACAAGCAGUAGUCCUCGUUCCAUACAUCAUCUAAGACCAGCAAUAAUUUUUUCCCAUCAACAGCCCUUUUUAUCUGAACCUGCACUUCGUUUAAAGCCUUGAGAUCACAUGAUGCGAAGGUGAUUGACUCAAGAAGAGCCCUUGAAAUGUUCAACACAUCAAAGUCAUCAAGAGACACAAACCCAUGCUUUUACAUCGAACUUGGAGUCUUCAAUGGCCCUGUCAUUGUAGACCUCCCGAGCAAGGGUUGUUUUUCCGACCCCAGCCAUGCCAACGAUUGGUAUUACAGCAAGGUUGGAAUGAUCACUUGACGUAUCAGUCAGUACCAUUUCAAGCAUUUUGGCCUUAUCUUGCUGCCUCCCAAAAACAGCACGUUCAAUUGACACACUUGAAGUGGGUGUUCUUCGUUGUGCAGUAGUAGUUGAUGAUGUCCCUCAGGAGUCAAUUGCAAUCCAAGAUGAAUUCUUUGAUUGCAGAGUCGAUCAAAUCGGCCGGUGAUAUCUUUUAUGCUGGACCGCAUUUUGCCAUUGAAAUUAACAGUGUUCUGAAUUUUGAAACAACCGAAACAAGCUGCCGGACGAGCAUCUGAACUUUGCUACUGCUGGCUCCAUGAUCACGAUCUGCAAUGAACUUGCGAUCCAAAGCCUUGGUGGCAAACUCAUCAAGAAUGUCCUCAGCAUCAUAAGCCAAGUCUCGGAGAUCGUCCAGCCACAAUUUCACAGCCUCGUCCGUCAGUUGCUUCUCCUCUGCGUCCCUCAGCACAGCCUGAAUCAUCAUCAAACAGUCUUCCCAUUUCUUCAACUCGGAAGCAACCCCACCUCCAAGUUGGCUAACAAAGUUGAGCAAAUCACCACCAUGGGGAGCCAAUCUGUCAAAAAGCACCUGAAAGACAGCUGAGAGUAAGAGCUCUCCAACAGCCAUAGUUUAGUUUUGUACUUUUGUUCACAGGAAAGUAAAGGAGUGGAGUGUAGGAUCAAAAUGGGAUUGAAUGCAAGUAGAGCAAAAAUCGGAAGCAGUGCAUCAAAAGCCUGCAGAAAUGGUUAGAUUCAAAACCGUGGACUCCACAUAUCACGAUCAUCAUCGAAAUUUUGAGAUGGCCGUAAAAUAAACUUCUUUUUCUUCGUUUUUCUAAAGUCAAGUCUUGCAUUGACUGAUUCUAGACAUUUCCAUUUCACACUGCGGUCUUGAAACAGAUUUUCUUUAUUCAUAUAAUUUCGUGUAUGGGAUUUUCAAGAGUAGCUGUAGAAAUUUACUUUUGAGGCGACCAACUUUUUUUUAGCAUGCCGUAGAGUGAAUUUUUUCACAUAUACACAAAAGGUUUAUCAGAAAAACUUAAAGAAAAGUCAGUAUUUGCUUCUAACAUAUAUUUCCUGCACUGGCCAGUCAAAUAAAGUAUCUUAGAAAAUCUUAAAGAAAAGUCAGUAUUUGAUUUUAACUCAGUUCCUCCACUGGCCAGUCAAAUAAAAUUUCUUAAGAAUCAUUCAACACCAAGAAAGCAAAUUGCAUCAACAUGCCAUCUGGCAUGUGGAAAUGAAAAUAAGAGACUCGGGAUAUUUUAAUCUGACCUGUAUUUUGAUCUCAGGCAGUACUGCAGGAUGUUAUAAGAAAUUUAAUUAUAUAUAUGUUUUAAAUAUUUUAUCUACGACUAUUAAUUAAUAAUAAAAUUCAGCCGAAAAAAUAUUAUACUUGAAUCUUGAUACAUGCAUAUGAAGAAAAAGAAAUUAAAGCCCAUAAAUCAUGGAAUAGUUUUCAUAUAGCUAUAAAGAGUCUGAAAAUAAGCCUGAAGGAACCAACUACCAAUAAUAAAUUUCUCAACAUGAUGAAAUUGCCACGAACUUUUGUAACGGUUCAUUAUAAUCUUGAGUGAAUUCUAUAUGUUCCAGAAAUCCACAGUGCUUAGGAAUAUGACACCUUUUAUUAUCCAACACUUUAAAUAUCAAUUGGAUUAGAUAGAUUCAGGCAACCUUUUAUCUUCUACUUUUCUUCAGAAUAUGUGUUUUGCCAUUUAUCUGAUUACAGGUACAGCAGGAGAUACAAUUUAGGUUGCGGCUGAUAUACAGCUGCCUGUGCAAGGGUGUGCUUCCUUGCCUCUUCAAUGAUAGUAGAUAGUAGUGUGAGCAAUAGAUAGCAGCAAAGCAACAUUGGGCCUUUAGAAUCUUAUAAGAAGGAUACAAGGAUUUACACUUUUCAGAUAUUAUUUUUACCAAAUUUGCUUGCCUCCGUAAUCCCCUAGGGGAGAAAAAAGGAAAAUAAAAGUUAUUUUCUUCUCUUUGGUUACAUGAGUGAAAUUUUCUACCUCUAGCCCUUGGAUGGGAUGGAAAUUGCAGGCUAGAACAUAUAUCAAGGAAUUUGUUCAUGGGGAUCUAGGGCGCACCAAUCCAAGGUAGAAAACACGAUUGAAUAGUGUUAUAGACAAAAAUCCUUGUUCCAGUUCAUUUUUACCGUCGUGCAUAAAUAUUUUAUGUAGAGCACUGAUACCUAGACACAAUCAAGAUCAUCAAGGUAGCAAAUAAGAAAUGUUCAUGCAACAAUUCCACUGUACACACAAAAUGACAGCACUGUUUAUACUACAGUGCCAUCUUUUUUGUCAUGGCCAAAUAUCAAUUUUCUUUUAUUUAUGUUGAACUUUUUGUUUCUCUUUUUUCUACAGCAUUGGAUCAAUUCUAGGAUGCAGAGCAAAGACGCGCUGCAACGUGAUGUUACAAAUGUAAAAAUGGACUGUUUCCUAAUUGAAUGAGGUUACUCAUAAAUGACAAUGCAAGUUAUUUAUGGCCAAUGAUGAUCAUUAUUAUCAUUUAACACCUGAAUUACAAUAUUGAAAAUGAUUAUUAUUAUUAUUUUGAGAAGUGUGCCUUUAUGAAAAUUAUAGCACCACUCCACGAGCUCUUUUUUGACAUUAUUUUAACCCAAAUGGAUUGUCUUUAAAAGGUUCAAGAAGUUAGAUCGUUCAAUAAACCGCAGGCUCAACUUUUCUUUUUUACCAAAUCUCAUAAGUUCCUUUAUCGGGGCUACUUUAAGGAGAAAAUUCUAGAAUGCCUCUGAUAUAUUACAACCAAUUGAUGCAUACAUGCCAUGUAUAGUUGAAUUUAAUAUAACCACCACUUGUAUGAUAGUUUUUCAAAGUAAAUGCACACAUGUCAUAGCAUCAUUUGUUUGUUGUAUGGCUGACAUGGUACCUCCGAUGUAUUCUGGAAUUUCUCUGCUUUAAGAAACACUUUAUUGCCCACUUUAAACUCUAAGUUCCUCUUCCGAUUGUUUGCAUAGCUCUUUUGUCUGCAUUGAGCCACUUUCAUUCUUUCUCUUAUCUUCACAAUGGCUUUACAAGUUUGUUGAAACUCUUGAGCCCUAAAAUGCACAAACUUAGUCAACCUGUUUAUAAUCACCCAAAUUGUAUCAUAGCAUUUUUUUCUGAUUUUGGCAAUCCUGAAACAUGAUCCAUGCCUAAGUGUUCCCACUUUUGCUAUAGCACCAUUAAAGACUGUAAUAAUCCAGACGAUCUUUGAUGCUCAACCUUGACUUGCAGACAUGUCAAGCAUUCUUUAACAUAUUUGCAAUCUCCCUCUUAAUAUUAGCCUACCAAUAAAUAGCUUGAAGAAUCAGCUUUAAUUCUUACAUAUUAUAUAUUUUAGCCCACCAAUAUAUAGAUAUUGUGUUAACAUAUAUGUAUCCAUAAUGUUGAUUUUGAUGAUAACAAACAAGAUUAACAAAGAUUAAGCAUUUAAAAGCUCAAAUUAUUUUUCAUACAUUUUAAAUAAAUCAUUAUCUUCAUAAAUGGUUUUAUACCUAGUAGAAAAAUGAUUUUAUGAAAUUGUUUGUUUUUAAGUUGGUGGUUAAUUAAACAAGUUUUGAGAACUUCGAAAUCAAUAACUACUAUUUUGAAAUUCUAGAAAUGAACCUAUUUGAAAAGUCUUAUAAAGUUUUGGGGCAUAGCAUAAGUUUAGAAAGUUAUGGAAAUCAUCAUGUAUUGUUUUGAAAUUCUGAAAAUGGACUUGUUUGUAAACCUUUUUAAAAUUUUGGGUUAUAGUGUAAUUUUAGGAUCAGUUUGAGGCCAAAUUAUAAUUUCAAAAAAUAAGUUCACUAUAGGAAACGGCUAACCCGUUACUGUAAACGUUUAACCGAUAAUGGGCAGAAAGUCUUUAGACAAUAAAAGUGAUUCGAUUAUUGAAAAGCGGUGAUUCGAUAAUUUGAACUGUGGCCUAACGGUAACUUGCUCGAGUCAAAACGGCAAUCCAACUUGCAGUUAACAGUGAUCCAAUUAUGUGCAAAAAGUCAAAACGGCUAGUUUUCUUCUUCAACUAUAAAAAGGCUUAAUCAAAUUCAAAUGAUUGGCAUUGAGCUUACUCUUGCAUAUUUGAAUUGUCUUAAAUUUUUUUAUUCUUUCAUUGAAACACACUUUGGGCUUUUAUUUGUAAAUACAUAUAUUGUGUGAGUGAAAUUCUAUGUAAUAUUCAUCUUAAUAUCAAAAUUGAGAGAUUGGGAGUGUGGAAAACAUUUGGGAUUAGAGGUGUGAGAUUACCUCAAGUUGUAAAGGUUUUAUUGACACGUUGAAAGUCAAUUAUAAGCAUCUUGAAACCUUGAGUUGUAAGGUUUGGAUAGUGAAAUUCUCAAGCGCAUUGAGCUUGGAGGUAUGGAUGUAAACGGGUUUUGCUGAACCAUGUAAAAAUCUCAUAUUUUUUUUUUCUCUAUCCUUACCUUUUAAAUUUACUUGUUGAAAUAAUAAUUAUUAUUAUUGGUUGUGGUAGUUUUUUAUAUUGAAUUGUGGUAUUGCUAUUGAAGAAACUCUUGAAAAUCCAAUUCACCCCCCUCUUGGGUUGCCAAGCUAGUAUUUCAAAUUGUGCAUAACAUAUUGAUAAUAUUUUGAUCAUUCUUGGUGAUUAUCACCAGACCUAUCACCUUUUAGUUCGGCACCAUCAAAAACUCCAAUUAGGGUCAUGCAUGGUUUUUUGUUAUUUAUAAUACCAGUAAAGUAAUGCGUGGAUUGUGUGCCACUUUAUCACGUCUAUUCUCUGCCUCAAUAGUUUUAUAAUCCCACAAUUUGGGGGCUAUGUUGCUAUGGACUAUAAACAACUUUUUAGUAUACGGGAAGUUAGGAAGACCUAGCUCUGAAACCACACACACACACACACAUAUCACACACAUAUACAAUGAGGAGAUUUUUUAUCUCGUUGAUUCUAUUGAUAAUAAAUAGGGCAAACAUAAUAGAAAAAAUGCGAAAGUUUCAGGAAUCAUGAUCAUUUGUGGUGGAGGAAGAAAUCCAUAUUCUAUAAAUUAGAGUAUUAGAAGUACUUGUUGGUGGAUCAUCAAUUAGAUGUUAUGUACAUGGAAAAAAAUGUGUUUGAGAGCAUUUAUUAAACACUGUUGAAAAUUCCUGAAAAGAUCAAAGAUUUUCUUAAAUCUAGGAGAGAUCUUGUGGUAAUAAAAAUUAGGGAAAAAUUGCAUCGAACAUCAACGAAAAUGGACACACUUUUCUUCCGUCAGCUUGUUACACAUCUUUAAAUGUAUUGCUAAUUGCUAAUGGAAACAGGUAUCCCUCAAAACUAAUUCAAAUUAUAAUGGAGUGCAUCACCACCUUAUGAAUGCAAGUUCUAUGGGAGGGUGAGCUCACUGAUGAGUUCCUGCCAACUAGAGGUAUUCGGCAAGGUGAUCUCAUUUCUCCUUAUAUCUUUAUUCUCUGCAUCGAACAACUCAGCCAUGGUAUAUGUGAUGUGGUCAACACAGGUUUUUGGACUCCCGUGCACCUCUCUCGCCAUGGAAUUCCUCUUACUCACCUUUUUUUGCAGAUGAUCUGCUUCUUUUAGCAGAGGCUUCGUGUGCUCAAGCCUCGAUAAUUAAUUCAAUUCUUGAAACUUACUGUAGUAACUUGAGAGCACGAGUUAGUAAGGCUAAAACCAGAGUAUAUUUCUCUACGAAUGUUUAGAGUAAUGAAGCAAAAAAAAUUAUUAAUACCAUGGGCAUCAGUAUGACGAUUGAUCUUGGUAAAUAUUCGGUAUGCCUCUUCUUGACAUACGGGUCACCAAAGGCACAUAUUAGAGCAUCAUUAAUCCAGUUGAGCGGCGUCUGUCGAGGUGGAAUGCGAAUCAUCUUUCUCUAGCAGGGCGGAUCAAUUUAGCUCAAUCGGUCUUACAAUUAAUUUCUAUCUAUGCCAUGCAAACUACCAACUCGCCAGUGUGUAUCAAACAUAACAUUUAUCAAGCAUUUAGGCGUUUUAUUUGGAGCAAAGCUCAUCCUCAACAAAAAAUGAGCCUUGUUAGUUGGGAUAGAGUCUGCCAACUUAAGAAUUGUGGUGGUUUGGGUUUCAACAACCUUGAGCUAAUGAAUAAAGCUUUAUUAAUGAAAUUGGGAUGAAACUUGGUAGCAUCACCUAACAACCUUUGGUCCCAAGUUUUGUGUACUAAAUAUAGUAUCAACCCUGCAAAUCUACCUUACACUUUACCCACUGGAUAUGGAUCUCACUUGUGGAAAUCCAUAGGAAAAGUUUGGCCAGAGACACGGUUGGGGAUUCGCUGGAACUUGGGAAAUGGCCGAUUGGUGCGGUUCUGGUGGGAUUGUUUGGUUACUAAGAGAUAACCUUUGAUUUCUUAUGUCCUUAGCCCAGUCUUUGACAACAUUAUACACAAGGUGACUGCUGACUUUGUGGAUAGUGAUGGUAAUUGGCAGUAGGGUUUGUUUGGGCACUUGCUUCCAAGUAAUAUCCUCUUGCACAUUGCCUCUAUUCAACCUCCUAGGCCUGAGAGAGGUGAUGACCGUAUCUUUUGGGCAGAAUCAACAAAUGGAGAGUUCACAGUCAAGUAUGCCUAUUAUGUUAUUUCCAAUAUCGCCAUUCAUGCCAGAGGAUCAGAUUUGGAACAAAGUUUGGAGGUGGAAGGGACCACAAAGCAUUUGGAUUUUUCUCCGGCUAGUGAUGCACAUUAAGCUAAAAAUGAAAAAUGAGUUGACAAGGAGGCAUAUUCAGCUUGGAGAGUUUUGUGAUCGGCAUGGUUGUCCUUCGGAAGAUACACUGCUUGUUAUUCGAGACGGUAUGGUAGCCAAAUGUUUUUAGAAUCAUGUCAUCCCUACUUUUUUGCAUCCGCUUUUCUAUUCUUUGCUGUUGAGGGAUUGGCUCUUUCAAAACCUUACGAGUGAUAGAAUUGUGGGAUCAAAUUUGAAGUGGACGACUUUCUUUGGAGUGGCUAUCUGGCAUCUCUAGUUCUGGCCCAAUCAAUUUCAAUUUAUGCAUUCCUCUAUUAAUAGCCUGAGUAUGCUUCAUGACAUUCGAACCAGGGCAGAGGAAAUCAAUUGCAUAAAAGAGAGUAGACAAAUGGAUUGCAUGGAUUGCCCUCACUUGGCCGUGGUGCAAGUUGAAUACCGAUAGAGCUUGUAAGCGUACAGGAGCAUCAAGUGCUGGUGGAGUAAUUCGUGAUCACAAUGGGGCUUGAAUUUUUGGCUUCGGAAUGAAUAUAGGGCAUUCCUCUAUUACCAUGGCUGAGUUAUAGAGUUUAUAUCAUGGUCUAAAAUUGGCAUGGGAUCACGGGAUAAGGUGGCUGGUGGUGGGAAUUGAUAGCCUAUGCAUCAUUAAACUAGUUAAGAAGCCUGUGGAUACUAUUAAUGAGUACAUUUCUCUUCUCCAGUCAAUCAAGGAGAUUAUCUAGCAGAAUUGGAACGUGGUCAUUAACCAUGUCUAUCGUGAGGCGAAUUUCACAGCAGACUAUCUCGCUAAUUAUGCUCUAUCUCUUCCUCUAGGUGUUCAUCAUCUUGGUAAUCCCCCACUUGGUGUGACCCCUGUUUUAUACCAUGACUUGUAUGGGGUGGCUUACCCUCGUUUUGUUUUGUUCUAGCUCUUUUUAGAGCCCCAUUUUAUCCAAAAAGAUGUAGACACUUUGUUUUUGGGCUGUUUUUCUUUCUCGUAUGAUUUUCAAGAAUCUAUUUGUUGAUACUACUUUGAUAAUUGAAAACACCAAAUAUCAGAUUUUUAAAUUCUUUAUGGUUCAACCUAGACUCACCAGCUUAUAUUAUAACUAAAUACUUUUAUACUUGGUAAUAACCAACCACUUUUGAGUCGUGUUACUGCCAUCUUGAUGGGUGAGUGUUGGAGAAUAUAAUUGAUUGCCUUGAUGCAUUAUAGAUUAUCCUUUCAAUUCCAAAAUAUUUUGUUCUCCAAAUUUAUAUUCUUUCGUACUUUUAUUCCCUUAAUUUUAGAGAUUGUAUAGCUUAGUAUUUAGAUGUCAACUGGAAUUUUGAAUAUAAUUCUUUAUAUUUUACACAUGUAAAGUAAAAAAUAACUAUGAAAACAUUUUCUAGUUAUUACAUUGUCAAACAUUAGAGCAACAAUAAAUUAAUAGACAGAUUAAAAAUAUUUUUGAAAUGAAUAUUAAACUUAAGAAGAGAAUUAUAAUUUUGUUACUGCCUAUGAGUAAAGAUAUAUUGUAAUAAAAUUAUAAUAAAGUUGUAGGAUUUUUGGAGUUAAGGUGAGUGAUUAGAGCAUUUGUAGUAGAAGUUUGGGUCUAGGAUACAAAAGACUAAAGAUAUUGGAAAUAUACUAAUAAAUUUAGGGAUAUUUUUCAACUUUCAUUAUAAUUUAGUACACGACAUUUACAUUUUUUUCCCCCAAAAAUAUUGCAAGUGCCACUAUCUCUGCCUGUCUCUAUUACAAUCCGCUCCUGCGUGUUCAAAUCAUAAAAGUGAUGGAUGACUAAAAAGUUACUUUUUGAUUAUCUUUAAGCAUAUCCUGUUAAAUUAUGCUUCUUGGAACCUAUCUAUUAACUUAUUUGGUCAAGGAAUGGAAACUCAAAAAUUAUUCAUUCUUUUGUCAUAUUAUUUGAUCUGACCUAUUUAAUCCCCUCUUUCUUGUGAUUUAAAAAAUAUAAAAAAGAACUGCUACAUAUUUUUAAUUUAAAGCAUACAAAUUUUUUUACAAUUUACGGUUCUCCAUAAUUAUAAAACUAAACAAAAGAAAAUCUUAAUAAAAUAAUUAUUGAUGUUUCACAUGACUUAUUUUUUAUUUUUCUAUGCAAUUUCUUGAGCAAUAGUGAGUUUGUCACAUGUUGCACUCAAAAUUGAUUCCACAUAAUCGUCCAUAGUGUAUGUAGCAUACAUUUACAAAAUAUGAAAAAAAAAAUUAAAAAUAAAGAAGUGGAAUAAUGAACUACCAAUACACUACAACAAAAUAGGUAAUAGAUGACGGGAAAUAACUGUCAUAAAAGGAGAGCAUGACAGACAACUAGGGUUGGCAAUUUAAGGAUCUGGGCCGGGCUUUGCCAAGCCCAGGACCAGGCCCAUAAAAUGUUAAAUAAGUCCAGGCCCUCUCAAAGCUCAUCCAAGUUGGGCGGGCUUUGAGCGGGUCGGGCCUUGACGGGCCUGGGCUGAGCCCGGGCUUUUAUGAAUUUUCAAAAUUUUUUUAAAAAAUAAAACUAUAAAUUUUCAAAACAUAAUUAUCCAAUACAUAAUACUACAAUAGGCUAAAAACUUAAAUAUAAUUCUCUAAUACAUGAUUAUCCAACACAAAAUAUAAAAAUACUAACAAUACAAGUACCGUACAUAACAUACAAAUUAACAACUAAUAUAAAAAAAAAACUAAUAGAAAUUUACCGAUUUAGGAAUUUUGACAUUUUGUGACAAAACCUUUGCCCUUUCCCUUUGCCCGAUUUUUUUAUUGUUUUGUUUAUUUUUUUUUUCAAUUUUAUAAUAUAUUAUACAUUUUUUAAUAUAUAUAUAUAAAGCCCUUAUCCAUAAUAUAAUAUAAUAUAUAUAUAUAUAUAUAUAUAUAUAUAUAUAUAUAUAUUAUUUAUUAUAAAACCUGGACUUUUCAUUUAAGCCCUUGACUGAGCCCAUAUGUUAUGGACUUUAUUAAUUAUGAGCCCUUACCCAUACUUUCAAGCCACGGGCCAAGCUUAAAGCCCGCGAGCUUGGGCCGGCCUGGGCUUUUCUGCCAACCCUACGGACAACUCAUUCGUCAUCUAUGUUACUGUCAUUAAUUUAUGACAAUAUAUUUCCCGCCAUGAAUUUAUGAUAGUAACUCACAAUCAUAUAUCCGUCACAUAAUAUUUUAAUAUAAAAAUAAUUAAAUUUAAAUUUAUUUAAAUUUUUGCACCAUUUUUUUAAAUUUUUUGGCGGGAAAUUUAAUAUUCAAUUAUGGCGGAAAUUUUUUUAUGAUAGACUUUAUGAUGGAUAUUUCCCGUCAUAAAGUCAUAUUUUAAAAAAAAAUAUAUUGUAAUUAUAAUUUAUUGAUGAAUUUCAGUUUACAAAUUUAAUUAAUUAAUCAAAUGAAUAUCAUUAAAAAAACUAAAAACAAUUAAUAUUAAUUAACAUUCAUUCGAUCCGAAAAAUUAAUUUUAAAAGGGAUACAUCUAGUAUCUAAUGUGAUCACCACCAAUACAUAAUAAAACAUCCCAAAUAAAAAAAAAUACCAUCCAAAAAUAUAAAACAACUGUUAAAUUCCAAUUAAACUCCAAGAAAAGCAUUUAAAAUUCUAGCCACCAAGCCAAGUUACCCAACAAAACUUGCAAAGAUUAAUGGAAAUAUUCCAACAGCAAGAUUUCCAGCACAAUACAUCUUCCAGCAGCAAUAUUUUAACAGCCACAUAUCCAGCAAUCCACCAUCUUCAAUAGCACUCUAAUUCCAGCCAUAAACCCAGCAACAUUCCAACUCAAACCCAGCAAACCAGUCUAUGCAGAAUCAAUCAAAAUACCCUAUGUUAUCAAAUGCAUGACAUCAACACUUCAAUCUUUAACCAUAAUAAUUUGACACUAUAAUUUUAAAUUUCAGCAAAUUGUAACAACUAAUAUCUAUAGUUUUAUACUCAUACUAACCAUUUUGCUGAUGCAACAAGGAUGUCAGAAAAAAUGGUUAGCCCACUCCAAACAAACCUCAACUAAUCCCAAAGUUGUGCUAAAAUAAUAAUGUUCAAUUUUACCAUGCAGCAACUAAAACAUUUGAGCUUCAUGUAAUUUGAAACAUUAUCAAAAAAAUGAAAGAGAAGUUUAUGUUAAAGAAAAAAAGGUAGAAAUACCUGGAUAGAGCUUAAUGUCAAUAAUUGGUUUUUCUUAUCUAACUCUUUAAGCUUCUGUAGUCGUUUUGCUCUAUGUUUCAAGCAUUUUCAAUGGCUCUAACCAUGUUAAUGCCCAAUUAGAAUUACUUCUGGACCUAAACUUAGGCAACAAGGGUGGGCCAAAAGAUCAAUCCAACAGCUUCAAGACUCUUUUAACACUUUGAAAAUAAAUUAAUAAAUAAAUAAAGGAGCAAAGAUGACUGAAGCAUUUUUAGCCAAUUAAAAUAAAUCUCUGCAGUAGAAGGCUCAUCGUCGGUAAGUCUAUACCACACCAAUUUAAAAAAAAAAAAGCUCAUCAUUUCCCCACCCUUCAAACCCAUUUUGGAACGAAACAAUGUGCAGCACCUUACUAUUGGCUCUGGUUUAUUAAAAAAAAUGUAUCAGAAUAGUAUGUACAGGCAAAUUAAUCACCACAAGCGGAAAGAAGAAAUGAAGGUUAAAGUAGACAAACGGACAACAUUUACACAAAUUGUGCAACUAAACAUGCUCUUAUGGAUUGCUUCUCAUAUACAAGGUUAACAACUCCAAUACUCCUAUCAGCAGUUCUAUAAGCAGAAUUAUACCAUUUUACCUUCAGCGUUUGUCGAGUUAUUCAGAUCGCUAAUGCUGAUAUUUAGCUGAGCAUGGUUAGAUGCCCGGUCUGGAGCAUUCUCUUGAUCAUAUCCAUCCCAAAAGCAGAAUUUGAUGAACUGAGGAAUUACCCAGAGAAUAAUACAUACAAGAUACUCUCAAGGCAUUAGACAUUAAAUCCUACCUAUAUUUAAAACAAAUCACAGAGCAACAGUGUAAUGAAAGAUGAUAUUUCCCGUGGUUUGUGAAUUAUGAAAGAAGCCAUUAUGGCUGCUAGUUUGGGGCUGUUAAAAGCAAUCACAACAUGGGAAGUUAAAGUUAAAACUUAAAAGAUAUCAGAAGUGAUGAUUGCAGUUUGAACAACAACAAGCAAAUCCACACAUACGAAUGUUAUAAAUAUCCUUUUCCAGAAAGUUUACAGGGCUACCCAUGCUUUGUCCUCAAAAUACAAAAUUAUUAAUCAUUCACAAGAUGUUUAGGAUCUUUCAUAUAGAUGUCAUAUACAUAUUGCGAAACACUCUAUAAAAAUCCUACCUCAAUAACUCAAAUUUUCUAAAGAACUCUUCAAUAGUUAAAGCAUCCUAAAAAAACAUUUAGAUACAAAAUGAACUAAGAGAGUAAACAUACCUCAUCGUAAACAGCAACAUGCCUCACGACAUCUUUAAAAUCCUCAGUUCUAUCCCUAAUUAUCGCCAUAAUUUAUCAUCACAGGUAAUACCUUCAGCAAAAAUAGAACCAUCAACACAUCACACACUUGAGAAAUCAAAUGAAAAUUACCUAAACAAGAAUGUUGGACCCUAAAUUGAAAAUUCCUACCAACACUGGUCAGUUUCCCACUUACGGGCCGGGUGAAAUCCGGACUGACCCGAACACCCAAACGACGCCGUUCUCGUCCUCCUCCUACUCACCAAAGACAUGUCAUAAACAGCCCUGGCCAUUGGAUACGACAACGUCUCGUAAGCGUUGUGGAUCUCGAUGAAAUCCCGAUCGUUACCCGACAAAAUCAGGAUGAUAAACCUUCGCCAAACUUCGAUACGCCAUCUUAAUCUCCAAAAUUGUCGCCGUUGGCUCCACCCUCAGUACCUUGUACAAGCUCCCUCCCGUCCCCGAUACCGUCACCGGCAUCUCCACUGAAAACAUACGGGGACUCCUCUUGUUCUUUCCCGAAGCGGCAGUGAAAUCGAAGAGCAACAGGGGAGCAGCGUGUGUUUAAUUAGGUUCGAUUUAGGGUUCACUUUUUCAUUUUAUAAAAUUAUAGUGUAAUUGUUCACAUAUUAAGUAACGAAUUAUAAGUCGACACGUGGCUGAGUAAAAAAUAACUUUAUUAUAAAACCAUCAUUAAUUUAUGAUAAAUAAACAAUUCUAUCACAAACCCAUCAUUAAUCCAUGAUAAAAAAUAAUUCUAUCAUAAAAUCAUCAUUAAUCUGUGAUAGAAAAUAAUUCUAUCACAAAGUCAUCAUUAAUUCACGAUAGAUUGAAAAUUAUGUCGCAAGUUUGUCAUAAUUUUAUGAUAUACCUAGAAUUUAUCAUAAGUUGUCUGUUAUCUAUUAACAAUUUUCUUGUAGUGAUAGUUAUAGGCACCAAUACCAAUAAUAAUAAAAGAAUAUGUUAAAAUUUUAAAGAAGAUCCAUAUUGCCUAGGUAGCAUUAUGUUUAGAGAAGAAACUUUUCUUGAAGUUUAGAUGAUAUAAAGACAAAUCUAAGUUUUAUGGUAAAUACUUACGAAUUUUAGGUUUUGUGAAAAAAUUACAUACAUAGUGAGUUUAUAAAUUAUUUUAAUAAUUUUUAAUUAAAAAAGGUAAAGGUAGACAAAGCCUACAUCCAUUUUUUUCUUUAAAACUUAGUAAUUUAAAAUAUCAAAAUAUUGAAUUAUUAAUAUUACGUGGUAGCAAGUUAUUUGGUGAAAGAUUUUUUAUUUUUAAAUCCAAAUCCGUCUCGUUAUGUAAUGAAUUUCAAUGGGUGCACUACAAGAAAACAGGUAAUAGAUGAUGGAAAAUAACUAUCAUAAAAGGGGGUGCAUGACAGACAAUUCAUUCGUCAUCUAUAUCACUGUCAUUAAUUUAUGACAGAAUAUUUUUCCAUCAUGAAUUUAUGAUGGUAUUUCACGGUCAUAUAUUCAUCGCAUAAUAUUUUAAUAUAAAAAUAAUUUAAUUAAAAUUAAAAUUUAUUUAAAUUUUGCACCUUUUUUUUUAAUUUUUGGCGGGAAGUUCAAUUAUCAUUUUAAAAUUUUGGCUGAAAAUUUUUUGUGACAGACUUUAUAAUGGCUAUUUUCCGUCAGAGUUAUAUAUUUUUUUAAAAAAUAUAUUAUAAUUAUAAUUUAUUAAUCAAUUCCUAUUUACAGAUUUAAUUAAUUGAUAAAAUGAAUAUGGGAACAAAAACUAAAAACAAAUAAUAUUAAUUAAAAUACAUUCAAUCCAACAAAUUCGAAAGAGAUACAUAUAGUAUCCAAUGUAAUCACCAUGAAUACAUAAUAAAACAUCUUAAAUUAAAAAAAAAAUCUCAAAUAUAAAACAACACUGUUAAGUUAUAAUACCAGAAACCAAGCCAAGUUACCCAACAAAACUUCUAAAGAUUAAUGGAAAUAUUCCAAUAGCAAGACUUUAAGCUUGACUUCCAGCAGUAAUGCCCUCUUCUAGUGGGAAUACUCCAACAGCCACACUCUAACACUCCAAUGCAGACACUCAACAACACUCCAACCCAUACCCAGCAACCCACCAUAUUCCAAUAACACUAAUUCCAGCCACAUACCCAGCAACAUUCCAAACCAAACCAGCAAAUAAAUCUAUACAAAAUCAAUCAAAAUACCCAAUGUUAUCAAAUGCAUAACAUCUACACUACAAUCCUUAACAACAACCAUUAUAAAGAGAUUAUAAAUCUCAUAAACAUCAAUAUAUUUUAUUUCGUUAUAAACCAUCUCUGACAGAGCAGUCCAGUUCAAUAGAACAUAACUCGUUCCAAAAAACCAUUCUGGUUCAAUAAACAUUACCCAUUCUUAAAAACCAUUCUAGUUCAGCAGAACAUUAACCAUUCUUAAAAUUUACUGUUUUACAUUUACUUAGUGUCAUUUUGGAUAGGAUAAAAGUCAAAGUCACAAGUUUGGGAUCAAUCAAGGUCAUAUGGUAUAUAGAAAUUUGUCAGUAGUAAUUGCAUUAUCUUUGACAGUUAGAAGCACUGAACCAAACCAAUCAUCAAACAAGGAAAUAAUGAAUCAAGAACAGAGAAAAUGAAUAAAUAGGACAGAAGAUUUUCAGAAGCAUUACUCUGGAGCAUGAUAACCAAAGGUUCCCAAAACUCGAGUAGAAUGAAGGCGAGCUGCCAUAUCAGGGGCCUGAUUUGAAAGGUUAAGAACUCUAAAAUUGCUUUCACUUGCAAUUUCUCUUAAAUUCUCAAAUUUGGGAUGAUUUCCAAGUGAAUAAUGCAUCUCUAUUUAUAGCCAAAAUGGUUGUACUGUUGCACCAACCUCUUUGCAAUUUGUCAUUUCUCCUCUCCGUCACUUUAAAAUUUUUUGCUAAUUUUUCCAUUUUUCUUCGUUCGGUGUAGGAUUGUCAAAUGCCAAAUAUUCUACAGCUUGAAGUUUUGAAUUUAGAAACCACUUUAUUGAUUUCUCAACAAAAAAGUUCAGACUUUUAAUCAGCUACUUGAAAGCUUGUAGACUAUGAUUUUAGUUUAGAUUUUGAUGGUUGUUUAUAGUCGUGAGCUAACUUGUACAAUUAAAUGAGUUACUGCUUUGGAUUACAUGCCUUGAAGUUUUCAGCAUACUGUUUUGGAAAAAUCCUAUCACAUUUGUAUACCUCGAGAGUUCACGCACGUACGUGUGUGCAUAACUCGCGCAUACAUAAACUUAUGCUCAUGCUAUACAUGCACGGAUAGAAGCACACUUGCAUAUAUGUCAUACAUGCACGGACAGAAGCACAUGCACUUGUAUAUAUGUGCACGAAGUUCGAGUGAAUUUCACGCAGAAGCAAACAAACCUUAAACAUCUUGGGCGUGUACCAUGUCCACUUCUAGCUUCGGUUACUUACUCAGUUUGAAAACUAAGUUGUGCUAUUAAAUGAAAAAUCUAAUAGGAUUAUGCCAUUAAAUUUUACAGCGCAUGUAAUCGGGGAAAAGUCUAUUCAAUCCUGCACAGUAAGUUUAAAAAUGGAAAACAAAUAAGGGAUUGGAAAGUAAUUUGAGAAAGGAAUCCAAAGUGGGGCGGUUACAAAAUCUGCUCUUAGUGACCUGUUGAGCACUAAUGCACUAUAUAAAUCGAACUUUAGUCCUCGAAGACACUGGCAAAUCAAAGCUAACCAUACACAAGUGAUUAGAAACAUCUCUCUGGUAGACAUGGGCUCACUUACUGGCAUAGACGAAAGCUUGCAAUAUCCGGUUGCUCGUAGAGACGAGUCCAUUGUCGAUGAUUAUCACGGCUUCAAAAUCCCCGACCCCUAUAGAUGGUAAAUAAAUGUAUAAUUCAAAAUCUGUUUUGACCAGAAUUCAUUUUUUUUUCAAUGUUAUUGGAGCAGGCUUGAGGAUCCAGAUGCGGAAGAGGUAAAAGAUUUUGUACAAAAGCAAGCGGAGUUAACAGACUGGGUGCUGAACAAAUGUGACGUAAGGGACAGGCUUCGGGAGAAGAUAACAAAGCUGUUUGAUAGUCCCCAAUACGACGCGCCGUUUAAGCAGGGGAAUAAGUAUUUUUAUUUUCAUAAUACGGGGCUGCAACCGCAAAGCGUGCUUUAUGUGCAGGAUAGUUUGGAUGCAGAAGCGAAAGUGUUGCUGGAUCCGAACACGCUCAGUGAAGAUGGAACGGUGGCGAUUACUACAGUUUCGGUUAGUGAGGAUGCUAAGUACUUGGCGUAUGCGCUUAGUAACAGUGGAAGUGAUUGGGUGACUAUCAAAUUAAUGCGCAUUGAGGAUCACAUUGUUGAAGCUGACACUUUGUCUUGGGCCUGUUUCUGUUUCUCCCAUUCGUUUUUAGUUAUUUUUUCCUUUGACAAUAUUAUUGCUAAAUGUACGCAUAUGCAUACAAGCUUUUCUUUAUUUAUUAUAUAAUAUAAUUUUUUUAUUUUAUUUAUUUUCACCUGUCAAAUCAACUAUAUUUUUUUUUAACUGCCAAAUCAACUAUUUAUGCUGUGGAGUGUUGUAUCACAGGCUAAGUUUACAAGUAUUACUUGGACCCAUGAUAGUAAAGGAUUUUUCUACAGCCGUUACCCAGCUCCCAAGUAAGGAUCUUCGCCAUUUAGUCAGCUCAGUGGAAUUUGAAUUCUUGACUUUAUAUUUAAACAUUAUGGAUAAUUUAUGAAUUUUGUUUCAUGCAUUUAUUGACUUUUUAUCCUGAGGGUGUGAAAGUUGUUUUAUUCUCCUGUGUUAUUCUUUAGAGAUGGCAAAGAGGUAGAUGCUGGAAUAGAGACCGAUUCCAACCUUUAUCACGAACUUUACUAUCAUUUUCUGGGUACGGAACAAUCAGAAGAUAUUUUAUGCUGGAAAGACCCAGAACAUCCCAAGUAUACUUUUUCUGGCCAUGUUACAGAAGACGGGCAGGUGACUAGCUCUUCAUAGGUUUAAUCUUUUUGCCUUUUUUGGAUCAAAAUGUUGUGUCUGAGUGGUGCCCCUGUUCUUUAUUUAUUUAUUUAUUUUUAAUGGUAUGGUUGUGCUCUUGUUUGUCCACCUGAAAUAGUUGAUGCAAAGCUUCAUUAAUGAUACACAAAUUUUGGCAAGCUGAUUCAUGGUUGACAUCCAAAGGUCACCGCAGGGGAUAUAAUGAAAGAAUAAUAACCUCUCUUCUAUAAUAUUUUUAGAAGAUGAUACUCUUUAAAACGAGGUUUAUUUGUGUCACUACUUGUUUAGUGAAAAUGUAGAUUUUAGAUACCCAUGUUAUUCUGUUAUUAGGUUACUUUAUGAAAUGAGAAGCAUCCAAUACUAAAGUUAAUUAUAUGGGGAAUUUAUUAUGAUGCAUGAUAUGUAUUUUCAUUACAUACAGGUCUGAUUGAAUUGAUUCUGAUUAGGAUUGUUAUUGGAAAAAAUUGUUAAUUUUUGUGGACCUCUUGUAAAUUAACUUCACAUUUUAUUCUGUUCAACAGUACCUUGUCAUGUAUAUAAGAGAGAACUUUGAUCAAGUCAACAAAGUAUACUAUUAUGACCUGUCUGCACUGCCAGAAGGUCUGGAAGGUUUUAGGAAAAGCAAUGGCUUGCUUCCAUUUGUUAAGCUAAUUGAUAGAUUCGAUGCACAGUAUGAAGUAGUUGCAAACGACGACAGUGUAUUUACCUUCCGCACUAGUAAAGAUGCCCCAAAGUAUAAAAUAGUCCGAGUAGAUCUCAGGGAGCCAAAUAAUUGGUCUGAAGUUGUCCCAGAGGCAGAAAGAGACGUGCUCGAGUCAGCAUCUGCUGCUAAUUUUAAUCAAAUGAUUUUGAGUUACUUGAGUGACGUGAAGUAUGUUCUUCAGAUAAGGGAUUUGAAAACCGGUUCCCUGCUACACCAAUUACCAAUUGAGAUCGGCUCAGUUAAUGCGAAAUCGUACGUCGUGAUGACAGAGUGGUUUUUAUUAGUUUUACUAGUUUCCUUACCCCUGGCAUUAUAUAUCAAUGCAAUUUAAAAACUGAGACUCCAGAAAUGAAGAUAUUCCGUGAGACUAGUGUACCUGGAUUUGAUCGCUCCGAGUUCCAUGUUCAUCAGGUAGGUGACUGUUGUUUAUCUAUUAAAGCUAGAUGAUGCCAGCUUUCAGAGUUUAUUGUUCAUUCAGUUUUAGGUUGUCAUAUUAAUUGCUUUAUUUUUCUGGGCUUCAUUCCCUUGAAAUUUCAGUAUAAUCAAAUUCUUUUUUUCUUGGCAAACUGCAUUUUGUUCAGUGUCUGAUUGGAUUUAUCAUUUCCAGGUUUUUGUGCCUAGUAAGGACGGCAGUACCAAGAUACCAAUGUUCAUUGUAGCCAAAAAGAAUAUCAAAUUGGAUGGAUCGCACCCUUGUUUAUUGUAUGGAUAUGGUGGAUUUAACGCAAGUAUAACACCUUCAUUUAGUGUCAGCCGCACUGUUCUCAUGAGGCAUCUUGGUGCUGUCUUCUGCAUUGCCAACAUCCGAGGCGGUGGAGAGUAUGGAGAGGAGUGGCAUAAAGACGGUGCACUUGCAAAGAAGCAGAAUUGCUUUGAUGAUUUCAUUUCUGCUUCCGAGUAUCUAAUAUCUGCUGGUUAUACCCAGUCUAGAAAGUUGUGUAUUGAAGGAGAAAGCAAUGGCGGGCUUCUUAUUGGGGCUUGCAUAAAUCAGGUGGAUUGCUUAGUUGAUUUUGUAUUUUUCAGUUUUCUGUGGUUAUUAUCGUAUUGAAUUCAUAAAAUAGCAUCGGUAAUUUUUUUCCCUCUUAUUACAGAGACCUGAUCUUUUUGGUUGUGCGCUGGCUCAUGUUGGUGUAAUGGAUAUGCUUCGGCUCCACAAGUUUACCAUAGGUUAGUUUAAAUCUUUUUAGCUAAGCAAUGAAAAAAUUUAACUAUUGUAUAUGUACUCAUCAAGAUUUGCUUUGUAGGUCAUGCAGGGUUUUCUGAAUAUGGUUGUCCAGAGAAGAAGGAAGAGUUUGAUUGGCUAAUCAAGUGAGUAAAACCGCGUUCCCUGUCCAAAAAUAUUGUGCACUGGUGAUAGGCUUUUAUGUAUUUAAGUCCAAAGUUCUAAAUCCCUGACAUGUUAAACGUUUUCUACACCAAAUCUAGCAAUUGAUGAAAAACCCUUUUUCCCUUGCAAAACGUAAUACCGCGUAGAGAUGGUUAACUUUGGUCAAUUUCACAGAAUGCGCAACUACUUCCCCUUCUUCCUUUCUUAUGAGCUCAAGAACUUGUGUUGCUUUGAUUCAGAAUAUUAUUUUUAUCAGCCUGACAUAGCACCUUAUGUCAUUUGAUCACUUAUCAGUGACAAUAAAAAAUGGGCUCUCUUGUCACUUGGUAACUGAUUAGUGUCUUGACUUUCUUUCAACUUCUUUUUAUAAGCUAUUAGUUUAUAUGCUCAUUUUAUCACAUUUAUAUUCUGUAGGUACUCCCCAUUACAUAAUGUCAGAAGACCAUGGGAACAGGACCCUGAUAAACCAUCUCAAUACCCAUCUACCCUACUAUUGACAGCUGAUCACGAUGAUCGUGUUGUGCCUUUGCACUCGUUGAAGUUAUUGGCGGUGAGUCCUUAAUUAAGAAAUUAUGUAUUGUUUUGUUGUCUUAUGUUUUUUGCAUUUAUUUCUUCUUCUGCAAAGCCUAUGCCUACGCAUGGUUAGCUUGUGAUGAUCAAUGGGCGACUAUUUCAUGCUUCCUUCGUUCUAUUUAUUCUCAGACUAUGCAAUAUGUUUUAUGCACGAGCUUGGAAAAUAGCCCUCAGACCAAUCCAAUACUUGGUCGCAUCGAGUGCAAGGCUGGACACGGAGCUGGACGUCCAACACAGAAAAUGGUAAUUUAAUCUUAUUUUUACUUGGUUUUUGUGUAGUUGAUUCCUUAUUUACUAUUUACCUUUUACUUCCAUAUAUUAUUGCAGAUUGAUGAAGCUGCUGAUUGCUAUGGCUUCAUGGCAAAAAUGUUAGGAGCUUCUUGGAUUGAGUAAUUGAUGUAGAUCUGAAAGAAUGAAAUGUUAGGAAAAGUUCUGGAACCGGAGAGAGUUCCAUUUCUUUGGUUUUUUUUUUUCAACAGAUGUGAUGGAACUUUUUUUUUAAUUUAAAUAAGAGAUUAGUUGUGUCUCUAACUCUUAGUAAAAUUAAACAACUUAUGAUAGAAUAUUAAAUUUUUGUUUUAAAUUUUAUCUCAAAUGCGUGGUAUGUGAUGCGUUUGUCCAUUAAGUUAUUUAUAAAGUAAAUUAGUUGUAUUAUUUUAUCAUCCAAUUAAUAAAUGCCACAUAAUCUGAAAUAAAUUUUUAGGAUAAACAUUUGGGAUGUAUAUAAGGUCAUUAAUCUAAUAUUUAGGACAACAUAUAAAUUGAACUAAUGGAAAAAGAAAAUUACUGAUGUCUCCACAAGUACAAUAAAAAAACAAAAUAUCAAAAAUAAAUAAAUAAACUAAAGAUAGAAGCGCAACAUUAAUAUCAUUAAUGUGAACUCAAAUGAUUACCAAGCAGAAACAUGAUAACAUAAACUAAUUUUUGAAUGGCAAAAAGAGCAGUAGUAUCGAUAUUAUCCAAUCAUUUUCCGGGCUUAUUUCCGUAAAACAUCUCAAAAACAUUAGCGCGCACACUUCUGAAAAUCAAUUAACAAAAAUUAACACGCCUUCAGAUAUUCGACCAAGCUAAGAAAAAAGACACUCCAAGCUGCGAGUAGCAAAUACAAUGCACCAUCACAGAUAAUGAACCAACCAAAUGCACUAAUAUAUCAAGCAAAUAAAACAUUCCAUCCAUGACACGAGAGGAUCAAUAAAUUGAUCGUAGUAUAAUGCACAAAGACUAAGCAGGAAAGUUUACCCCAGGACGUAAUUAAGAAUUUUGCUCAGUUGGUACACAUUUAAAAUAUAUUAUAAAUGAUAUUCACAUGACAAUAAAUAGCAUCGCGACUAUAAUAUUUAUUGAUAUUAUUCGUACUCCUCAGCGAGUUUCAUAGUUUUAAAUGAUGUAUGAAUGUGUUAUUAUCAAUGCAUGCUUUAUAUAAGAUACACUUGGUGUUGGCAACAUGAGUAAUGGACCGGUGUUCGGUGAGAUUUGGCGACAUAUCUAUAGUUUGUUUUGUUGUUGGUUUUUUUAUGAUGAUGAAAUGAUAAUAUCUAAGUUUAGGAAGUCCUUAUGUUAGAUGUUUAUUUUAACCUUUAUCAAUAAAAUUGAAAAGAAAAACAUCACUUUUUCAAUUUUUUGGUUAGUGAGUUAUUACUUAUUAGGGCUGGAUAAUAUAUUUUGUAAAAUCAAAAUUGUAAUUAAAUUCUAAAGAAUUGGGCUUUAGACAUGUGACAAGUUGAAACUUUUCAAAAUCAGCUAGGAAAUUAAUUUUCAUAGUUUCAAUACCAGAUAGAGCACUUUUACAAACUUUAAAGAAGAUAAGAAUUUUUCUUUCGAAUCAUACUUGGAAAUAUUCCAAAAACUAGCUGGCCUGUGCCCCACCUAGUCCAUUACUGAAAUUGCAUCCGCCCAUGGGUCAGUCUUGAUUCUUUUGGCUUAACAAAGAAGCAAUGAAGCAGUUUGCUGUUCAAUGAGACUACUUUUCACAUUUGAAGAAGAGUCUAUUGUUGUCGUAUCGAGGCCUUUAUAGCAUAAUUCAUACCUUUACAAAUGAGGAGAUUAAUGCGCAUUGAGGAUCACAUUGCCGAAGCUGACACUUUGUCUUGGGUCUGUUUCUGUUUCUCCCAUUCGUUUUUAGUUAUUUUUUCCUUUGACAAUAUUAUUGCUAAAUGUACGCAUAUACGUACAAGCUUUUCUUUAUUUAUUAUAUAAUAUAAUUUUUUUUUCACCUGUCAAAUCAACUAUAUAUAUAUAUAAUUUUUUUUAACUGCCAAAUCAACUAUUUUUGCUGUGGAGUGUUGUAUCACAGGCUAAGUUUACUAGUAUUACUUGGACCCAUGAUAGUAAAGGAUUUUUCUACAGCCGUUACCCAGCUCCCAAGUAAGGAUCUUCACCAUUUAGUCAGCUCAGUGGAAUUUGAAUUCUUGACUUUAUAUUUAAACAUUAUGGAUAAUUUAUGAAUUUUGUUUCAUGCAUUUAUUAACUUUUUAUCCUAAGGGUGUGAAAGUUGUUUUAUUCUCCUGUGUAAUUCUUUAGAGAUGGCAAAGCUGUAGACGCUGGAAUAGAGACUGAUUCCAGCCUUUAUCACGAAUUUUACUAUCAUUUUCUGGGUACGGAACAAUCAGAAGAUAUUUUAUGCUGGAAAGACCCAGAACAUCCCAAGUAUACUUUUUCUGGCCAUGUUACAGAAGACAGGCAGGUGACUAGCUCUUCAUAGGUUUAAUCUUUUUGCCUUUUUUGGAUCAAAAUGUUGUGUCUGAGUGGUGCCCCUGUCUUUAUUUAUUUAUUUAUUUAUUUUUAAUGGUAUGGUUGUGCUCUUGUUUGUCCACCUGAAAUAGUUGAUGCAAAGCUUCAUUAAUGAUACACAACUUUUGGCAAGCUGAUUCAUGGUUGAUAUCCAAAGGUCACCGCAGGGGAUAUAAUGAAGAAUAAUAACCUCCCUUCUAUAAUAUUUUUAGAAGAUGAUACUCUUUAAAACGAGGUUUAUUUGUAUCACUACUUGUUCAGUGAAAAUGUAGAUUUUAGAUACCCAUGUUAUUCUGUUAUUAGGUUACUUUAUGAAAUGAGAAGCAUCCAAUACUAAAGUUAAUUAUAUGGGGAAUUUAUUGUGAUGCGUGAUAUGUAUUUUCAUUGCAUACAGGUCUGAUUGAAUUGAUUCUGAUUAGGAUUGUUAUUGGAAAUAAUUGUAAAUUUUUGUGGACCUCUUGUAAAUUAACAGCACAUUUUAUUCUGUUCAAUGCUCUUAAUCCUGAUUGAGAAUAGCUAAUUAAAUUGUAUAUAUUUCUUUCCAGCUCAUAAUCCUUAUAUUCUCACUUUCUCUAAUAUAUUUUCGAUACUUUAACCAAUGUAGUUUAUCAUAUAGUGUUAUGACAUUGUUCUCAGCUGAAGAUUAUAAGGAAAGAUGGAGUUUUGGCUCUAAGAUGAGAUUUGUAAAGGUAAACAAAUUACCUUAACUGAAAUAUUGUGUACCUAUCACUUUAAACCUAAAAUAGAAUACAUUUAUAAUUGUUUUUGGUUUAUAAUUGUCAAUAGACCCCUCAACAGCUGGGAUGCAUGAAAUGUGGCUAUUACAACUUGAGGUUUAUGAAAGACAUUAUAGCAUACCUUAGUUUGCUGAUGAAUAAUGUGAGUCGGUGAUGAAUAAUAUCAUAUGAUUGGUUUAUACCAUAUGUACUACAUUGUUAUGGGAAUUUGACAAUGUUGAUUUUAUGGUUUUCAGUUCCAUAGAAAGGUUGUAUAAACUCAGGCUGAGAUAGAUGAAGUUCGUUUAGAGUGGGCGAACCAUUGUUAUGAAAUCAUUAACGUACCAAAAAAUGGUUAGUAUGAAUCCAAAACUAUACACAAACUUUUUUAUUACUUCUUAUAUAUUAUAAUUGGUUAGAGACAAUUUGAUUGUACACUCGAAUGAGUUAACCUCCUUAAUUGAGAUUAGUUAACUAUUGGAUCAUGAAUCACGUGUGUCAUUCCCUAAAACUAUGGAGCAAAUGCAUUCUCUCUUUGACAAUUCAAAGUAUUUUAGACAAAGUGGCAAUAAUAGUGACCUAGCUAGCCACCCAAGUUUCUUGAACUAGGGCUAAUCUUCUAUUUGAACAACAAACAACUGCAGGCAACGUUCUUAUCCUGAUAACAACAUUGUUAUUAAGAGAUGAGAUUGGUAAUAAUAGAGAAACUUGGUAGAUGCAUAUCAAUCUAUCCAUGGUAGUUGUUGAUGAAUUUGAAUAAUGAGGUAAAGUUUAAGGCAAAAAUUAAAAUAACAAUAAAGUUAAUAACAAAAAACAGUAAAAUAAAAGCAAGUUGAAUGAAAUAGCACAUGCCACUUAGUUAAUGGAAUCGGUUCUUGUAAUUGUAAGAGAAGAAAUGGAAUUAAAUUAUUCUUUUGAUUGAUUCAUCUAUCAUGUGAACAUGUGGUCUAUGUGUGUUUGGUAGUAAACUUGUAUGCUUUCCAUUCAAACCAAAGCUUGCUCUUUAUUUUCAUACUUGUAGAAAAGUAAUUUUAUUUUUAUGGGUACCAUUUUUGUUUCAGCAAGGAAUUAAGAUAAGUUGCAAAUGAAACCUGGAGUUUUAUUUUAGUAGAUAAAUGUUUAUAAUGAUAUGUUGGCUAUACUCAUUGGUGCUGCACAUGCAAACUGAGUUUAAAUUUGUAAUGAUUCCGUUGUAUCUAAAACCUAAGAGUUUUACUAUAUUAGUUUAAAUUUAUAAGAGUUUUAUUUGCUGAAUUGAUAUUGUUUGAUAUAACUAUUGGAGACAACUGUUUUUGGACUUAAUAGAAUGUAUAAUUUAAAUUUUGCUUCAUAUGGAUUUAUGAUUGAAUUUCAUAUAUAAGAAUGCAUAAAUUUAAAUGAAAUAAUUCAUAAUUUCUUUCCAUAUAAAUUUAGAACCUGUGAUAAAAUAUUAAUCAUAGAGUAAGGUGGCGUUUGUUUUUUUGUCUGAAAUCUGAAUAGACCUGAAUUAGUCUGAAUUCUGAAUAGGUCUGAAUGUCUGAAUGUGAAUAAUAUGUUUAUUUUUUCGUCUGAAUCUCGAAAAAUAAGUAUUAAGUUGUUUAUUUUUUUCAACUUAAAAAGCUGAAAAUAUGUACUUUUACAUUUGUAUCCUUAUUAAAUUUGAAUGUCAAAUAAAUAAUAUAUUAAAUACCACAAUAUUUUAACAUUUAUAAGUAAAACUAUAUUCAAGUGAAUACAUAAUUAUUUUAGAAUUUUAAUAUAUAAAAUACCAUAAAUUUCAAAUUUUAUCAUAUAUAAUAUAAGAAAGAAAAUACAGGGAUAUUUUUAUGUGGGGUAAAUAUCUAUAGGUGAGUUUUGGGAUAGACAUGAAAAAAAAUUAUAAAACAGGGAUAUUUUUGACAUUAGCAAGCAAUUGACUUAAUUCAGAUUUCUCUAUUAAGUAAAAAGCUAAAAAAAUUAGCUUAUUUUAUUAAGUCAAAAUUAUCUAAAAAGUCUCAUUAAAUUAUAAAAACAAACACCUCUAAUUAACUUAAUUAAUUAAGUUAAGUCACUUUAAGUCAUUAAGUUAAAAAACAAACGCCACCUAAGUCACAAAAAAUUAAUUUGUGACACAAAAAUAUUAAUCAUAAAAUAAGUUACAAAAAAUUAAUUUUUGACACAAAAUAUCAAUCACAAAUUCCAUCACAAACUAGGUAUUUUACCCGCUAAAAUUAUCCAGCAAUAAUUCACGCACGAAAAUCAAUUUUCCUGCCAAAAUUUUAAAAUUUUAAAAAAUCAAAUUUCCCGCCAAAAAAUAAAAAUAAUGUAUUCAUUUUUACCAUGACCGACAUAUGACAUCUAAAUGCUAUCAUAAGUUAAUGAUACACUUUUUUUUUUCUAUCAUAAAAGAGUGACAGGUGAUGAUGGAUAAUUUCAUUGUCAUCUACCUCUCUUUAUGAUAUAUUUUUUUUUUCUGUCAUCUAUUACCAGUUUUCUUGUAGUGAGUAUAAGCUAGAUAAUUAUAUAGAGAUGUUUGGUCUUGAUAAAGAUGAAGAUGGUGAACGAAAAUAUGGGGUGUGAUAAUAUGGUGGAGAAGAUGACGAAGGUGGAGAAUAGAAAUAGCCUCCCAAAAAUGGAGAAAUUGAUGAUAAUCUAAAAGACGGAAAGAAAAAGAGUGUGUGAGAGAGAGAAGAGGAAAGGCCGCAAGGAAAUGAGAGGGAAAAAAAAAAGAGUAUGCCCUAAUAUAGGUGAAUAAGAUAUUUACAGUAGAGGCUAGUGGUAAAAGAAAUGUAUAAAAGUUAUGGCUACAUGUCAUCCUAUUGUUAAACAAAGAGGAUUUUUUUAGAGCUUUGUAUUAUAUUUAGAGAAAAAUGAUGAUAAUAUUCCUUUUAUACUAGGUUUGUUCUCUUUCAUAAAUAUCAUGAAGCAUAUAAUCUUGACCAUUAAUUUCUAAACCAAUCCAAUAGAGUAAAUUCUUCCAAAUGGCAUUUUUAUACUAUGCCAAGUAUUAUGUCUAUUUUGUCCUUGUAAUUAUCCACAUAUGAUUCAUUUAUUUAUCCUAAAAAAUAUUUUUACAUUUACCCUCAAAUAGUAAACUUUAAACAACAGACAAAGCAAAAAUUUAGUAGUCAACUUAAAAUCAACCACUCUGAGCAAAUUGUUGCACGUCAUUGAUGAAUUAAGUUGCCUUAACAUACUAUGUGAUUACUGAAAAUGAAAGAUAAGCCAAUGUUGCCUUCGAUUUGAGACAGAGUAAUAAAUAAAAAUAUUAGAAGACAGAGGAUUAACAAUAUGCUAAAAUGCAAAUAAAAAAAAUAGCUUGUAUGUCGUGUUAGAAAUUUACAAACCUAAUACAAAGUUUAGUUAGAGCUCAUCUACUCCUCUUAAACGUUGUUGAAAUGAUUUUGAGGAUUAACAAUAUGUUACUGUAACACUUUUAUUUCAUUUAUUAUUAUUAUUAUUAUUAUUAUUAUUAUUAUUAUUAUUAUUAUUAUUAUUAUUUUAUACAUAUUUUAUAGAAUAUAAUAUUUUCGGAUAAAGAUGAGUGUUCUAAAUUUUAAAAUCACUUAAAUUUUUUUACCAAUUUAUUAAAUACCUUAUUAAAAAAGCAAAUAAAUUCCUUGAUGAGUAAGGGUAUUGUUGUAUAUUUUAAGCUCAAUUGCUAUAGGUGUCAAUGUGCAAGUGUACACAACAAGUAAUAAAGUGAUGAAUAUUCAAAAUCGUCUCCACAUUGACUAAUGCUACUGGACAUGCUACAGCAAUCACAACAGUGCAAACCUUCUUCUAUCUUAACUUGAUAAAAUUAAUAAGGUUGACUAACUAAUGAGAAUAACAAUUCAAUAAAGUAAAAAUGCAAUUAUAAAUUAAAUUGUACGUUCAACACAAAGAGAAUUCAAUAGGAGUGGAGUAGUUGAAUGAUCAAACUCUCCCGAUGGGGUGACUGUCUUGUCAAAUUAACACCAGUUGCUACAACAUUUGCUACAGUACUGGACUUCUCAACUGUCGCAUGUUGGACUUCUCAUACCCUUAUGCAACCUGACUAGUUGUUAUGUCAACACAAGAUACGACAUUACAAGCAUGUGCUCUCUCUACCCUACAAGGUGAAUCCCUAUAUCUAAUUCAUCACAAAUCUUAAAUCAAGUGUGGCUCUUUUGGGAUUUAAGUUAAACUCAAUCCAGGAAACUUAACUUAAGAUCAAGUAUUGCUCUAAUAAGUUCCACAAAGAUAAGCCCUUUUGUGGCUCUCUCUUAGCUGGCAUCAUUAAAUGGGAGGUCAACCGAAAUAAUAAAUGUAAUAAGAUUUAUUAAAGUAAAGUGCUACAACAGGCAUGCAACAACUCAUAAGAAGAGUCAAGAACCCAUCUAGAUUAUUUGUCACUCAACUACAAUCAAAUUUAGUUCAUAACCUGUAAAAGAAAAACAAAUGAUAAAGUUCUAGCCAUCAAGUACAUAUUUCCAACCAAAGAAUAAAGAAGAAGAACAAGAGUUGAAUGAGAAAAGUUGAAUUCCAAAUAUUCUGCAGAUUUUGUUAUUGGUGCAUACUUGCGUCAUUCUCUUCAAUCUUCUCCUUUAUAUCUUUCUUGUUUUUCUUUCAAUCGUGAUUGACGGCCUUCCUUUCCUAUGUUGUGUGUUCCUUUUAUAGUUGAAAACUAGGGUAAAUAGAAGCCUAGGUUGCGUAUCUUCUAAAUUAGGAAGCUACAGAUCGCAAGAUUCUGCAAAAUUUUCUCUGUCAUUGUUUCAGGGUUGCUACACUAACGCUUGUUAUAGCAACAACUACAGCGACUGCACUGUUCCAGAUUCGUUUCAAUUCUUUUGUAGUCAAGCUCUUUUCCAUCUUUUGCAUCUUUUGCAGGCCUAUUGCAUUAGCAUUCCUUCCUUAAAAUUUGAGCUUCCAGUCACCUACAAUUAUGCAUAUUAUUUAAAUACACAAUUUAUUCUAAAGCAAACAAAAUUUAUGAAGAAUAAACUAAGAUAAUUGUUUAAGCAAAAUACAACAAAAGUGCAAUAAAAACACAUUAUUUUAUUCUCUAAGUAUUAUUAAUUUAAGUGUAGAAGCGCCAUGAUAACUCUCAUUUCAUAGAGUUAUCACACCCCCAAACUUAAACCAUUACUUCUCCUCAAGUAAUGACAACAACACCAACACUUCAUUCACACAAUCAUACAACAAAGAACUUAGCUCUGUCAUCAAAUUUACAAGGAUUCUUCAACCCUCAUAUCACACUCUCAAUCAUGCAAAAUAGCCAUAGCAGUUCAGUUCUGGACUUAAGCUUCAUUAUGUCUAAAGUGUGUGUGUGCCAUUUUGAUCAAGUUCCAGAGAUACUAUAGUAUUACACAGACAUUGCAUAUAAUUCAAAUGUAGAACACAAAUAUAUUCACAUAUAGGGGAGCAGAAUUCACAAAUAACCUCAAACUAUGUUACAACAAAAAUAAUAUUUUUUAAUAAACUCUCCUCAAUGUAUCAUUGAUUUUCAUGUGCAUAUCAAUCACUUGUAAUGAUGACACCAAUUACUCAACCAAUGCACAGAUCAGAGUUGCUGCAGUAAUCCUAAUAAUAUAGUCUUAUCUAAAGUUAUCUAAAGUAAUUUUACCCUUUAUAAAUAUGCAUUCUCCACUAUUUAAUAAUGAUACUAUUGUUUUAUACUAAAGUUUAUUUAUUAACAACCAAAUUCGAAGCUAUUUUUAAUAGUUCUUUUGCCAUUAGAAAAGUUAUACACUUAUUUUUGUUUAUUAUUGAUGACUUGAUUGAACAAAAAUCUUUUCUGCCUAAAAAAGGUUAGUACAUAGUUGUACAAGUAAGUAAAAAAAUUACUUUUCUUGUAGUUUGCACAUUGUGUUAGAUUUAUUUCUCACAUAUUGUAGAUUGGCAUAGAUCAUUCUAAUUAUUUUUCAUGUUUUACCAGAUUAAUAUGUGACUGAUGUCAAAUAUUAAAGAGUACGUACUUUUGACAGACUCAUUUAUUAAGUGAUCAAAUAUUAUGUUAAUGAGUCUAAUUUUGUCAUACCCUAUAUAGUAGUCCAUUAUGGGCAAGUAUAACCUUCAAUUGUGUUAUUUUAGCUCAUAAUGGAAUGGGCAAUUUUGUACUAACACAUGAGGGGUCCCUGCACUCAGCUAUAAUAUUUAAGUGCCUUCAGCUCAUUUGGAUUUCACUAUUCAUAGAAUCUGGGGUAUGAGUACAGUGCACCUCUCUCUCUCUCCCUCCCUCUUGGCCGAUUGUGUUUGUGUGCAUAGUGAGCGUGAUUUUGCAGCUGAAAUUUAAAGUAGAAUCACUGCAAAUUAGAAGAAAAAAAUGUUGGAUUCACGAGUAAGAGGCAAGUUGGAUAAUAAAAUUUGAAUUCAUGGCCAAUCAAGGUAAAUCUCAAACUUUUAUCUAAUGAAUGUUUUUACUUGGAAAUGUAAGAUAAAGGGCAUAAAGCUCAAAUUUAUCUCAGCACAUAGUUGUACAAGUGUCUACACACACACACACACAUAUAUCAUUACUCUGGAGACUAGGGUACUAAUUCACCCCAUUUCAUGUACUUGUUGGAUGAUAUUGUGGAGUGAAGUGCAUAUAUAUAAAUAUAUAGCAUCACUCUGGAGACUAGGGUACUGAUCCACCAUUUCAUGUACUUGCUGGGUGAUAUUGUGGAGCUGAUUCACUUUCAUUUUUCCAUAUAUAUAAUGGUAUGUCCACAUAUAAAAUGAUAACAAUAAUAAUAAAAAGAGCAAUGCAUGCUAAAUGUUUUAUAAAUAUGAUGAUAAUAAAUAAAUAAUAUUAUAUGACAUAAGUAUAUUUAUUUUGAAAAACAUGUAAUUAAUUUUUAUACAAAAUUCAACUAAACAUACACACAUACAAUAUUUAAUUAUAUCAUCUCUUACCAUAUCAUUUAUCAUAUGAUCCUAAACACUACUAAAGAAACGCAAAUUAAUGACAAAAUUUUUAUAACAGAUAACAUUGUGUUACAAAUAUAUCAUGUAUGUGUAUGACAUGUUCGUGACAUAUAAUUAUAUGUCAAGAUUACAUGACUUAUUCGUGACUUAUAACUUACUGACAUAAGUAAAUGAUAGAUAUAUGUAAUGUUGAUUUUUUUUAAUAAAUUAAAAUGACAAGUCGUUUUAUGAUACCAUCUAACGUUGUUUGCGAAGCAUGACAGGCAUUGUCAUAGAUUGAAAUGACAUUGUUUCAAACCAUGACAGGCAUGGUAUGCAAUGACGUCAUUUUUUAAUUAUUAAUUCAAUUAUUUUAAGUUUUCUAUAAUAACUUUAAUUACAAAAAUACCAUUGUAAUAUAACAUUGAUUUUUACAUGAUUUGAGUAUUCGACGGUGUUUGUGCACUAUGAUAGACAUUUGUCAUGAACUUUUAAAUAUAAUUGAAACUUUAAAAUUAAAUUGUUUUAAGUUAACCCUCUUUUAUGACUAAUUGCACCUCCACCUUAAUUUAAAACAAAACCCAAAUGCCAAACGUCUUUCUUUUUAACUCACACAGCCCCCCUUUAAUUUCUCCAAAGGAGCCAAACUAGAACCAGCAGCCGCUAAUUCCAAACGACCUAAACUAACCCCCUUCUACUCGGUGCAUGCUCACAUCUCUACUGCAUCUGCUACUAAUAUCUCCACAACUCCUCCACUAGCUCCGGUAUGUCGUCUCCUCUAUCCCAACUCUUAUGUGUUCUUAGGAAGUGAUAUUUUAGAAUGAACAUUUAUUAUAAUGAUUUGAUUGUUUUUGUUUCUUAUUAAGUUAGAAUUAAAUUAUUGUGAAUGGAAUUUGAAAAUUAGAAAGAAAAUUUUUAUUGAUCAUUUCUAGAUUUUUUUUAAUUAUUGAAUUAUGUUAGGGAUUUAGAUCUUAAAAUUUAAUUUUACACCACAUAAGGGUUUAAGCUUUAUGGCAGUUAUAAAUUUGUAAAUAAUUUUCUAGACUGUACUCUAUUACUUUAUUAGUUCAUAAAGUGUUUAAAGUGAAAUAUAUAUGUUUGAGGCUUUUUAUAGUUCAUGUUUUACGUUGAAAGUUAUCGGUUAGGUACAAUAAGACUACAUUAAGAUAAUUGAGAGUUUUGUUGGUGUUGCACUUUCUCAAACUGUAUACGUCAAUUUAAGGCCAUAUUGAAGUUUAUUAAAGCAAAUAAUUGUCAAAAUAAUGGCUGACAAAGCCUGUGGCUUUAACAAGCCAAAUUCAAAUUGGCUUUGACAACCACCAAUCUAGAAGAAUGAAGAAACUUUGAAGCAGCAAAUAUUGAAGGGGAAAAGUGCCGCCCAAAGAAAACAAGGAAAAAGAAAAAGGAAGAGUUGAAGCUGCCAAAUUUGAACAAAGACAAAAAGAAAGAAGAAGAAAAAAUGGAAUUUGGCAGCAGCGUUCUUUGAAGAAGGAAAAAGAAGAAUGAAGAAGAUAAUGGCGGUGAGAAAAAAUAAUAUUUUAAUAGCCAAUUUUGGCUAUAAAAAGGGAGAGCUCCUCAUUUCAUUUUGGCAUAAAAAAUUUGUGAGAGAGAAAGCAUAGAGCUUGAGUAAUUUUAAAGGCUUAAAAUUACCUUUAAAAUUACUCAAGCUCCUAUGAGUCUAGUGAGUGAGAGAUUGAGUGUAUUGAGAUUCUAGGUAGUGAGCCAAAAUAUUAUAAUACUUGUAAUCCUCAUAUCACUAGUAAAAUAUUUUCCUUAUAUUUUCGCCCGUGGAUGUAGAUUAAAAGUCGAACCACAUAAUUUCCUAGUGUCCUCUUUCUGCUUGUUCUUUAUUUUUUUCUUCCAAGUUCAUUUUAUCUGUGAUUCUAUUUCACCCACCAAUUUCCUAACAGUGGUAUCAGAGCUACUGGUUGUAUUUUUUUUUGGAGUCGGUGGUACUGUUCACGUAAAAGUAUUGUUUACGUAUACGGUACUAUUCACGUAUACGGUACUGUUCACGUAUACGGUUCAUGUUCACGUGAAAUGGUAGGAGCUGAUCUUAGCAAAGUUAGUUCGUGGUGAAAAGCGAUAGCGGAAAUAUACGAAAUUGAGAAGUUCAACUGAAAUAAUUUUUCAUUGUGGAAAAUGAAGAUAAAAACUGUAUUGAAGAAAAAUAAUUGCUUGACAGCAAUUGGAGAAAAGCCUAUGGAGAUAAUUGAUGACAAGUGGAACGAGAUAGAUGGCAACGCUAUUUCUAUCUACACUUGGCACUUGCGGAUGAAGUAUUAUGCAGUGUGGCAAAGAAAAAGACAGCAAAGAAAAUAUGGGAUACUCUCACAAAAUUGUCGAGGCCAAGUCGCUGCACAAUAAGAUCUUUUUAAAGAGGAGACUCUAGACUUUUUGAAUGGCGGAAUUUACAUCAGUGACCGACCACAUCAACACCUUAAAGACUCUAUUUUCACAACUCAUAACAUUGGGUCAUAAUAUAGAGGAAAAUGAACAUAAGGAGCUUCUACUUCAAAGUCUACCAGAUUCGUAUGAUCAACGCAUCAUCAAUUUGACAAACAAUACCCCAGCGGACAGUCUAGUCUUCAAUGAUGUUGCAGCCUCCGUAUUAAAUAAGGAGAGCAGGAGGAAAAAUAAGGAAGACAGACAAACAAGUUCGCAGUAAGCAUAAGCAUUAUCGGUGACGAGAGGGAGAUCAACGGAACGUGGCCCCAGUGGGAAUCACAAUCAUGGUAUAUCAAAAUCCAAAAGUAAAAAGAAUAUUAAAUGCUACAACUGUGGCAAGAAAGAGCACGUCAAUAAAGAUUGUUGGAACAACCAAAAGAGAAGAGAGGGCAAAUAACCUGAGUCAUCAAAUGCUCAGGGGUGUGUAGCAAGUACUUAGGAUGAUGGCGAAAUUCUCUACAACGAGGCAACAACUGUUUUAGAUGGUAGAAAACGGCUAUCUGACGUCUGGCUCAUAGAUUCAGGAGCUACCUGACACAUGACCUCUCAGAGAGAAUGGUUUCACACAUAUGAACCUAUCUAAGAAGGAUCUGUAUAUAAGGGUGACGAUCAUGCCUUAGAGAUCGUUGGUAUUGAUACUAUCAAAAUAAAAAUGUUUGAUAGUACAAUUCACAUAAUUGGGGAGGUACGACAUGUCAACGCGCUGAAGAAAAAUCUAUUGUCUUUAGGACAAAUAGAUAGUCAUGGGUGCAAAACUCAUGUGAAAAAUAAAAUUAUGAAGAUUGUUAAAGGCGUGCUUGUACUGAUGAAGGCAGAAAAGAUCGGUAUUAAUCUAUUCAUGCUUAAAGGAGAAACAUUACAUGAAGCUGAUGCUUGUGUUGUAUCAAACAGAGAAGAGUCAAUGAUGAUGUGGCAUAUCAAACUUGGUCACAUGUCGGAAUAAGGUUUGAAGAUUCUCUCUGAGUGAAAAUUACUUCCAAGUCUCAAAUCGGUAAGCUUACCAUUUUGUGAGCAUUGUGUUAUAAGUAAGCAGUAUAAAUUAAAGUUUAAUAGAUCUAUUGCUAGAAGUAAAUGCAUUCUAGACUUAGUUUACUCUGAUGUUUCGGAAUCACCGGACAUAUCCAUAAGAGGUGCAAAGUAUAUAGUGACUUUCAUUGAUGAUUAUUCCAGGAGAUGUUUGGUGUAUCUAAUUAAGAAAAAGUCAUAUGUAUUUCCAGUGUUUAAAGAAUACAAAGCGCGGGUGGAACUUGAAUCUAGCAAAAGGAUUAAGUACUUGAGGACAGAUAAUGGUAGAGAGUAUACAGACAACGAGUUUCUUGUUUUCUGUAAGCAAGAAGGUAUUCAGAGGCAGUUCAUGGUAGCAUAAACUCCUCAACAAAAUGGAGUGGUAGAGAGGAUGAACAUGACUCUUACAGAAAUGAUAAGAGCUAUGUUGAGGACUGCUGGUCUACCCAAUUCAUUCUAGGCAGAAGCAGCCAAAACUGCUUGUUAUAUAGUAAAUCGGUCGCCAUCCAUAGUUAUUGGGCUAAAGACAACGAUGAAGAUGUGGACUGGAAAGCUAGCUGAUUACUCCUACCCACAUGCAUUCGGAUGUCCUGCGUAUGUAAUGUAUAAUAUCCAAGAAAGAACAAAGUUAGAUCCAAAAUCUAGAAGGUGUAUCUUCUUGGGGUAUUGUCUGUGGGAUCUCACUGCCCAUAAGAUUGUCAUCAGCAAAGAUAUUAUCUUUGUAGAAGAUCAAUUUUAAAAGAGAGAUGAGGAUGAUAGCACUGUAAAAGAAAAGUCAGAGAUUGUGCUGGUCUAUGUGGAAAAUAAUCUAGAAGAUUUGGAUUCUUCUGAAGAAGCACCAGAGCACGAGGAACAAGAACCAGUCGAGUCCAAGGCUUCAGAAGUUCGUUGGUCAACUCUUGAGAGACGACCGCCAACGUGCCACUCGGAGUAUGUCACAGAUAUCAAUGUUGCAUACUGUCCUCUAACAGAGGAUGGAGAGCCAUCAACUUUUCAUGAAACUUUAAACAACUCAGAUGUUGCUUUGUGGAUGACAACAAUGUAAGAGGAAAUUGAAGCUCUACACGAGAACAAGACAUGGGAACUUAUAUUACAACCACGCGGAAGAAAAACCAUGGUAACAAAUGGGUCUACAAGAUCAAACGUGAUAGUAAUGACCAAGUGGAGCGGUAUCGUGCAAGAUUAGUGGUGAAAGAAUAUGCUCAGAAAGAAGGUAUUGACUUCAAUGAGAUAUUUUCUCUGGUGGUUCGACUUACAACAGUCAGAGUAGUCUUGGCGAUGUGUGCUACAUUUGGCUUACAUCUUGAGCAGUUAGAUGUGAAAACUGCAUUUCUUCAUGGAAAACUUGAAGAAGAAAUAUAUAUGCUCCAACCAGAAGUUUUUGCUGAAAUAGGAAAGGAGAACUUGGUUUGCAGGUUGAACAAAUCCCUAUACGGUCUCAAACAGACACUGAGGUGUUGGUAUAAGAGAUUUGAUUCUUUCAUCAUGAGCCUUGGAUACAACAGACUCAGUUCAGACCAUUGUGUAUAUUAAAAGAGAUUUGAAGAUAAUGAUUUCAUUAUUUUGCUGUUGUACGUGGAUGACAUGUUGAUAGCAGGCCCCAACAAAGAUCGAGUCCAAGAAUUGAAGGCACAAUUGACUAAGAAGUUUAAAAUGAAAGACUUGGGACCAGCUAACAAGAUUCUAGGGAUGCAAAUUCACCGAGAGAGAAUUAAUAAGAAGAUUUUGCUUUCUCAGAAGAACUGCUUGAAGAAAAUAUUGCGACUCUUCAACAUGCACGAUUGUAAGCCAAUUUUUACCUCACUUCCUGUUAAUUUUAAAUUAUCCUCAAGUAUGUGUCCUAGCAAUGAAGCAGAGAGGAAUGAGAUGUCUCGAGUACCGUAUGCAUUAGCAGUAGGAAGUUUGAUGUUCGCUAUAAUAUGUACUAGACCAAACAUUGCACAAGCAGUGGGAGCAAUCAGUCGAUACAUGGCGAAUCUUGGUGGAGAGCAUUGGAAAACUGUGAAAAGGAUUUUGAGAUACAUUAGAGGAACCUCUAAUGUUGCAUUAUGUUAUGGAGGAUCAGAAUUUACUGUCAGGGGUCACGUGGAUUCAGAUUUUACAGGAGACCUUGAUAAAAGGAAAUCCACUAUUGGCUAUGUGUUUACACUUGCGGGAGGAGCUGUAAGCUGGGUUUCAAAACUACAAACCGUUGUGGCUUUAUCUACAAUAGAAGCAAAAUACAUGGCGGCUACACAAGCUUGCAAGGAAGCUAUUUGGAUACAAAGGUUAUUAGAGGAAUGCGGGCACAAACAAGAAAUUUUUUUUGUGUAUUGUGACAGUUAGAGUGCCUUGCACAUUACAAGGAAUCCAGCCUUUCAUUCCAGGACAAAGCACAUAGGGGUAUAGUAUCACUUUAUUCGAGAAGUAGUGGAAGACGGAAGUGUGGAUUUAUUGAAAAUCCAUAUGAAGGAGAACCUAGCAGAUGUUAUGACCAAGCCAAUCAAUACUGACAAGUUUGUAUGGAGUAGAUCCUCUUGUGACCUAGCAGAGACGUAAGCAACAUGACAAUGACGAAACAGAAAGGAUGGGUGGAGAUUGAUUGAUCCUCAAUCAAAUCUCCAAGUGAGAGAAUCUCAAAAUAAUAGCUGACAAAGCCGGUGGCUUUAACAAGCCAAAUUCAAAUUGGCUUUGACAGCCACCAAUCUAUGAGAAUGAAGAAACUUUGAAGUAACAAAUAUUGAAGGGGAAAGUUGCCGCCCAAAGAAAACAAGGAAGAAGAAAAAGGAAGAGUUGAAGCUGCCAAAUUUGAACAAAGACAAAAUGAAAGAAGAAGAAAAAAUGGAAUUUGGCAGUAACAUUCUUUGAAGAAGGAAAAAGAAUAAUGAAUAAGAUAAUGGCGGUGAGAAAAAAAUUAUAUUUUAAUAGCCAAUUUUGGCUAUAAAAAUGGAGAGCUCCCCAUUUCGUUAUGGCAUAAAAAAUUUGUGAGAGAGAAAGCAGGGAGCUUGGGUAAUUUUAAAGGUUUAAAUUAUAAAGCUCUUGUGAGUCUAGUGAGUGAGAGAUUGGGUGUAUUGAGGUUCUGGGUAGUGAGCCAAAAUAUUAUAAUACUUGUAAUUCUCAUAUCACUAGUAAAAUAUUUUCCUUCUGUCUUCUCCCGUUAAUGUAGGCUAAAAGCCGAACCACGUAAUUUCUUGGUGUCCUCUUUGUACUUGUUCUUUAUUUUUUCUUCCAAUUUCAUUUUAACUGUGGUUCUGCUUUACCCACCAAAUUCCUAACAAUAAUCCUAGUGCAUUUUGUAAAGAUAAAGUUGAUGGAAACUUGGUUUUUGAGAUUAUCCAAAUGAUGUUUUUUUCUCUUAAUUGAAAUUCCAGGUGGCCGGCAACUAAAUUGUGUUUUGGAUCUAAGGACCCCAUGUUGGAUUUUGUCCUGAACGUCACAUAAUUUGUUAGACUGUAGUUGGUUGAUGAGGUGCUUUAGUUUUUUGCUUGCUAGUUAAGUUAACAUGCAGCGUUUGUACCAAUCAUCUCUCAAAAGCUGGAAUUUUUAUGUUUUUAGUGGAAAUAUGGAGUUUGAUGUAGCCUAAGAAUGAAUGAUGUUCUUGUUCAUAUUAUGUGAUGGAUAGUAAUUGUAUUUAGUUUAAAAGAACAAAUAAUAUAUUCAUGUUAUUAUUAUGUAGUUUAAUUAAUUUUAAAUUCUUAAUUUGUAUAUAUUUAUAUAAUUUUGGAGCAUAUACACAUAUCAUCAUCAUCAUCAUAAUAAUUUAUAAAAGAAUAUAUUUCAAAAUUAAAAUUUAAUUCAAUAAUAAAUACAAUUAAUUGAAUAAAUUAAUAAUUAAGUAAAAUAAUUUUGUAAUUCCAUCCCAACUCAUUUAAAAAUUUUAAAAUUUCGUCAAAUUUAUUUGGAAAAUUAUCAUUUGUAUACCCUUAGUUUACUACAUUAUCAAAAAUACUACAAUACUUUGAGGGUGUAUCAAUCGUCCACCCUAAGUUGACAAAAUGUAUCAGUUGACCACCAAACCGUUAGUUGCCGUUUAAGUAUGAUGACGUCAAAAGGGUAAUUUGGUCUUUUCAUAUGAUACAAGUGAUAAUUUAAGGGUAUACAAGUGAUAAAAAGAGAAUUUAAGGGUAUACAAGUGAUAAUUUUCAAGGGUAAAAUCGUCAAUUCACUAUAACUCCGUUAACUUUCAAACGGCAACUAACGGUUUGGUGGUCGGCUGAUACAUUUUGUCAACUAAGGGUGGACGAUUGAUACACCCUCAAAGUGUUGUAGUAUUUUUAAUAACAGAACAAAUAUAGGGUAUAUGAAUGAUAAUUUCCUAAUUUAUUUAGAUUUUGGAAUUCCAGCCAAAUUCAUUUAUAUGUAUCAUUUGUUAACAUAAAUAUGUUAAUAAUAUUGAUUUUGAUGAUAACAAAUUUUAAAUGAUUUUUGAUAAAAGUAUUGGAGCUAUUUCUUAAUAAACGAGAGCAUUAGUAAUCAUUCCAUUCAUGCUUCAUAAAAGAUGGACUUUAAAAUUAGAAAAAGAUUCUCUGCAAAAACUGGUUUAAAAUGCAAUUUUGGUUAUAAACGGUGAACCGUUUAUUUAAACGGUUAACCGAUAACAGCCAGAGAGCAAACAUUUUCCCUAAACCUCUAACCGUUUAUGAAAAAUAGAAAACACAAAAGAUAGGGAGGUUACUAGAACUUAACGGUAAACCGUUUUAUUUUAAACGGUUAACCGAUUAGCACCAGAGAGCAACAUAUUACCUAAGCUCUAACCGGUUAUGCUUAACGGAAAACACCCAAGAUGGGAAGGCUACUGGAACCUAACGGUGAACCGUUUAUUUUAAACGGUUAACCGAUAACGUCCAGAAUAGAUGGUUGUCCACCUCUGGCACUGAUUAACGAAAACUGAUAAGGCUAAAUUGUUUUGCAGGUUACUGGAGACAAACGGCGAACCGUUUAUAUCAAACGGUUAACCGAGAAUAUCCAGAGAAGCCACUUCACGCAAGUCCUUAACCGUUUAGCGUAAACGGAUAACAAAUGCUCAUCUUGCAGGUCUCUGGACGUUAACGGCGAAAGGGCAACCCUAAACGGCAAACCGUUUAUUUGAAAUCUGGCCCAACGGUAACUUUGACCAGCCUAAACGGUUAACCGUUAAUGGUUAACGGCGAACCGUUUUCUGUCCGACAGUUUGUAACGGCUAGAUUUUCGGCUCCAAAUAUAAAUAAGCUCAUUCAAAUUCAAAGAAGAUUGAUAUCUUCAUAGAGCUUAGAACACAUUCUUGCUUCAUCUAUUCACAUAUUAAGCAUCAUUGUGUAAUCUUAUAUAUUGUGAGAGGCAAAACAGUUUGUAAUCUUUUACUUUGAGUGAUUGUAAGUGUUGGGAUACACUUGGGUUAAGAGAUUGGGGAUAAUCUCUUGUUGUAAAGGUCCAUUGACACCUUGGAAGUCAAGUGUAAGCAUUUGAAGCCUUGGAGGCUUGCUUAGUGGAAUCCUCAAGCCCGGAAAGCUUGGAGGCGUGGACGUAGGCGAGGUUGGCCGAACCACGUAAAAAUCUCGGUGUUUGAAUCCCUCUUCCCUUAUCUUUUUAUAUUGUGAUCAUCUUAAUUGUUAUUGCUUUGAAUUUGAUUUAUAAUUGCAUUAAGAUUUUCUUUAAUAAAUUGAAUUUUUUUUUAGAAUCCCAAUUCACCCCCCCUCUUGGGUUGCAUACUUGUAUUUCAAUUGGUAUCAGAGCCUCGUUCUCUUGGUAAGGCUUAAUCGUCUAGAGUAAAAGAUCCAUGGCAACCCUAAAUGACUCAACCUUUAGAGAAGGGCAAUCCACAACUAGACCACAAUUUUUUGAUGGUAAUGAUUAUGCUUAUUGGAAAACUAGAAUGAGAAUCUAUUUGCAAGCCUUAGAUUAUGAAAUUUGGGAAGUUGUUUGUGAUGGUCCAUUCAUGCCUACGUUCAAAGAUGAAGUAGGAGAUGAUAUUCCUAAACCAUCGAGUCAAUGGAGUGAGUUAGAAAAGAGAAAGAUGUCUCUAAACUCCAAGGCUAUGAAUGCUUUGUUUUGUGCUCUUGAUAAGAAAGAAUUCCAUAGAGUAUCUAGUUGCGAAAGUGCACAAGAGAUAUGGAACGAACUUGAAGUUGUCUAUGAAGGGACAAAUCAAGUGAAAGAGUCUAAAAUCAGUAGAUACACUCGUCAAUAUGAGUUGUUCCAAAUGGAACAAAAUGAAAAUGUGUAUUCUAUGUACACUAGAUUCACGGACAUAGUGAACACCCUAGGUGCCUUAGGGAAAACCUUCUCAAAUAGUGAGAAAGUUAAGAAAAUCAUUAGGUCACUUCCAAAAGAAUGGAGACCUAAAAGAACCGCCAUUGAAGAGGCCAAAGAUUUAAAUACUUUACCUCUUGAUGAUCUAAUUGGUUCUCUUAUUUCGUAUGAAGAGGAUUUAGCUGCAGAAAAAGGACAAGAGGAGAAGAAGAAAAGCAUUGCUCUCAAAGCUUCAAAAUAUGAGAGUGAUGGGGAGAGUGAACCGGAUGAUGAAGAGCUAGCCAUGCUAGCAAGGAGGUUCAGAAAAUUCUUCAAGAAAACCGGAGAGCGAAGAAAUUUCAGAAACUUCAAGAAUCAUAGGGAGAAGAAGGAGGCAAUCACUUGCUAUGAAUGCAAGAAGCCUGGACAUAUAAGAUCGGAGUGCCCACUUAUCAACAAACUCAAGAAGAAAGCAAUGGUCGCAACUUGGGAUGAUAGUGAGGAAGAGUCAAAUGAUGAAGAAGGAUCGCAAGAAGUAUCAAACUUAGCACUCAUGGCAAUAGGAGGGGAUGAUGAUCUCAAUGAGGUAAGUGAUCCUACCUAUGAUGAAUUGUAUGAUGCUUUUCAAGAUUUGCAUAAUGAGUUGAUGAAAAUUGGUAAAAAGAAUGUAUGUCUUAAAAAGGAAAUGGCAAAGCUCAAAAAUGAAAAUGAAUCUCUAAAUGCAAAAAUUGUAUGCCUAGAAGUAGGAAACAAAACAUUGCAUGAUGAAAUUGCAUUAUCAAAUGAGAAACCUAGCAUCUCACAUGAGCAUUUGAAAUCACACAUGGAUGAGCUGAAAAAUGAGAACGAAUUACUCAAGAAAAAGAAUAAUGAAUUGAAUGAAAUUGUUCUGAAAUUUACAAAUGGGCAAAAGAUGUUGGAUAAUAUGCUUAACUCACAAAAAUGUGUUUUUGAUAAAGGAGGACUUGGAUAUAAGCCUAACUUGAAGCAAAAGUAUUAUAAGAAUUAUUUUGUUAAAGCUACCUCCACAAAUGAUCAUAAGAUUGUAUGUCAUUAUUGUAAUCAAAAUGGUCACAUGAAAUUUAGAUGUCCCGUGAAAAGGAAUGCAUAUUAUGGUGUCAAAUGCAUUUGGGUUCCAAAAGGAACCGUUGCUAACCCUCAAGGACCCAAAAAGCUUUGGGUACCUAAAACUUGAGAUUUUUUCUUGUAGGGCUUGAAGAAGAAGAAAAAUAAAUGGUACUUGGACAGCGGUUGUUCAAGGCACAUGACCGGAAACUAUGCAUAGUUCUCAAGCUUCACCAAAAUUGAAAAUGGUGGAGACGUAUCUUUUGGAGACAAUUCAAAAGGAAAAAUUCUUGGAAUUGGAAAUGUUGGUAAAGUCUCUUCAACUCUAAUUGAGAAUGUAUGUUUGGUUGAAAACUUGAAACACAACUUAAUUAGCAUUAGUCAAUUGUGUGACAAAGGUUAUAAAGUUAUCUUUGAUAAACUUAGUUGUGUUAUUGAGAACUCAUGUGAUGGCAAAACCUUUUUUGUUGGAAAUAGAUGUGGUAAUGUUUAUAUCAUUGACAUAGAAUGUGCAUCUACUCUUGAUAAAUGUUUUUCGGCAUUACAUGAUGAUUGUUGGUUAUGGCAUAGAAGGUUAGGACAUGCAAGUAUGGAUUUGAUUUCAAAAAUUUCGAAAGAUGAUUUAGUUAAAGGUCUUCCAAAAAUUGGUUUUCAAAAGGAUAAGAUUUGUGAAGCUUGUCAAUUUGGAAAACAAAUUAAAACUUCUUUCAAGAAUAAAAACCAUAUUUCUACUUUAAAACCACUUGAACUUCUUCACAUAGAUCUUUUUGGGCCAUCUAGAUAUGCAAGUCUAAAUGGCAAAUACUAUGCAUUUGUGAUAGUGGAUGAUUAUUCUAGAUAUACAUGGGUAUUAUUCUUAGCCAAUAAGGAUGAUGCUCUUGAUGCUUUUAAAGUGCUUUGUAAGAAAUUACAAAAUGAAAAAGGGCAUGGUAUUGUAUGCAUUAGGAGUGAUCAUGGAGGAGAAUUUGAAAAUCAUGCAUUUGAGAGUUUUUGCAAUAAUCUACGCAUUGAGCAUCAAUUUUCUUCACCUAGAACUCCACAACAAAAUGGAGUUGUUGAGAGAAAGAAUAGGUCUAUUCAAGAAAUGGCUAGGACCAUGUUAAAUGAAAAUGCAUUACCAAAAUAUUUUUGGGUCGAAGCCGUCAACACCGCUUGUUAUGUUUUAAAUCGGGUGUUGAUUAGACUUAAUCUUAAUAAAACUCCAUAUGAGCUUUGGAAAGAUAGAAAACCCAACAUUGACUAUUUUAAAGUUUUUGGAUGCAAAUGUUUUGUUUUGAACACAAAAGACAAUCUUGGUAAAUUUGAUUCAAAAUCCGAUGUUGGUAUUUUUCUUGGUUAUUCAAAUUCAAGCAAAGCUUAUAGAGUUUAUAACAAAAGAACUUUAGUUGUGGAAGAAUCUAUGCAUGUCACAUUUGAUGAGUCUAACCCCUCCUCUACAGAGAAAGUCGUUGUUGAUGAUGAUGCAGGAGAAGAAGAACAAGAAGAAGAAGCAUCAAAUGACAAUCAAGAGGAUGCACCACAUGGAAUUCAAGAGGAACAUCAUGAAGAACCAAAUGUGGAGCAAAAUGAAGGUACUUCUCAAACACUCCCCAAGGAGUGGAGGUAUGUCUCUUCUCACCCUAAAGAUGUAAUUUUAGGAGAUCCCUCACGAGGUAUAACAACUAGAUCAUCACUUAGAAAUACUUGUGAGCAUAAUGUAUUCAUCUCUCAAAUUGAACCAAAAUCCUUUGAGGAUGCAGAAAAUGAUGAAUCUUGGAUUAUGGCAAUGCAAGAGGAGUUAAAUCAAUUUGAAAGAAACAAUGUGUGGGAACUAGUUCCUAAAACUGAACAUCAAUCUAUAAUAGGUACUAAAUGGGUGUUUAGAAAUAAGAUGGAUGAAUCUGGUGUGGUUGUAAGAAACAAAGCUAGAUUAGUGGCUCAAGGUUACAACCAAGAGGAAGGAAUUGAUUUUGAUGAAACCUUUGCACCUGUAGCAAGGUUAGAAUCCAUUAGGAUGUUGUUAGCAUAUGCAUGUCAUAAGGAUUUUAUUUUAUAUCAAAUGGAUGUCAAGAGUGCUUUCUUAAAUGGAUAUAUUUUGGAGGAAGUUUAUGUGAAACAACCUCCUGGUUUUGAAAAUGAAAAAUUUCCAAAUCAUGUGUAUAAGUUGCUCAAAGCCUUGUAUGGAUUAAAACAAGCACCUAGAGCAUGGUAUGAUAGACUUAAAAAUUUCUUGCUAGAAAAUGACUUCUCUAUGGGUAAAGCGGAUACUACUCUUUUUGUUAAGCAUAAGAACCAAGACAUACUUAUUGUUCAAAUUUAUGUUGAUGAUAUCAUUUUUGGUUCUACUAAUGAGUUGUUGUGUAAAGAAUUUUCAUUGUGUAUGAGCAAAGAAUUUGAGAUGAGUAUGAUGGGAGAGUUGAAAUACUUCCUUGGACUUCAAAUCAAACAAAACGAGGAAGGAAUUUUCAUAAAUCAAGCCAAGUACGUAAAGGAUCUACUCAAACGAUUCGGCAUUGAUGAUUCAAAGACCAAGAAUACACCAAUGAGCACAACAACCAAGCUGGACAAAGAUGAAAAAUAUAAAAAAGUGGAUAUCAAAAUGUAUCGAGGUAUGAUCGGAUCCCUACUUUAUUUGACUGCAAGUAGACCCGAUAUCAUGUUUAGUGUAUGUUUGUGUGCAAGAUUUUAGUCAUGUCCCAAGGAAUCUCAUUUGCUCGCUGUUAAAAGAAUUUUCCGUUAUUUGAGUGGAACCAUAGAUAUUGGCCUUUGGUAUCCUAGGGGAACUCAUAUAGAUUUAACAUGUUUUUCGGAUGCGGAUUUUGCUGGUUAUAAAGUGGAUAGGAAGAGCACUGGUGGAACUUGCUAUAUUCUAGGACACUCUCUUGUUUCAUGGUUUAGCAAGAAACAAAAUUCUGUUGCACUUUCAACUACUGAGGCUGAAUAUAUAGCUGCCGGAAGUUGUUGUGCACAAGCACUUUGGAUGAAACAAACUCUUAGAGAUUAUGGCAUUAAUCUUGAACAAAUUCCUAUUAAGUGUGAUAAUACUAGUGCUAUAAACCUUUCAAAGAAUCCCAUUCAACAUUCUCGAACCAAGCAUAUAGAAAUAAGACAUCAUUUCUUGAGAGAUCAUGUUCAAAAGGGAGAUAUUGCAUUAGAGUUUAUUUCCAUGGAAAAAUAACUUGCCGAUAUUUUCACAAAACCGCUUUGCGAAGAACAAUUUUAAAAAAUUCGGCAUGAACUUGGGAUGAUGAAAUUUUUGCAUUAACAUCUCUAUUCAUGCUAUUGAGUGUACUAAAUUGAUUGAUUACUAUUUAUGAAAUGCUUGAGCUUGGUAGACAAAUGAUGAAUUUGCAUUAAUAACUCUUGAUUAUAUGAAUUGAUUGGUUGAAAACAUGUCCAUGAAUCAUACAUUAAAUUGGCUCAUAAAAUAUUUUCAGAUCAAUUAAAUGAUCUUGGAAUAUAUUAUUUGCUGGCCAAAAAUUAAAUCAAAUGUGCGAAAUUACAGAUAAAAUAAACGGUUAGCCGUUUCCUAUAAACGGAUCACCGUUUAAUUCCAGAAACGAGAUUAUGUGUCUGUCCGUUUACCCUUUCACCGUUUGCCACAAUCGGUGAACCGUUUUUCAACAGAGAGUCCUCUAACAGUUACUCCUUAGCCGUUAAGCGCUUAGGCUUUCACCGUUUCCCUUUCUUCAGCCUCUGGACGUUACCCUUUAACCGUUUCAAUAAACGGUUAACCGUUUUCGCGAAGUAUAUAUACUGUUCAAAGGUUUUCUUCUCCUUCUUCAGUUACCCUUUCACCGUUUCCACCAUUGUUGCGUAGCCGAAGGUUUCUCUGUCCUCAAAUCCUCAUUUUUCUUGCUUUCCUUGCCAAAUCAAACCUUCAAAAUCAUUUCUUAUCACCUUUAGAACAAUUCUACCGAUUCAAAACUUCAAAUCGAGCCCAAAUUUCAAAAAUCCCAAAUCUAAACCCUAACUGUCGCGGGUCGGGUUUCUUCGUUCUUAAUCCGAUUUCCACCUUUCUUCAACCAAAUUGAACAUCCUACUCACAUCCUCUACUCUUCCUUAAACCUUUUAUCGAUUUACUUUCGUCCCAUUACGUGUUUCCAUGGCUGAACCCUCUCGGAGAAAUCCCAGGCGUAAAUCUGUGCCACCAAGGAAUCCCAUACCACCUUGGGAGGUCUCUGAAUUUUCAAGGAUUCACUUCCCCACACCUGCCUUGGCUAAGCGGUUCGAAGAUCGCUUUGAUGGUCGAAAGGUACUUGAUCCUUAUUUUGUUGAUAUUGAUGAUUUCCGCAACUUAGUUGUAUGUGGUAGAAGUAUUCGGGAUAUGCUUCUGCCUUGGGAGUCUGCCAUUGAUUUUGAUGACCGAGUUUAUCCAAACUUAGUGCGAGUCUUUUAUUCGAACAUGGAAAUCUCCGACACUCGCCUAAAUAGGAUAGUUACUCAAGUCGACCGUGUGCCAAUAGAGUUUGAUGAUGCAGACCUAGCUGACCUUCUUGGUAUCUCUUGUGAGGGGCUUGAUAUUUACACCUCUAGGAAAGCCCUCUCCUUUGAUAGUUUUUCUCAUACUCAUGGCGUCCGUAAUAUAUGUCGUCGUCGAGACUUAUCGGAUGAGAUUUGUUUGCUUCCGUUUCGGUCUCAACUUUUACCUCUCCAAGUUCGUAUUCUUCACACUAUUUUACAGCACAUAGUGACUCCUAGGAAGGGUCACUCAGAUGAGGUUACGAGGUUGGACGUUGCCCUAUUAGAUAGCCUUCUUACAGACCGUCCCAUUAACCUCGGGUAUAUUAUUGUGCGACAUAUGUUGAGUACUCCAGCGGUCAACCAUCGCUUGCUUCCUUAUGGCAGUAUCAUCACUAAAAUACUGCGACGCUUUGAGGUGCCACUUCUUGAUACUGGACAUAUGGAGACUCGACGGAUUGGUUCUGAGGCCAUGACCAGUAUCGGAUUCUCUAGAAAGAAUGAAGUAUGGAUAAAGACAAGCAACUCAAAAAACCGGGAUACCUUGAUUGCUCCAGAGGAUGAUCGGAUGCUCAAUGAUGUCUAUUCUCCCGAUCAGCUUCCUGACUUUAGAUUAGGAGCUCAUCCUUAUCCUCCGCGUCGCCAUUUUGUCCCUCGGCCUCCAGCUAACUCAGACUCUGAGGAGCGUGCGAUGGAUGCUGAUAUUCCCUCCUCUUCCGAGCUGCCUCCUGCUCCUGAGCCUUCUGCUGUUCCCGAGCAGCCAUCUGCCUCUAUGCCGCCUCCAGCUCCAGUUCAGCCCCCUGCUUCAGACGCAGUGCAGCAGCUGAUCACUGAUGUUCAGCGGAUUUCGGAGCGCCAGCAGCUGAUUCUUGAUCGGUUGGACACUCUUUCCCGUGACCACCAGCAACUGCGUUCUGACUUAUCAGAUAUUCCAGCGGCAGAGCCUUAAUCAGCAGAUGGAGCUUAUCGCUGGACAGCGCACUAUUCUCGGCUAUUUCGGCUAUGAUCCAGGGAGCACAUCUUCUCCGCCUCCGUAGUUUCUGAGCUUUGUCUUCGCACAUACAUUUUACAUUUUGGUUGCUAGCAUUUUUAUUAUUAUUUUGAUUUUGAUGCAUAUGUGUGUGAUGUUCUUGAUGAUUAGCUUAUUGAUGCUUUGUGAUUGCCUAAUUGGUUGGAUAUUGUAGAAAUGGUUUAUUUGUGGAUAUUGGAGUGUUGGUAUAUUUGUGGAUAUUGAAGUGUUAUUUUGUCUUGUUCAUGGAGUUGUUGGCUUGUUGAAAGCAGAAGUUAAUGUUGAUCUAAUUUUGGAAGUGUUUUAUCUCAUUUUGUAUUUAUGGUUUUACUCAUUUUUAAGGGGAAACUCUGCCAAAAUUUUCGCUUGCCAAAACCGGGCACUUUCUUUAACGGAUUUGCGUUCUUAUUUCCUCUUUUCUUUUUUAUGAUGAAGGGGGAGAUAAUUAUGGUUUUUAAGAUGGUUUUUAAAUGGGGAGAUAUUAUUUUAAGAUGGAUUUAAAAUGGGGCGAUUUAAAGCAAAAAUCCUUUUAUUCAUAUUUCUCAAUUUGGCCAUACAUUUAGGGGGAGCACAUAUUAAGGGGGAGCUAAACAUUGAUUAGAAUUUGUCAUCAUCAAAAAGGGGGAGAUUGUUAACAUAAAUAUGUUAAUAAUAUUGAUUUUGAUGAUAACAAAUUUUAAAUGAUUUUUGAUAAAAGUAUUGGAGCUAUUUCUUAAUAAACGAGAGCCUUAGUAAUCAUUCCAUUCAUGCUUCAUAAAAGAUGGACUUUAAAAUUAGAAAAAGAUUCUCUGCAAAAACUGGUUUAAAAUGCAAUUCUGGUUAUAAACGGUGAACUGUUUAUUUAAACGGUUAACCGAUAACAGCCAGAGAGCAAACAUUUUCCCUAAACCUCUAACCGUUUAUGAAAAACGGAAAACACAAAAGAUAGGGAGGUUACUGGAACUUAACGGUAAACCGUUUUAUUUUAAACGGUUAACCGAUUAGCACCAGAGAGCAACAUAUUACCUAAGCUCUAACCGGUUAUGCUUAACGGAAAACACCCAAGACGGGAAGGCUACUGGAACCUAACGGUGAACCGUUUAUUUUAAACGGUUAACCGAUAACGUCCAGAAUAGAUGGUUGUCCUCCUCUGGCACUGAUUAACAAAAACUGAUAAGGCUAAAUUAUUUUGCAGGUUACUGGAGACAAACGGCGAACCGUUUAUAUCAAACGGUUAACCGAGAAUAUCCAGAGAAGCCACUUCACGCAAGUCCUUAACCGUUUAGCGUAAACGGAUAACAAAUGCUCAUCUUGCAGGUCUCUGGACGUUAACGGCGAAAGGGCAACCCUAAACGGCAAACCGUUUAUUUGAAAUCUGGCCCAACGGUAACUUUGACCAGCCUAAACGGUUAACCGUUAAUGGUUAACGGCGAACCGUUUUCUGUCCGACAGUUUGUAACGGCUAGAUUUUCGGCUCCAAAUAUAAAUAAGCUCAUUCAAAUUCAAAGAAGAUUGAUCACAACACGACCAUUUGAGCUAAUAUUCGAGAAUACAAUCUUCAUAGAGCUUAGAACACAUUCUUGCUUCAUCUAUUCACAUAUUAAGCAUCAUUGUGUAAUCUUAUAUAUUGUGAGAGGCAAAACAGUUUGUAAUCUUUUACUUUGAGUGAUUGUAAGUGUUGGGAUACACUUAGGUUAAGAUAUUGAGGAUAAUCUCUUGUUGUAAAGGUCCAUUGACACCUUGGAAGUCAAGUGUAAGCAUUUGAAGCCUUGGAGGCUUGCUUAGUGGAAUCCUCAAGCCCGGAAAGCUUGGAGGCGUGGACGUAGGCGAGGUUGGCCGAACCACGUAAAAAUCUCGGUGUUUGAAUCCCUCUUCCCUUAUCUUUUUAUAUUGUGAUCAUCUUAAUUGUUAUUGCUUUGAAUUUGAUUUAUAAUUGCAUUAAGAUUUUCUUUAAUAAAUUGAAUUUUUUUUUUAGAAUCUCAAUUCACCCCCCCUCUUGGGUUGCAUACUUGUAUUUCAUCAUUCUCUUGCGAUAGAUAUUAGUCAUGCCUUGAAAGUGAUUAUAAUAAAUAUUAGUCAUGCAUGAUAACUUAUUAUCAAAAUAUUUAUGAUAGAAUCAUAAUGGAUAAUAUAUCAUGCAUUGUCUGACAUAUAAAAUUCGUCAUCAAAUUUUCUUGACACCAAAAUUAAUGAUGGUCGCUUAACCGUCAUGCCAUAUGACAGAUGAGGAUAAAAAGUAAAAAUCGUUACAAAUGUCUUUCUUCUAUAUAUUAAAUCUUCUCAUAUUCAAAGAGUAAAAACGAGGAAAAAAAAAAGAUAAAACUACUUGCUGGUGCUAAAGUCAUCAACAAAAGCCUUGAGAUUCUUAUGUGAAGACCCUCCUUGUUUGACGGCAUCUCUGGCCAAAUCCUUCCAUUUCAAAGAAUUUCUUCUAAAAUCAUCUCCUUCUCCCAUCACCAACUCCAAACACCUGUUAAUCUCAUCACUUUCUACAAUCCCUUCUUCAUUUGCUUUCACUCUCACUCCGGUUUUGCAGAAGUCCACAAUAAUUUUAGCGUUUGUCCCUUGAUCUGUCCACUGAGGAAACGCCACCACAGGCACGCCAUAUACCAAGCUUUCUAAGCUCGAACUCCACCCACAGUGCGUUACAAAACACCCCACCGCUUCAUGUGACAGAACCUCCACUUGUGAACACCACGGCACUAUCAUUCCCUUCUCAUUCAGCUCUUCUUUGUACUUCAUCAUCACAUCAUCUUCUCCUUCAUCUUUAUCUUUAUCUUUAUCUUUAUCUUUAUCUUUAUCUUUAUUGUCGUUUUCUCUACUGACCCACAAGAAUGGAUGGCCACUAUCUAACAACCCCCGUGCAAUUUCCUCCACUUGACGCUUCUCCAGAACGCAUAUGGUUCCGAACGCCACGUAGAUAACAGAUGAUUUGGGCUUCGAGCUUAGCCAUUCCAUAUAAUACUCUUUUGAACUAUUCUUGCAAAGAUCGCCUCCGUACUGCUCUUUUCCGUCCAACAACGCCGAUGCAACUAACGGUCCGAUUGCGAUCAUAUUGAACUUAUCGAUAGCUUUCAAGGUCUCAGCUUCUAAUGCGUCGAACGUGUUGACAAGAAUUCUUGGAUCGGUUUCUUCAACAAUUGCCUCCAUUUGUUCUUUAAAAGAAGGUAAUACGAAAGAGUAAGCAUCAUUUGAAUUUCUGGGAUCUAGGAAAGAAGGAAGAUCACGGCCGGUGAGUGGCGGCAGUCCCGGUAACUCUAUCAAAUCAUUAACCUUCCCUUCAAUUAGAUCGCCAUAUCCAUAGAAGUAAUAGUAAUAAACGUCGAAAACGAGGGCUGGUUGAAGCCAGAGUAGCGCCGAAGGGAGGUGAUACGCACGCGCCACUUCAGCAGCCCAAGUAAGGAGUUGAGGGUAAACCAAGCAAGUAAACGGUUGACCACCCUCGUUUUGACUGGCCGUGAUGAGCUCAGCCAGGGCUUCGGAGCUACGACGCUUGAACUCCGACAUGAAGUGCGUCCGAUCAUUUUGUUUGGAAUUGAAUCCGUCGUCAUAUCCAUCGGAGAAGCUGGCAAACGACAAGCCGUCUUCGGCCGUGGGAUUAUUGGGCAUGCGGCGGUAGGCGGAGAUGGCGGUGGCGAAGGUGACACGUGUGCCAAUGCGCGUAAGACGCCUGGCGAAUUGGAGGGAUGGGUUAAUGUGGCCUUGUAUUGGAAAUGUUAAUAGUAGAAAGUGGGGUUGCUGUUGCUGCUCCAUGUGCUUGUUUUUUGGUAUUUGCGUACACACUUGAGUCUGAGUGCACAUGGUGGGAGGUUUAAAUAGGGCUUGCACUUUGAUAGAAUGACGUUCGAGAUGAUGAUUAAACAAGGACACGUAUUUACAGCGGAUUUUGUCUCAGCCAGGUACAGUUUUCAGUGGACCAAACAACUUUUUUUUUUUGUCAAAACCUUCUUGGAAUAUGCUACACACACACACACACACAUAUAUAUAUAUAUAUUUAUUUAUUUAUUUAUACAAACGCAAUCAUUGAAGAUUAAUAAUGACUAACGAUAUAAUAUCUUAUAGACAUAAAUACAAGACCAUAUUGCACAAUAUAUGGGAUAAGAAAAUAAGAAUAUAAAAAAUAAUAGAAUACACCACAACAUAAUGCUAAUUAACUACAAAACAGAACUAAAAAACUACAAAACCUCAGCUAGGGAUGGUAAAAUUCGGGUUCGGGUCCAGGUUUGGUCUUUUCGGUUCCAGAUUUGGAUGAGAAUUCGUCUUACCAGACCCGGCUAAAAACCCAGAUAUUUUGAAUGCAGGUCCGGUACGGGUUAAACCCGAAAAAAUCUGGGUUCCCGGAUUCCGAGUUUUAAACCCAGAUAAUGUUUUUUGGAACCUAAUUUCUCUCAGUUGCUUUGAAAAAUCCUUUAUCAAACUUUUCUUACUGCAACCUGCAAGGAGUAAACGAUGAAGUAAUGAAAAUUAAAUAACUAAAGCCAGAUUAUUAUCAACAAGAUCACUCAACCAAAGCUUCUCGAAUUCACAAUCUUAAAAGAGAAAUUUUUUUUUUCAAGAUCCCAUUUAUAGCCUUUACUUGUUCUGCAAUUGCCUUGUUCAUACUCCCAUCAAAUCACAACCAAAUACCCUUCCAAUAAUCAGAACCUAAAAUGAAUGAAAUCAUGUUCUUGGGCCAACUUCUCGAAAAUAUCGUUGAUGAAACUGCUUGCCCGUGGCCUUGCUGGAGAUUGCAAUAUCGAGAUGGAGCUGCUUCAGGAUUUGUCUUCUUUUCCUGCUUCUUCUUUUUCUCGACUGUACUGCCUUCUUUGGUGAUAACUAUCGGCGAUUUGCUUCGGGCUUUGGCGGUGAGGAUGAGGAACAAAGCACGAUUCACGGUGAUUUGAUGAGGAAAUAUUUGGUUGGCUUUGGCGGCGUGGCCUGUGAAACUGAAACUAGGGCAAGGCUGCUAUUUUUUUUUUCAAUUGUUUCUAUUUAUAUUAAAAAAUAAUAUAAAAAUAAAUACACCCGGGUCCGGGUUCCGGAUUUGCGGGUUCACCCAAAUCCGGAUCCGAACCCGAAAACGUCCGGGUUUAGAAAAUCACAUCCGGAUUCCGGAUUUUAUUUCGUCCGGUGCGGGUUAAACCCGGCCCGGAUUAUCCGGAUUCGUCCGGAUCCGGGCCGGGUCCGGGUUAAAUUGCCAUCCCUAACCUCAGCUCUGAUAACCACUUCAUCUCAAGUAUUCCCAGCCUGACUCUCGAUGAGGCCUCAACCCAUGCCAUCAGCGACAUGGCCAGGUCAUCCAAAUCUCAUUGCACCACCAUCAGCGACAUGGCCAGGGCAUCGAAAUCUCAUUGCACCACCAUUAGAAUUAUUCAUCAACUCCAAUAUAAGCAAACUCUCUCCAUUUGAACGCUGAUACGAUUCUGAUCCAAACUGUGAAUCGACACCAUUUACGAUCAUAUGUAAAAGAUCUCGGGAGCAGAAAACAAACACCAUAAAGAAAAGGAAAUAGAAAAAUUAAAAAAUUAGAAAAAAAUUAAAACAUAAAAUAAUUAGGAGACUCAAAAUAAAUAAAAGAAAAACAAAACAAAAAUAUCAAACGAAGGAUAUCGGCCUGUUAGGCGGAUGUGAGCUGUUGGGUUGGUGAUUUGGUUAUUAGGGACUGAUGGCGAUUGGAGCUAUGGUGGUGGCGGGGACGCCGGUGGCAGUGACCUGGGGAAGGUUAUGGACAGGUGGAUCUGAAAAUUCUGAAUGCGGUAAGUGCAGUGCCGGUGACGGUGUAGAUAUCUUGACUCGCUGUUAGUCGGGUGAGAAAGGUCACGAGGCAUCUAGUUGGACCAUAUAUUGAUUACAUGGUCGGGAGCUGAUCUGGACUGCGUGAUUGUGGAGCCACAACUAUAAGCUUUUUGUGCCUGAAUUUGUCUGCUUGUUAUUUUGUGUUUUCUGAAAACCCAACAACUGAUUUGGAAUCUUGUGGAUGCCUAUAUUCAUUCAUCGCUAUCCAAUCCUACAAGAAAUAGUUUUUUUUUUUUUUUAAGAUUUUGUAGAGAACUUGAUAUUUAAAAUACGUAUUUUAAAAAUUAGAGAAAUUGGCUAAGGCUGAUUUUAGAGUAUCUAGGACCAUAGGUAAAAUUUUCUUUUACGAGACCUCUUUUUAUUCAGAAAAUUUAAUACUAAAAGAAAAAAUCAUAAUAAAGAUCAAAAUUCAUUUCAUUUUUAGUUCUUGAAUUUCAAAAAUAAUAAAGAAGAUCCUAAAAUAUUUCAAAAACAAAAUAUAAAAAUUUACUUUCAUUAGAAUUUUUACAAAAAUAAAUAAAUAAGAACAAUAUUAUUUUCAAAUAGAAUAUUUAGAAUGGAGUAUAUUAAAAGUUGAGAUGACGAAUUGAUGAUCACAUAAUGCAUAUGGACUUUCUAUUUCAAGAAACUAAUAUUUUUCUUUUCUAAAUGAACUAAUGUAUGUAAUAAUUUUCUUUGUAGAGGAGAGAGUAAGAAAUUUUUUCAUCUAUGAUUUUUUAGAUUAUAAAGGUUUACAACUAGAAAUUCUUAUUUAUUUUUUACUGAAUUUGCCAUAGGUCAAUUCUCCUUUUUAAUAGAAAUUAAAAAGAAUACUCAAAGUUAAAGAUUCUAACAUUAAAUAAUUAAGUUUUCUUAAGAAACUAAAAAGGUAAAUAAUUUAUUUAUUUUUCUUUAAAAAAAAAUAAUAAUGAAUAAAUUAAGAGUUAGAUAAUUUUAUUAAUUUUUUUUUAACAAUAAGGUUACCAAAUAUAGAUAUUCUAUAGAAAAUAGCUCUUCUUAAUUAUAUGAUAAUUAUUAAUUAGAGAGAUGUUUAAUAAGUUUUUCUCACAAUAUGUAAUUUUAAAAAAUAUUUAUUAAUUAAAAAAUUAUUAAUGAAAUACUAAAAAAAAAUUAAUAAGGUCUUUCUAAAUGAAACCUUAGACAAGUACUAUGUUCGCCUAUAUUUAAAGUCACCCCUAAAAUUGACAUGGAGAGUUUAGUUCUAGUUAAAUAUUGCCGAUACUCCUCUAUAGAGGCUAUAGGGUACUCGAUAUGUUUAAAUUAUUAAAAGAAUAAGUAUCUGCUUCUCAAGAUUUUAAAGAUGGAACUUCAUAUAUAUUAUACUGUUUUUUUGGUUUUCUUGAAAGUUGACGUGGCUUUACGUUUUAUACAUAUUGAUCAUUAACUUUAUUCUUAUGUUUCUUAAAUUUUAGUGGAUUAAUUGCUUUAGCACUUGAGCGAUGUCAUUUGUUAAACAAGAAAUACCUGCUUAAAUCAAGCGCAGCACCUAAAGUCUUUCUCUUGACAAACAAUAUUUAUAUAAGAUUGAAUUGUUUGAUUAUUAUUAUAUUCCUCUUUUUAAAUAUGUACGAACUAUUAUAUUGUUUAGAGAACGGUGUGCGAUCGAAUAGCUAGAUUACCAAUACUUUUUUUCUUGUGCUUGAUUUAUGACGAAUGAGUACAUUCACUAUUACAAAAUAGGAAAAAGAUGACAUGCAAUACGUGACGUACGUAUUGUUAACUGUCAUUACUUAAUUUAGAUGAUUUUUAUUUAAUUUUGAAAAUCAUCUCUUAUAAAAUUAUUUUUACUUGUAACAAAAAAAUUACUCACCAUUAAAUGAUAAAUUAUCUUUAAUUAAAUAAAAUGUGACUCAAAAUCUCCUAUUUUAAAAAUUUGUCAUUUGUUUUCAAUUAUAAAAAAUUAACUUUCCCUUUUUAUUUUCUUUGUCUCCAAGGAAAUACCAACUCUCUCUCUUUCGGCCUCCAUUUCUCUGAAAUUUCACAAUCUUUAUCUGUACAAUCCCCUUUCUCCUACAUAAAACAUCUUCUUAUCUCCUACUUCUAAGUUGUGAACCCCUAAUUUCACCCAUUAUUUAUACAGCUUUAAAAUAGUAAACUUUAAUGCUGCGUUUACUAAACUAGAAUCGGAAUGAACUAGAAUCGGAAUGAACUGGAAUCGGAAUGGGUAGGAAUGGAAAUGGGCUGGAAUGGGAAUAGGGAAUAAGAAUCAAAAUAAGUUGUUUACUUGAACUGUAGGAAUCGAAAUCGGAAUGAGUUGAAUUGUCAUUAAUGUGUUUACUUUGUCUUGGAAUCGGAAUCGGAAUCGGAAUUAAUUAGAUUGUAACAAAUUACUAAAAAGUACUUAAUGGAUUAUUUUCAUAAUUAUUAUUAACUAAUAUAUUAAUUAAUUGUAAAUUUUUUAAUUAAAUAUAAUAACUAUAAUAAAAAUUAUUAUAACAAUAUAUUAACUAAUAAUAUUAAUAUUAAUUACUUAAUUAAAAUAAUAUAUUAAUUAUUGUGAUUAUUUAUUAAAAAUUAUAAUUAUUAAUAAUUAUUGUUAAUAAUAUAGUAAUAUAUUAAUUAGUAGUAAUAAUUAUAUUAUUUAUCUAUUUAAUAAUAAUUAAUUAAUUAAUUAAUUAAUAAUAAUAUAUGAAUUAGUUAUAAUAAUUAUUGUUAAUAAUUAUUAUAAUAGUAUAUUAAUUAAUUAAUUACAAUAAUAAUAUAUUAAUUAUUGUGAUUAUUUAUUCAGGAACAAUAAUUAUUAAUAUAUUAUUGUUAAUAAUAUAUUGAUAUAUUAAUUAAUAGUAAUAAUUAUAUUAAUUCAUUAAUAACAAUAUAUAAAUUAAUUAUAUUAAUAAUUAUUAUAAUAGUACAUUAAUUAAUUAAUUAAAAUAACAAUAAUAAUAAUAGUAAAUUAAUUAUUGUGAUUAUUUAUUCAAAAAUAAUAAUAAUUAUUAAUUAUUAUUAAUAAUAUGUUAAUAUAUUAAUUAAUAGUAAUAAUUAAUUAAUUAACUAUAAUAAUAAUAUAUUAAUUGUUGUAUUUUUUAUUCAAGAACUAUAAUUUUUAAUAAUUAUAGUUAAUAAUAUAUUUAUUUAUUAAUUAAUUAAUUAUAAUAUUAUAUUAAUUAAUUAUAAAAGCGGACAAAAUAGGCAUUUUCAAUUUUGGGGGAGGGCAAAAUGGUCAAUCCUGGGAAUGGGAGACUCAUUCCCAUCUCCCCAUAUGGGAAUCAAUCUCUUAUUCCCCAUUCCCAAAUAGUGGUGGGCCCCACUAUUCCGAUUCCGAUUCCUGCUCCAUAUUUGCAAAGUAAACACAAUCAAUUAUUCCGAUUCCGGAGUCCAAUUCUCCAAUCCGGCAAGUAAACGCACCAUAACUGUUCACACAUGGUUAAAGUGAAGACAAAGAAGAAGUCUUUAAGCUUUUUACCACACAUUUUGAGGAGACUAUUAUAAAGCUUGGGACCACACUAUCAAGUAAAAUAUUGAAGCGUCCGACCACCUUUAAUUAGAUUAUUUGUUCUUGGGUGGUCUACACGUGCUCUUUUUUUUUUUUUUUUUUUUUUGUCUAAUAGCAAAUAUUGACAAAAUGGAUGAACAAUAAAGUUUUCGCUGGGGAUUAGAUUUAAUGAAUGAGUUUAUACUGUUUAUACUUGUAUAUUUUAAUGAAAGUAUAAAUACCAAAGUAUUUUAUCAUAUAUAUGCCUAGCACUUAAUACAAAUGCUCACCCCCAUAGCAAUCCAUUUCUUGUGCUUUUAUACUUAGUCUCUGACUUCAUGUCCAUCAAGCUUUACAAUUGACUUCUAAGGUAUUAAUAAACUUUUACAACGAGAAAUGAUUAUAUAUCCCUUUUUCAAUAAACCUUUACACACUCACUAGCACUCAUUUUUUGAAACGAAACUGAAGUUUACAGAGAUUGCACUCUUCAGGAGUAUAUUUGCAAUGAUAGCUCAAAUACAAAUCAAUAAAUGUGUGUCAGCAAAUAAAAAAACUCGAGAUUUUUUUUUUUCUGCUUUAAACUCUAAUAUGGAUUGCAAAAGUUCAAUUUGAAAUGAGUUUUCCUUGGCGGUUUAUUUAGAUUGAUCAAUAAAAUUAGUCAUUAUUGACUUUUCAAGCAUAAUCGGUUUACUGCUCGUAAUGAAAUGGAUUGAUGUUUGCUGAUUGAAAUUUUUUCACAAUCAGAUUGCUGCUUGGGAGUUGUCGAUUUACUAUUUAAUUCUAGAGAGUUCACUGAUUGAAGUCGGCUUGUGGCUUGUGAUUUAAUCAGUUUGCCAUUUGAUCCAGAGACCCCUCUAUUGGAAGUUAGCUUGCCGCUUAUGAGUAAACAAUUUGCCAUUUAAUUCUAGAAGCUAAUAUCAACCCACUUGAUUAGCUGCUUCAAGUCUAGCGGUAUGCUGCUUAAUUUCAGAAACAUUUCCCAACCUUAUCAGCUGCCUGCUUGAAGUUAGUGGUUUACCGUUUGAGUACUAAAAAGUAUAGUUUUGUCCAAACCUACUGAAAUAGCUAUAUAAAUGUACAAGGAAAUAAUUGUAAUCCUAGCUACCCUUCUCUUUGAUCUCAUCCCCAACCAUCAUCUAAGAACAUAGAUUCCCAACCACACUAUACCACUUUGUUGAUAACUUUACCAUAUGAGUGACUGUGUCCGUUCAACUUAAAAUAACAUUUGUUUUUCGAAACCUUUCAAAUCAUUCUUAGUAGAGUUCAGUAACUCAUUUUAUAAGAUUAUAUUUCCACGUAAAUGAAUUUUUCUUAAAAUAUAAUGAAAGAAUAAGUUGAGGUUUUAAAUGCUUUGAUCAUGCAUUCAUUUGCUCAUAUGAGCUUUACAAAAUGAAAUAUCUAAGCUCAAUAACCCUAAUGCCCAUUCUUGUCUAGAUAGAGUUUUGUGCAUUUGAAUACCUUAAGCUUAUGAACAAUGCCUUUCAUAUUCUACCAUUGACACAUGGUUUGUUAUAGUAAAAAAUGAAAGACUGUAUAACUAUAUAGGUCAACAAAAUGUUCUAAAGGAAUGGAGUCAUAUUGAUCCAGUCACUAAAAAUUCCCUCAGAAAAGGGUAGUUGCUCUAAGGAACCAAGAAUAGAGAAAAACUACUCUAAGGAACCAAGAAUAGAGAAAAAGUACUCCAAGAAGAAACAAGUAUAUAUAUAAAAUUAGUGCUUUAAGAAGAAAUAGGUAUAUAUGAAAAAAUAAAUGCACUUUUUUUUUCCAAAUCUCAAAGUUUAAAAUUUUAUCACUUAUAAUGCUAUGAUUAAUACUUUUACACAUAUAUAAUGCAAGGCAAAUCAUGCAAGUUAGCAGUGGGCAAUAGAAAAAUGUUGUAGCCAAAGAUACAAUGUUAGAAAAAAUUAUCCUAAUGUGAUUGUGCAUAGAGUACCAUUGUACCAUUGAUAGUCACAUAUGUUCAUGUGGCUGUUAAUAUUGCAAUUAAAGGAGAUGCCUUUUUACCAAGGCUUAGUGGGUAUGACUUAGUUCUUGUUAGCCAUGUCAUUGGAUCCCAUGUUGCUUGGUGUCACUGGGCUUUUAUAAACUAGGUGUGGCAACCCGCGUGAUGGCACUAAGAACUCCACUUAGCCAGCCAACCCAAACCCAACGGAAGCAAUAUAAUAGGAAGCAUAUCAGCGCUCGCAAAUGGAGGUUAUGCAAGAGCACUUUCUCGCCAACACAAAGAACAACACGCACACAAAACACAAGAACACAAGUAUUUGGCUUUUUAUAGAGGCACCAACCCCCAACUUUUCUAUUUCCGCAAUAAGAAAAGAUUUACAAACAGUUUUAGUUUUAUAUGCUCAAGGACAAAAUGCUCAACUCAAAACUCGCGCCCCAACAUACAUCCCCAUCACUAUUUAUAUACAUGGUUUGCAAGUGACACACCCACUUGCUUAGGUUAGGUGGCGCACCACCCUCACGCCACCUUAAAUCCCUCCCCAAGUUUUUAGGCACCCACUAAGCAUGAUCCUAUGAGCACAUCUCCACUCCCCUUGAUUUGAGCAAUCGCUGCCCACCAUGUCCAUUAGCAAGGAAUCAUGAGUUGUAACUGCCACACCUACUAUCUUGCUCCUCAUUUUUAGGCACAUGAUCAAGGCCAUGUUCUCCCACUCUAGUUGUACCCGCAACUGCCACUCACGCUUAAUUUUAGGCCCACUUCUUGGAGAGUUGCAGCCAACCUUGCUCCACGUCUAGCAGCCAUUGUCCAUACCUAGUCAACGCAUGAACGCCUCUAAUUUUCGCAUGAUUCAGCCCCUACGUGCAUGCCUCAUGUCACUACACAUUCACGCGCACUUUGGCACACAAAUAUGCCACAAUCUCGCAGUUGUUCACGCAAUCCAAUAGCUGACUCGCACGCUGUUGAGCCCCAUACUUGCACGCCUUGUGCCAUGCUCGCUUGCGCACCUCAGCGCCUUGUGUUCGCAUGCCCAUUGCGCCCAUGCUCUUGUUAGAUGCUGAGUGCGCCACCCACACACGCCCUCGCACGCGCUGUCCUGUAUUGCUUGUGCCCAUGCCACAUCAUAUGCUUUGCUGCCGCGCCCUAGCCAAUGCGCCAACCUUGCCUUGUUUCUGCGCUCACCACAAGCACUCCCAUUUGCUGCCAAGACUCAGCACAAGUCCCCAAGCCAAGCCAUGAUAGUUGGCCCCAUGACUCACGGCGGUGAUACUUGGCCUAAACAAUUUGUCAUCUGGAAUGAUGUUGGGGUACAUAUUUUUGGGUCUAUCUCAUUUGGCUGGCCCUAAAGCCUCAAGUCUAAAAGGCUUACUUGACGUGCAAUUAAUAUUAAGUUUUAGACUUAGAUGAAAUUAGCCAAAUAAUAAUAUAUAUGAAAGAAAAAGAAAAUCAAGCUGUAACAGUGAUACAAAAAGGAAGAAAAAGACAAGAGAGAAAAAAAAGAGACAAUGGUGUAAUAUUUGUUUUUUGAGGCAAGAGUUUCAAGUUUUGAUUGGACGAUCGGAAUUCCAUUUUAAUUUUGUUUUCUUUUGAAUUUAGUGGGUAAGUUAUUGGCAUCACCUCUACAAUCCUACUUGUCUUGAUUUUUGUUUUAUCCUUCUGUUGGUUGUUAUUUGAGAUACCUACUUAUUAGAUAGAUAAAUAUUAAGUUGUUACUAUAGGCAACGAUUGUUGAGAUUCUUGAUGUUUUUAUGUUGUUAGCCUCUAGUGUUAUGUAGAGAUAAAUUUUUUCAGUAAUCCCAUUAUUAAUAUAGUUGAAGGUUCUAUCGGACUACCAUCCCAUGCGUUUUCUCGAUUUAGGGUUUUCACAUAAAAAUCUGUGCCUCUUGUGAUUGGUUUAUUGCUUUAGAUUGUGUUGUUUUAUUUUUUGUUUGUUAAUUUAUGGUACAUAUCAUGUUUUAAUAAAAAAAAAUGGGACAUGGUCUGUUUCCUCUUACUUUGCAACUGCUUAUGUGAGUUCUUUUCCCAACACAUCUCUAUAAUUAUUGUUUUUCUUUGAUAUGUCUUAAAUUAAUAAUAAUAAUAUUUUUUAUUAUUCUAGUUACAUAAAGAAAUCUAUUAAGAAUGUGCAGGAAUACAAAGUACCAGCAAAAAUAGAUGCUCUUUGCAAGUACGCUUGUUGAGGGUUGACUAGAUCAUCAUUUAGUGAAAUUUAUCUUGGGGACUUUGACAAAAAACAAGCUGAAUUAUAUUUAUCAAUUGACGACAUUGUAUGAUUCUAUGGCGUGGAAAAAAUUGUUAUUGUUGCACAAAGUAAUUAAAUUACUUAUUUUCUUAGCAAUAUAAUUAGUUAUAAUUUUUAUAUAUGCAGUGAAGUAAUUAUUACUUGUUUUCCAUAGGCAUCUUUACGAGGUCUUGAAGGAUCAUUACCUAGACCAUAUUUAUAAAAUAAAUCUAGUAAUCCUUCAACCUUUUGCAAUAAAACUUGAAAUGGUGAUGAGACUAGAGCUUGUGCAAUGUUAUCAAGAAUGGAAAUACUUGAUCUAGAAUAGCUUAUGACAUUUCCUUACAAUACCAGGUUUGUUAUUUUAUUGAUUGUACAUAGCAAUUGGAUUUUGCUUUCCGUUUCUUUUAUAAAAAUAUGCAAGACAAGUAUUUAUCACUAUAUGUAGCAAAGGUUGGAUGUUGAUUGUUGUGGAUCCACACAAAUUUAUAGUAUUUUUUUUAUUCACUAAGUCAUGAACCUCCCCCUAAUUUGAAGAACUUUUUAUUAUUGUAAGUUGUCAUUUUUUGUCAAUUAUAACCCAUGUAUUUUUAACAUGUUUGACCAAGUGUGUACUUAAUCAUGUAUCUUAAGUGCUUUCAAGAUUUUUGGGGCAAAAAUGGGAAAUGCGAAUAAAAAAUCCUUUGCUCGGAAGAGGGUUAAGGUAUAUGAAACUGUACAUAUAUAUGUUCGGUUUAAAUUUAUUUACAUAUGCACAUGACAUCGAUUAGUUUAAAAUUCACAUGUAGUGUCCUCAAUAAACUACAAAUGUUGAAUGCCGAUAUUAUGUCAUUAGAUUUAUGAAGUAAUCAUUGGAAACCAAGAUGAUACAAUAAAAGACUUGGUACUAAUUUAUAGAUUUCAUAAUGUUGAUGCAUGUAUUAGUAUUGACUAUUUUGUAUAUGAUGUAUAGUUUGUUGGACGAGAUAGUUACAAUCAAAAGAAUAUUGAUGAAGUAAAAAUGGAGUGGGCAGAGUACAUAUGACAUAAUAUUUUUCCCUAAAUUUUGUAGCACAAUGACUUUGCAAGCUUAGUAAAUAAAUAGUAUUAUUUUUUAUCAAUAUCUUAGUUAUUGCCUUUGUUUCAAAAUAAGACAUUAAAAGGAUUAAUUUAUGAAAUUAUUUCAAUCAUUUUGAUAUUGUAAUCAAGGAAGGUUCAUCAAAAGAUUUCACUCACCAACUUUCUUUGGAUUUGGCAUGAUUAUUGGAGUAGCCAAUAGGAUGGCCACAUUUUGUUGUUAUUGUGAAGGAUGUAAUAUUUUUCUUUUAAGAGAAAAAGAGUUAUGGAUACCUAGAUACUUUAAUUUGGAAAUUAUAAACAUUAAGUUUUUUUUUUUAGUAUUGUUUAUGAUGUUUAGGAUUUGCAUGUGAUUAAUGCAAUUGCUUGAUGAAUAUUUAUUUUUAUACUAUAACUUUUCAAAAAAAUUAUUGCACUACAUGUUAGCAUAAAUAUUUAUAAUAUUAGUAGUAGUAAUAGUAGUAGUAGUAGUAGUAGUAGUGUAGUAGUAGUAGUAGUAAUAAUAAUAAUAAUAAACAUCCAUUUUAGAUCUUUAGUAAUGUAUUCAUAUUAUGGUGACUACUAUCAUUGACAUUCAUUACUUAAAAUCAAUCAUUUAUACUUGAAGAAAAGAGAGUUCUUUUAAAACAUUAGAUGACUGUUUUUUUGAGAAGUAAGUCAUCUAUGUUGAUAUCAAACAUAGUUCUUUACAACAUUAGAUGACUUUUUUUUUUUAAGAAAUGAGUAAUUUAUGAUGCUUAUUAGAUGACUCUCUUUACGACUCAUCUUUUGUACCUCGUUUUAGAUGACUGCUACAAAGAUUACUAAUUUUACUUUGUCAUCAUAAGGUUAGUUUAAACGUCAUCUAUGUCGUUUUUUGUGGUAGUGAAUCUAUAUAUUUUGUAGCAUGGAAAAUAGAAAAUUUAUUUAACUUAUGUUAAUUAAACAUAAACUGAAUAAGAAAAUCCUAUGAUUCCGUGAUUUAAAUUAUGGCAUCAAUGCCAUAUAAACAUAAAUUUUAUGAAAUACGCAUAAAACUAGUAAAUAAAAAGUAAAAUAAGUAAAUUAGUGAAAGAAUGGUAAAUUAUAUAAUUGCAAACAAGACAAGCUCUUGUGAAAAUAAUAUAAAACUUGUAAAUCAAUAUUAAACUUAUAUUAAACAAAAAAAUUUGAUUCAUUUAAUUUGACUAAACAAAGAAAAAAUUCACUCAUCAAUUGAAAAAAAAAAUGUAUUGAAAACAAUUGGAAUAAGUUUUAGUGUAUUGGUUUAACCAUACAUUUUAUAUUCAUUCUAGCACAUUCAUAAUUUUUUUUCCAUUUUCUAUUAUAGUAUUGUUUACUACUAAUUAAGCAAAAUUAUUUUUCUUGAUGUAGAUCAAGUCAAAAAAAUAUAUACAAAAAAUUAUUCUUAUAUUACUAGACAUAUAUGAUUUCAAUAAAUUGGAUCUAAUUUUAGCCUUAAUAAAAUUUCACAUAUAUCAUCACAUGUAUUACAUAAACAAAAAAACUAUCAUUAUUCAAUUUAGAAACAAAAUCAACAAAUAUAUAAGAUAAUCAUUAUUAUAACGAGUUUUUAUUUUAUAUUUAUAAGGUUUUAUUUUUUAAUAUUAUUUAUUUUAAUUUACUUAUUUUACCAUCUAUUUACAAAUCUUAUGUUUGAUUUACAUAAUUUAUUUCUUAUUUUACACAUAGUUUACAAAUUUUAUGUUAUAUCAGUAAGUUUUUGUUUUAUUUGUCAAUAACACUCUAAUUUACCACUCCUAUGUUAAUUUUCUUGUAUUAUCUUUUAUUUACAAAUCUUAUUUUUUAUUUACUUAAUUUACGUUUUAUUUUAUACUUUGGUUUACAAGUUUUAUGUUAUAUUUGUGAGUCUUUGUUUUAUUUACUAAUAAUAUACCAAUUUACUACUCUUAUGUUAAUUUACUUAUUUUAUCUUGUAUUUACACUUUUUAUGUUCCAUUUACAUAAUUUAUGUUUUAUUUUAUACUUAAUAUUGAUUUAUAAGUUUUAUGUUAUAUUUGUAUGUUUUUGUUUUGCUUACCAAUAAUGCACCAAUUUAUUACUUCUAUAUUAAUUUACUUAUUUUACCCUCCAUUCAUAAGAAUUGUGUUCCACUUACAUAAUAUACAUUUGAUUUUACAAUUAAUGUUGGUUUACAAGUUUUAUAUUAUAUUUGUAAGUUUUUGUUUUGUUUACUAAUAAUGCCCCAAAUUACCAUUUCUAUAUAUGUGAAUUUUUUUUUACCUUUCAUUUAUAAGUCUUAUGUUUCGUUUAUCUCUGGUGGUUCGCUGUUCAAGAAUUCUUGUUUAAUUAAUGCUUUUUUUCACAUUUAUUGAUAAUUCACAUAUUUAAUUUAUGUUUUAUUUGACAGUUAUUGAUUAUGCACAUAUUCAAUUUAUGUUUUAUUUGAUACUUAUUAAUGAUUCACUUAUUUAUUUUAUGUUUUAUUUGACACUUGUUGAUGAUUCAGAAGUUUUAUGUAAUAUUUAUAUGCUUUUGUUUUGUUUACUAUUGAUAUACCAAUUUAUCACUCUUAUGUUAAUUUACUUGUUUUAUCUUCUAUUUACAAGUCUUAUGUUCCCCUUACUUAAUUUAUGUUUUAUUUUACACUUAAUGUUAUUUUAAAAAUUUUAUAUUAAUUUACAUUUCUUAUGUUUCAUUUAGAUAAUUUAUGUUUAAAUACAAUAUCAAUCAUGGCAUCAUAGAAUGAAUUUUUUUUUAAUAAUAUUUGGCUCUAAAAGGAAGUUCAAAUUGUUUCAUGCCCCCCUCAUUUCGUGGCCAAAACUAACCCCUGUUAAACGAUUUAUUAGGUAUUACUAUGGAUUUAUGAAGUAAGAAAUAAAAUUAUAAAUUAAUAAGAGCAAUGACAAACAUUUCAAAUGAUAAUAAAAUUUUAUCCUAAAUAAUGUGACAUUCACCAUGUGAAUGAUGAGAUAAUGUAAUUAAGUUAGGAUAUCUAAUACUGUUUUAAUAAUUACUUUAUUGAAUAAUUUCAUGUGUUCAAUUAUCUCCAUCCUUACAUUUAUUUAAAUAAUAUUAUUAUAUUAUUUAAUAAUAUUACAUUUAUUAAAAAUAAUAAUAUUAAACUUAUUUAAAUGUAAUAUUAUUAUAUUUAGUUAAAAUUAUAGUAUCAUAUUUAUUUAAAUAAUUAAUAAUAAAAAAUAUUUACCAAUAUAUUUUUUAUUUACUUUGUAAUUAAAAAUUAUAAUUUUUUAAAUAAGAGUAAAAUUGUUAUUUGAAACAAUUCACUCCUAAUUCAAGAUAAAGUAAACACAUAAACAAGAUUUUGAUCCUUAUUCCAACUUUCAUUCUAAUGUAAUAAAAAAUCUACUGCUACUCUUACGGCACACUCUCAAUCUCAGAAUUCUCACUCCAAUCCAAGAAGUAAACGUUACCCUAAAAUAUUGGACCAUUUGCAAAGGGAUCUAGUAGUCCUUGAAUUCGGCCCAUACCAGAAUAUUUUCUUUGCAAAAAUCUAGUAUCUUCAGCAGGCUCUCAGUAGUGUUCCUGAAGAGAAAAUUCCCCCUGCUGGCAAAACAAAGAAAUACCAUGCCACUUGGCUUAAGUGUACAAACUUUAUUUAAUAUUCUUUCAUUAACGUUCACUCACAAGAGUACAAAAAUCAGUUAAGUUAAGAGAAUGAAUCAUAAAAAUUCUGGAAUUAGAACAGACUUUAAUUAGUCAACACAAAACAUACUAGUUAUCCACAAUGCAUUAAGCUAACAAAUUAGAUUGAUCAACUGAAAAUAAACACUAUAUAUCUUAUAAUGUAUAUCCGUAACAGCAUAUAAUAUUAAUGGACAUUAUUAUAUAAUUUAGCUUCACCCAAUAUUUAAUUUGAUUAAGCUAAAAAAAAUUUCUUUGAUUAGCAGUCUCUCACAAGACACUUGAGUUAAUAAAAAAAUUAAGAUAAAUUUAAAUAUAAGGCAAAAUUUAUAAUUUCAAGCACAGUAAAGCAUAAAAGGUACUAAUUACCAAAGAAUGGAAGCGUAUAGUUAAUGAAGCAUAGAUUACUAAAAAAGACCCAUCUACAUCUGCUACUCACUUUGAGUGUAGAUUAGAAAAUGGUGUUGCCAUCUAUCUCGUUCCACUUGUCAUUAGUUAUCUCCAUGAGCCUUUCUCCAAUUACUGCCAAGUAAUUAUUUUUCCUCAAUACAACUUUUAUCUUCAUUUUCCACAAUGAAAAAUUAUUUCCGUUGAAUUUCUUAAUUUCGUAUUUUGCCGUCAUCGCUUUUCACCACAAACUAACUUUGCUAAGAUUGGCUCCCACCAUCUCACGUGAACAGUACCGUAUACGUGAAUAGUUCCAUAUAUGUGAAGAGUACUUUUACAUGAACAGUAUCACCAACUCCAAAAAAAAAAAAUACAACCAAUAACUCUGAUACCAAUGUUAGGAAAUUGGUGGGUGAAGCAGGGCCACAGCUAAAAUGAAAUUGGAAGAAAAUAAAGAACAAGUACAAAAGAGGACACCAGAAAAUAUUGUAAAUAUUUUACUACGUCCACGGGCGAAGACAGAAGGAAAAUAUUUUACUAGUAAUAUGAGGAUUACAAGUAUUGUAAUAUUUUGGCUCACUUCCCAGAACUCAAAUACACCCAAUCUCUCACUCACUAGACUCACAAGAGCUUUAUAAUUUUAAGCUCUUUAAAUCACUCAAACUCUCUGCUUUCUCUCUCACAAAAAAAUUGAAUUGCUUCGCUCUCAAUGGGAUGCCUAAAUGAGGGUGGGAAGCCCUCUUUAUAUAGCCAAAAUUUUGGCUUUUUUUUUUAUAAUAAGUCAACAUGGCACCACAAAAAAUGGCGGGUUGUGUUGAAUGGCAAGGCACCGCCCAUCCAGCCAUGACUUUAACAUAUCGAGCGUGUAACAGGGACAUGCUAACAAGGAAGAAUUCUAUUAUCAAAUUAUGGUUAUGAGAUGAAUUUGCAUCCAAUCCUCAAUCCAUUUUUGCAAUUCUUUUUUUUCAUAUAUAUUCUUCAAUUACUCAAAAAGGAAACAAAGUGGACGCACACAAAAUCUGCCUACUUACAAAUUUUUGGCAAAGUAUGUUUCAAAUCAAUUAACAGCAUCAGCAUAUCUUGAGAUUUUCCUUCUACCGUUAAUUGUAACACAAAAUUAUAAAAACAAAAUAAAAGGAGGAUAGAAGAAAGAAACAUCCACCCAUACCUUUGACAAGAAUGGUUCAAGAACAGUUACAACUUCCACGGACAGAUUGAGAGCGAGCACGACAGAGAGUGGGGCUGCUGUUGCUGGCUUGCUGCUGUGUGUGCGUGUUGAGAGAGAGUAAGAGCGAGUGUGAGAGGGACUGCUGGUGGCCUGGUGCUGCCGUACUGGGCUGCUGCUGCGGGCUGCGAGUGCUGGCAUGCGUGCUGCUAAGAGGGAGGCUCUGCUGUGGCUUGAGGGAGGGGCUGCUGCUGUUUCGUGUUUAGAGAGUUUGGGAUUACAAUUUAGGGUGCGUUUGGGAUUAAGGUUGGGGAGCUGUAACUUUUAAGUUACAGCAUUAAAGUGUUUGGUAAACACUAGCUGCUAUAACUUGGAAGUUAUGCUGAUAUAAUUUUUCACUUGUAUGAUGGAAAAUAUAUUAUAUCUUUAAUAAUUUUGUCAAAAUUAUUAUUUAAAAUUUAUAUUUACUAAAUAUUAUUAACUUUUAUUUCAAAAUUACAAUUUUUUUUUUCACAAUAGCUAUAGCUUAAAAGUUAUAGCACCUCAAUCCCAAACACACCCUUAGUCACUUGGAAUUUUAAGGAUUUAGUUUUAGGAUCAGGAUCCUCUCCUGAUCUGAUCUUUAUCUGAGCAAGUGCUAUUAAUAUGAUUGGUGGUUAAUAAAUGAAAAAAAAAGUAGUUAAAUCUUAACCAUUCACUAAUAUUAAAAUACAGGUGGCACAAGAUCUGUCAAAGAUUAAGAGUGCUCAGAUUAGGAGAGGAUCUCAAUCCUUAGUUUUAGGGCUGGUUUUUUUUAAUAUAAUUGCACAUGAACCGAAGAGUUUAUCUAUUCGGUUUGGCUCUGAAACCGAACCGAAUUCAUAAACCGUUUGGUGGAAGUAAAAUGAAACCAUCCAGUUUUUUCCCCUUAAACCGAACUUGCAAAUAGAAAUUAUUCGGUUCGAUUCGCCAAAAAUCGAAUCGAAUUUGAUUUCCAGAUAAUUUUUUCCAACCGAACAAAAGAAAAUAAAGAGGAAACAAAAAAGCUCUCCUCUCCUACCUUAAUUUCUUAACCGAACAUGGCCUAAAGGUAAUCAGCACCCUUUAUGCUUUACUGUAAUAAGAAUUAUAAAUUUUGUCUGUUAUAUAAUCCGAUCAAAACUGACCUUAUAUUGAUGAAGAUCAAAUCAAAGAAGCUAAGAUUUAAUAGAACCAGAACCAAGAACAAGCAAAGCAUUAAAGAAUUUGACAAGACCAUAUAACGUGGUUCGGCAACAAGAUGCCUACAUCCACGACUGAAAUCAGCUCUGCUCUGAAACGGUUUUUGAAUGAGAUGUGUAACAGAUGAUUUUUGAGAUUACAGAAAUUAAAACUUCCCUACCUGAGAUUUUUCCAUCUCUCUCAAAAUCAAUCACUAAGACUUUGUAACUGCCAGCUUGUUUUCUUUUAUAAUUCCAGGCAACAACUUUAACAACUGAUGGCCCCACACCAACGCCAGCUCAGCACGCCACCUCAUUCACUCUUAACAGAAUAUAACUACCCAGGCUUCACAAUGUCUUACAUUUACAUUUAUCUUAAAGUUUUUAUUAACUCGAGUGUCUUGUGAGUGACUGCUAAACAAAGAAUUUUUUUUUUAACACAAUCAAAUUAGAUAUCGGUUGUGGCUAAGUUAUAAAAUAAUGUCCAUAAAUAUUUGAUGCUGUCAUGGAUAUACAUUCUAAGAUACAUUGUGUUUGUUUUCAGACGAUCCAUCUAAGUUGUUAGCUUAAUGCAUCGUGGAUAGCUAGUACGUUUUGUGCUGAUUAAUUAAAGUCGGUUCUAAUUCCAGAAGUUUUAUGAUUCAUUUUCAACUUAAUUGAUUUUUAUACUCUUGUGGGUGAACGGUAAUGAAAGAAUAUUAAAUAAAUUUGUAAACUUAAGCCAAGUAGACUGAUACAUCUUUGUUUUCCAAGCACGGGGAAUUUUUUCUUUAACACAAACUAGAAGAUAAAAGCUUUAAUCAAUAAUAAUUACAACGGAAUUCCAGCUUAUGUCGCUGCCCCUUGGACGACUGAAUUGGUAAUCUGAAAAGAAACAAACGGAACUUGCCACGUUUAAUAUAUCUGAAAUAUCAAUCAUUACAAUGCCACUGCGCUCAGAAAUUCAUUUCAUCGCUGUCAAGUGGAUGAAAAGGCUAAUAACUUCCAGAUCAGAGAUGAAAAUCAUCAUCUAUCAAGUACGUUGUCAUUGAAAUCAACAAGUACAGAUGGAGUGGACACACCUUAAAUUCUCUGUCUAAUGGGUUCCUGCUGCCUUGCACUUGCUAAAUUGAGUUACCUUCAACACCAAGAAAGAAAAGCAAGCCGAAGCUGCAUUGAUUUCAUCAAUCCAUUCUUGGCAUUCAUGCAAUCAGACAUGCUUCCUGAGAAAGAAAGUCAAUGGUGCCAGCUUAAGGAAUAAACCACAAAGAAAAACCCACUCUAGUCUUCCGCUUAAUAUCAGUCAACUGAGUUGCUAUUUGAACAAGAAAAUGGAUCCAUCAUCUGAAAACAAACGCAAGGAACUAUAUAUCCAAAACAGCAAAUAUCCAGAAAUAACAUUAAUCAAAAUCUGCAACUCUAAAACUAUGACAGAUAAGCUUGCAAAUUUCUUUUGAUUACCUAUUGUUGUUAGCUGUAAGGUGAAUUCAAACACCUGGUUACUAAACGGCGGCGUUUCAAGUUUCUUGAUGGCUUAACAAACUCACAUGAGAAGCACGACCUUGUUAUUACUUUGAAACGGCAAAGAGUGCUAGCGUUUUGGAGUCACUUGAAUUAAGUAAAUCACACAAGCAGUCACGUGAGAUACAAUUGAAGCCAAGUUCAUUAUACCAGAAUCUUUGCACACGUGUCAUAUAGCUGUGCAUUCUGGGCUGUUAAGUUUGUUAAGAGACUGGUUUAUAAGCUGAUGAAUCAGGAGAAGCUGCGUGAAUUCGAGAGAAAUACUGAGAGGAAUUGUAGAGAGAGAGAGAGUUAAAUCUUAUUCUUUGUUCUUUUUUUCUCAACUCUCUGUAACAAACACCUUGAAUCUUUCAAUGAAAGCCUGCUGGUGGAUUCACCCGUGGAUGAAAGCCAUUAAUGGCUGAACCACUUUAAAUUUGCUGAGUGUUCUGUUGAUUGUUCUCUGCUCUUAGUUGUUCUGUUCUUGUGCUGUUAAUAAUCCUUUGUUUGAUUCAAGUGAGGUUUAUUGAUUCUUCCAAAUCGAUUAAUCUGUUACAUGCAACUCGAUUGAUCUUGACAAAGGAUCUUGGGUAGAAUCUGAUUUUGUUGUGUGAAUCGAACGAAUCAGAUUCUACACCUAUCAACCACGGUGACAAGAUUAGAAAAAUAAUUGAGUUGAAAAUGCUGUAUUGACAAUCCUCAUUUGAUUUUAAAAAAAAAUAGAGGUGAUGUGAUAUAUCUUUCAGUAUGUAAUCUAAACAAUAAAUUUUUAAAAUAACAAAAAAUGGCAUAUUUAUAAAAUCUAGACUAGGACAGAUCGACUAUAUUCUCUCCAUGGUAGUAAAUUUAAGAUAAAAAUAAAAAGUAAGAAGCAUUUUUUUAUCAAUUUAGCUAAUGAUACAACUGUAUGGGGGAUAAAAGAAAGCACAUUGUUGUAGGGGAUAUGAGAUGGAAUGGAGCAAUAAAAUCUACUCCUCUAAAUACGAUUGUUACUCGUAUAAGAAUUUCCCAUCUAUGUUAACGCAAGGAAUGUUUGCAAUCUUGGGCCACUCUUUUCCUUUAUCCCUUUUGCACUCUUUUUUCAGCUUCGGACAAGCUUCGAUUGUUAAAUCCAGGAGUGAGGUUGGAAGGCCCUCCUCUGGAAAAGAUUUAAGAUUUGGACAUUUAAUGAGCAGCAAAAAUUCAAGAGAGGUUAGGCUUUGAAAACCCAUUGAAGAUAGGUAUUUCAAUUUCGACAACUUAACAAUAAAGAGGUUUCUGAGAGAGGUCGGCAACAUCAUUCCCAUCUCCUCGUCCGGAAAACACUCUGCUUCAUCACAUCCAUAAAUAUCAAGGCUUCUGAGAGAGGUAAGCCUGUGCAACCCCCACUGAAUGAGUGGCUUAUAAAUUUUCACAUCAACUCCAAUACUAAGUGUUGUUAGAUUGGUGGGAAAACCUUCCUCUGGAAAAGAUACAAUGCUCGGACAUUCACUUAUGUAAAAAUGUUGAAGAGAGUUGAGUUUGUGCAUGUCACUGGGCAGGGCUUCAAGCUUCUCACAAUCGGCUAUCCAAAUGCUCUGUAAAUUAUGCAGGCCAUUGGGUAUUGACUUCAGCUCUGGACAACUACUUAUGUGGAGGUAUUCAAGCCCCUCAAGUAGCUGGAUUCCUGAUGAUAAACUUGUGAGCUCUGGGCAGCGCCUUAUCUCCAGAUGUUUCAGCUUCACUGAUGAAGAAGAAGAAGUAUCAUCAUCUCCACCAUCGACCAAAUGCUGCAAGUUCUUACAAUUCUCUAUCUCAAGCCUUUUAAGAGAUGCUGGUAGCUUGCUUCUUGCAAUGAAUGUUACAGAAUCACAAUCUCGGAUGUACAAACUUUCCAGUUGUGAAUUGUUGCCUAUAAUUUCCUCAGGCAAUGUUUUUAAAGCUCUGGCAUUUCCAAUUUUAAGAGACCGCAGAUUAUUGAGAAAAAAUUUAAUCUCUGGAAAUGAAACUAGACUUACGCAGCUUUCAUGAAUUGACACCUCUUCAGGGGAGGUGAUAACUUGCAACCCUUUCUCUGGCUGCUCAAGUUCAUGCCAUGACGUGAUCCAUUCAAAAUUUCCAAUCCGCAAAGUCUCUACUUGAUGAAGUCCUUGCUUUAAAAAUUUUCUUAACUCCAAAAUAUUGGAAAUAACUGUCACAGAGUCUGCUUCUGUACAAUCACUAUGUAUCAUCCCCUUGCAUCCGCGUAUCUGCAAUGUAUCAUUUGAAAUAGUCAUAGACUCGAUCAACUUUGAGUCAAUUGGAGUGCUGCACACAAGUCCCUUGCAUUCAUGAAUUUCUAAUUUGCAAAGAUUCAGAAAGCUUGAGAAUGAAACUACCAACUCUCCACAUUUACUAACAACUAGUUUCUCUAAUGAAGGGAGAUGCUCUGGCAAUUUUCCAGAGAAUAAGGGACAUCUUACCAUGGAAAGUUCACGAAGGCUGGAGAAUCCUGCAACAAUGCCAUUUUCUUCCAAUUUAGUGUCCCAAUACUCCCACUCUGGUAAAUUCUCAAAACAGAGAAUCUCCAAUGAUUGAAAAGGCUUUGAGCAAUCCUCACCAUAAACCUCAGCACCCAUGCUUUUCAGUUUCAUCAAACCUUUAAUAGUAAGAUGUUUAAGUGAACUCAACAACCCGAGCGAUGGCAAGGAUGUGCAAUUUUCACAGUUUUCUAAUUUAAGAACCUCCAUCUUGGAGAAAAAAGAUGUAUCUCCUAUCCAAGAAGGAAAUUUUUUUCCACCAUAGCCCUCGAUUGCAAGUUUCUUGAUGUUUGUACAAGGUUUUAGCAUGCCAAGUACAAGUUCUUCUCCAUCCUUAUUUCGUGAGUUGUCAAACUGAGAUCCCCAUUGCAAUGACAAUGCUUCUAGAUUCUGCUUCUCGCAUAACAUCGCUUCGCUUGCCUCCCACGUACGGUCCACAUUUUCCAAUCCUGAGAUGCAAAGUUCUCCGCCAAGAAAAUUUAAAUUCUUCAAAUCCGUCAAAGUGGAAACUUUUCCCUUGCCCACAAUAAAAUUAGACAACGUUUGAAGACACUUCAACUCCUUCAUUCCCGGUGGCAUCCCUUUUAGUGAAUUUGCACCUUUUAUAUCGAGAUGACGUAACUGAAGCAAAUUCCCCAUUUUGGAUGGCAACUUAAUCAAACAAUAACAAUCUCUUAAUAUCAAUAUUUGCAAGUUCAGUAGCAAGCUUGUUGACUCGGGUAAACUUUUGAUACUAGAGCCUUCGAGGUUGAGAUACCUUAGAGAUCUCAUAGUGUCAAAAGAAAUGGGUAACUGGGUGAUGUAGUAUCCUUUUAAAGAUAGCACCCUUAGCUUCUUGAAUUUUGGCAACAACUCCGAUAGAAACAUGUUAGUAAUGUAAGUGGUGGCUCCUAUUGUGCUUAUUUGCAAGAAUGUCCUCAGCUGUGCAAGUUGAGCAUUACCGAUAACUUCAAAUUUAUUUUUACCAUCACACCAUCCUUGAUUGUAAGAAUAAUGACGAACCCUUUCAAAUCUUCUCGAUGGCUUAUUGACCUCUUCUAACCUGAAAAUAGUGUCGCCGGAAACCAAUUGAGUGAGAUCAUGAACUAGGUCAUGCAUUACAAAUUUAGAGCUAUCAACACAUGAUUGCUGGAAAAUUGACCUUGACACUAGACCUCGAAAACACUCUCUUCCCCAUUUUUCUGGCUGCUUAUUGUUUUCGGAACAUUGCUGGAUGACACCUUCAGCUAUCCACAAAAAAACAAGCUCAUUCUGCUCAAAUUCAUAAUCUUUAGGGAAAAUAGCACAAUAAGCAAAACAUCUCUUCAACUGAGAAGGAAGAUAGUGAUAACUCAAUCUUAACACUGAGAGAAUGCCAUUUUGUUGAGGAAGAUCCAAUAUAUUGCUGUUCAAUAUUUCAUCCCAUUCAUCAUGUCUCUUGGAACGUAAAAGUCCCCCAAGAGUUUUUGCUGCUAGGGGCAAGCCUCCACACUUUCCAACAACUUUCUCGCGAAAUAAAUCUGAAAUUUGUUGUGCAGUAAUAUCUUGACCCACAAACGCGUGCAUCAUGAACAGGGACCAGCAAUCUUCAUCUGACAGGCACUGUAGGUUAUAUUGUUGAAUUGGUUCCAUUGUUGAUGCAACAUGUGCAUGGCGAGUGGUGACAAUAAUUUUUACUGUUUGGUGCAGCAGCCAGGAAUGGAGCUUUCAGAUCUUCCCACAAGCAGUAGUCCUCGUUCCAUACAUCAUCUAAGACCAGCAAUAAUUUUUUCCCAUCAACAGCCCUUUUUAUCUGAACCUGCACUUCGUUUAAAGCCUUGAGAUCACAUGAUGCGAAGGUGAUUGACUCAAGAAGAGCCCUUGAAAUGUUCAACACAUCAAAGUCAUCAGAGACACAAACCCAUGCUUUUACAUCGAACUUGGAGUCUUCAAUGGCCCUGUCAUUGUAGACCUCCCGAGCAAGGGUUGUUUUUUCCGACCCCAGCCAUGCCAACGAUUGGUAUUACAGCAAGGUUGGAAUGAUCACUUGACGUAUCAGUCAGUACCAUUUCAAGCAUUUUGGCCUUAUCUUGCUGCCUCCCAAAAACAGCACGUUCAAUUGACACACUUGAAGUGGGUUGUUCUUCGUUGUGCAGUAGUAGUUGAUGAUGUCCCUCCAGGAGUCAAUUGCAAUCCAAGAUGAAUUCUUUGAUUGCAGAGUCGAUCAAAUCGGCCGGUGAUAUCUUUUAUGCUGGACCGCAUUUUGCCAUUGAAAUUAACAGUGUUCUGAAUUUUGAAACAACCGAAACAAGCUGCCGGGACGAGCAUCUGAACUUUGCUACUGCUGGCUCCAUGAUCACGAUCUGCAAUGAACUUGCGAUCCAAAGCCUUGGUGGCAACUCAUCAAGAAUGUCCUCAGCAUCAUAAGCCAAGUCUCGGAGAUCGUCCAGCCACAAUUUCACAGCCUCGUCCGUCAGUUGCUUCUCCUCUGCGUCCCUCAGCACAGCCUGAAUCAUCAUCAAACAGUCUUCCCAUUUCUUCAACUCGGAAGCAACCCCACCUCCAAGUUGGCUAACAAAGUUGAGCAAAUCACCACCAUGGGGAGCCAAUCUGUCAAAAAGCACCUGAAAGACAGCUGAGAGUAAGAGCUCUCCAACAGCCAUAGUUUAGUUUUGUACUUUUGUUCACAGGAAAGUAAAGGAGUGGAGUGUAGGAUCAAAUGGGAUUGAAUGCAAGUAGAGCAAAAAUCGGAAGCAGUGCAUCAAAAGCCUGCAGAAAUGGUUAGAUUCAAAACCGUGGACUCCACAUAUCACGAUCAUCAUCGAAAUUUUGAGAUGGCCGUAAAAUAAACUUCUUUUUCUUCGUUUUUCUAAAGUCAAGUCUUGCAUUGACUGAUUCUAGACAUUUCCAUUUCACACUGCGGUCUUGAAACAGAUUUUCUUUAUUCAUAUAAUUUCGUGUAUGGAUUUUCAAGAGUAGCUGUAGAAAUUUACUUUUGAGGCGACCAACUUUUUUAGCAUGCCGUAGAGUUGAAUUUUUCACAUAUACACAAAAGGUUUAUCAGAAAACUUAAAGAAAAGUCAGUAUUUGCUUCUAACAUAUAUUUCCUGCACUGGCCAGUCAAAUAAAGUAUCUUAGAAAAUCUUAAAGAAAAGUCAGUAUUUGAUUUUAACUCAGUUCCUCCACUGGCCAGUCAAAUAAAAUUUCUUAAGAAUCAUUCAACACCAAGAAAGCAAAUUGCAUCAACAUGCCAUCUGGCAUGUGGAAAUGAAAAUAAGAGACUCGGGAUAUUUUAAUCUGACUGUAUUUGAUCUCAGGCAGUACUGCAGGAUGUUAUAAGAAAUUUAAUUAUAUAUAUGUUUUAAAUAUUUUAUCUACGACUAUUAAUUAAUAAUAAAUUCAGCGAAAAAAUAUUAUACUUGAAUCUUGAUACAUGCAUAUGAAAGAAAAAGAAAUUAAGCCAUAAAUCAUGGAAUAGUUUUCAUAUAGCUAUAAAGAGUCUGAAAAUAAGCCUGAAGGAACCAACUACCAAUAAUAAAUUUCUCAACAUGAUGAAAUUGCCACGAACUUUUGUAACGGUUCAUUAUAAUCUUGAGUGAAUUCUAUAUGUUCCAGAAAUCCACAGUGCUUAGGAAUAUGACACCUUUUAUUAUCCAACACUUUAAAUAUCAAUUGGAUUAGAUAGAUUCAGGCAACCUUUUAUCUUCUACUUUUCUUCAGAAUAUGUGUUUGCCAUUUAUCUGAUUACAGGUACAGCAGGAGAUACAAUUUAGGUUGCGGCUGAUAUACAGCUGCCUGUGCAAGGGUGUGCUUCCUUGCCUCUUCAAUGAUAGUAGAUAGUAGUGUGAGCAAUAGAUAGCAGCAAAGCAACAUUGGGCCUUUAGAAUCUUAAUGACACCUUCAGCUAUCCACAAAAAAAACAAGCUCAUUCUGCUCAAAUUCAUAAUCUUUAGGGAAAAUAGCACAAUAAGCAAAACAUCUCUUCAACUGAGAAGGAAGAUAGUGAUAACUCAAUCUUAACACUGAGAGAAUGCCAUUUUGUUGAGGAAGAUCCAAUAUAUUGCUGUUUCAAUAUUUCAUCCCAUUCAUCAUGUCUCUUGGAACGUAAAAGUCCCCCAAGAGUUUUUGCUGCUAGGGGCAAGCCUCCACACUUUCCAACAACUUUCUCGCGAAAUAAAUCUGAAAUUUGUUGUGCAGUAAUAUCUUGACCCACAAACGCGUGCAUCAUGAACAGGGACCAGCAAUCUUCAUCUGACAGGCACUGUAGGUUAUAUUGUUGAAUUGGUUCCAUUGUUGAUGCAACAUGUGCAUGGCGAGUGGUGACAAUAAUUUUACUGUUUGGUGCAGCAGCCAGGAAUGGAGCUUUCAGAUCUUCCCACAAGCAGUAGUCCUCGUUCCAUACAUCAUCUAAGACCAGCAAUAAUUUUUUCCCAUCAAGCCCUUUUUAUCUGAACCUGCACUUCGUUUAAAGCCUUGAGAUCACAUGAUGCGAAGGUGAUUGACUCAAGAAGAGCCCUUGAAAUGUUCAACACAUCAAAGUCAUCAGAGACACAACCCAUGCUUUUACAUCGAACUUGGAGUCUUCAACGGCCCUGUCAUUGUAGACCUCCCGAGCAAGGGUUGUUUUUCCGACCCCAGCCAUGCCAACGAUUGGUAUUACAGCAAGGUUGGAAUGAUCACUUGACGUAUCAGUCAGACCAUUUCAAGCAUUUUGGCCUUAUCUUGCUGCCUCCCAAAAACAGCACGUUCAGUUGACACACUUGAAGUGGGUGUUCUUCGUUGUGCAGUAGUAGUUUGAAGUUUGGAUGAAUUCUUUGAUUGCAGAGUCGAUCAAAUCGGCGGUGAUAUCUUUUAUGCUGGACCGCAUUUUGCCAUUGAAAUUAACAGUGUUCUGAAUUUUGAAACAACCGAAACAAGCUGCCGGGACGAGCAUCUGAACUUUGCUACUGCUGGCUCCAUGAUCACGAUCUGCAAUGAACUUGCGAUCCAAAGCCUUGGUGGCAAACUCAUCAAGAAUGUCCUCAGCAUCAUAAGCCAAGUCUCGGAGAUCGUCCAGCCACAAUUUCACAGCCUCGUCCGUCAGUUGCUUCUCCUCUGCGUCCUCAGCACAGCCUGAAUCAUCAUCAAACAGUCUUCCCAUUUCUUCAACUCGGAAGCAACCCCACCUCCAAGUUGGCUAACAAAGUUGAGCAAAUCACCACCAUGGGGAGCCAAUCUGUCAAAAAGCACCUGAAAGACAGCUGAGAGUAAGAGCUCUCCAACAGCCAUAGUAUUAGUUUUGUACUUUUUGUUCACAGGAAAGUAAAGGAGUGGAGUGUAGAUCAAAUGCGGAUUGAAUGCAAGUAGAGCAAAAAUCGGAAAGCAGUGCAUCAAAAGCCUGCAGAAAUGGUUAGAUUCAAAACCGUGGACUCCACAUAUCACGAUCAUCAUCGAAAUUUUGAGAUGGCCGUAAAAUAAACUUCUUUUUCUUCGUUUUUCUAAAGUCAAGUCUUGCAUUGACUGAUUCUAGACAUUUCCAUUUCACACUGCGGUCUUGAAACAGAAUUUUCUUUAUUCAUAAAUUUCGUGUAAUGGAUUUUCAAGAGUAGCUGUAGAAAUUUACUUUUGAGGCGACCAACUUUUUUAGCAUGCCGUAGAGUUGAAUUUUUCACAUAUACACAAAAGGUUUAUCAGAAAAACUUAAAGAAAAGUCAGUAUUUGCUUCUAACAUAUAUUUCCUGCACUGGCCAGUCAAAUAAAGUAUCUUAGAAAAUCUUAAAGAAAAGUCAGUAUUUGAUUUUAACUCAGUUCCUCCACUGGCCAGUCAAAUAAAAUUUCUUAAGAAUCAUUCAACACCAAGAAAGCAAAUUGCAUCAACAUGCCCAUCUGGCAUGUGGAAAUGAAAAUAAGAGACUCGGGAUAUUUUAAUCUGACCUGUAUUUGAUCUCAGGCAGUACUGCAGGAUGUUAUAAGAAAUUUAAUUAUAUAAUAUGUUUUAAAUAUUUUAUCUACGACUAUUAAUUAAUAAUAAAUUCAGCCGAAAAAAUAUUAUACUUGAAUCUUGAUACAUGCAUAUGAAGAAAAAGAAAUUAAGCCCAUAAAUCAUGGAAUAGUUUUCAUAUAGCUAUAAAGAGUCUGAAAAUAAGCCUGAAGGAACCAACUACCAAUAAUAAAUUUCUCAACAUGAUGAAAUUGCCACGAACUUUUGUAACGGUUCAUUAUAAUCUUGAGUGAAUUCUAUAUGUUCCAGAAAUCCACAGUGCUUAGGAAUAUGACACCUUUUAUUAUCCAACACUUUAAAUAUCAAUUGGAUUAGAUAGAUUCAGGCAACCUUUUAUCUUCUACUUUUCUUCAGAAUAUGUGUUUGCCAUUUAUCUGAUUACAGGUACAGCAGGAGAUACAAUUUAGGUUGCGGCUGAUAUACAGCUGCCUGUGCAAGGGUGUGCUUCCUUGCCUCUUCAAUGAUAGUAGAUAGUAGUGUGAGCAAUAGAUAGCAGCAAAGCAACAUUGGGCCUUUAGAAUCUUAUAAGAAGGAUACAAGGAUUUACACUUUUCAGAUAUUAUUUUUACCAAUUUGCUUGCCUCCGUAAUCCCCUAGGGGAGAAAAAAGGAAAAUAAAAGUUAUUUUCUUCUCUUUGGUUACAUGAGUGAAAUUUUCUACCUCUAGCCCUUGGAUGGGAUGGAAAUUGCAGGCUAGAACAUAUAUCAAGGAAUUUGUUCAUGGGGAUCUAGGGCGCACCAAUCCAAGGUAGAAAACACGAUUGAAUAGUGUUAUAACAAAAAUCCUUGUUCCAGUUCAUUUUUUACCGUCGUGCAUAAAUAUUUUAUGUAGAGCACUGAUACCUAGACACAAUCAAGAUCAUCAAGGUAGCAAAUAAGAAAAUGUUCAUGCAACAAUUCCACUGUACACACAAAAUGACAGCACUGUUUAUACUACAGUGCCAUCUUUUUUGUCAUGGCCAAAUAUCAAUUUUCUUUUAUUUAUGUUGAACUUUUUGUUUCUCUUUUUUUCUACAGCAUUGGAUCAAUUCUAGGAUGCAGAGCAAAGACGCUGCAACGUGAUGUUACAAAUGUAAAAAUGGACUGUUUCCUAAUUGAAUGAGGUUACUCAUAAAUGACAAUGCAAGUUAUUUAUGGCCAAUGAUGAUCAUUAUUAUCAUUUAACACCUGAAUUACAAUAUUGAAAAUGAUUAUUAUUAUUAUUUUGAGAAGUGUGCCUUUAUGAAAAAUUAUAGCACCACUCCACGAGCUCUUUUUUGACAUUAUUUUAACCCAAAUGGAUUGUCUUUAAAAGGUUCAAGAAGUUAGAUCGUUCAAUAAACCGCAGGCUCAACUUUUCUUUUUACCAAAUCUCAUAAGUUCCUUUAUCGGGGCUACUUUAAGGAGAAAUUCUAGAAUACCUCUGAUAUAUUACAACCAAUUGAUGCAUACAUGCCAUGUAUAGUUGAAUUUAAUAUAACCACCACUUGUAUGAUAGUUUUUCAAAGUAAAUGCACACAUGUCAUAGCAUCAUUUGUUUGUUGUAUGGCUGACAUGGUACCUCCGAUGUAUUCUGGAAUUUCUCUGCUUUAAGAAACACUUUAUUGCCCACUUUAAACUCUAAGUUCCUCUUCCGAUUGUUUGCAUAGCUCUUUUGUCUGCAUUGAGCCACUUUCAUUCUUUCUCUUAUCUUCACAAUGGCUUUACAAGUUUGUUGAAACUCUUGAGCCCUAAAAUGCACAAACUUAGUCAACCUGUUUAUAAUCACCCAAAUUGUAUCAUAGCAUUUUUUCUGAUUUUGGCAAUCCUGAAACAUGAUCCAUGCCUAAGUGUUCCCACUUCUGCUAUAGCACCAUUAAAGACUGUAAUAAUCCAGACGAUCUUUGAUGCUCAACCUUGACUUGCAGACAUGUCAAGCAUUCUUUAACAUAUUUUGCAAUCUCCCUCUUAAUAUUAGCCUACCAAUAAAUAGCUUGAAGAAUCAGCUUUAAUUCUUACAUAUUAUAUAUUCUAGCCCACCAAUAUAUAGAUAUUGUGUUAACAUAUAUGUAUCCAUAAUGUUGAUUUUGAUGAUAACAAACAAGAUUAACAAAGAUUAAGCAUUUAAAAGCUCAAAUUAUUUUUCAUACAUUUUAAAUAAAUCAUUAUCUUCAUAAAUGGUUUUAUACCUAGUGGAAAAAUGAUUUUAUGAAAUUGAUUGUUUUUAAGUUGGUGGUUAAUUAAACAAGUUUUGAGAACUUCGAAAUCAAUAACUACUAUUUUGAAAUUCUAGAAAUGAACCUAUUUGAAAAGUCUUAUAAAGUUUUGGGGCAUAGCAUAAGUUUAGAAAGUUAUGGAAAUCAUCAUGUAUUGUUUUGAAAUUCUGAAAAUGGACUUAUUUGUAAACCUUUUUAAAAUUUUGGGUUAUAGUGUAAUUUUAGGAUAGUUUGAGGCCAAAUUAUAAUUUCAAAAAAUAAGUUCACUAUAGGAAACGACUAACCCAUUACUGUAAACGUUUAACCGAUAAUGGGCAGAAAGUCUUUAGACAAUAAAAGUGAUUCGAUUAUUGAAAAGCGGUGAUUCGAUAAUUUGAAUUGUGGCCUAACGGUAACUUGCUCGAGUCAAAAUGGCAAUCCAACUUGCAAUUAACAGUGAUCCAAUUAUGUGCAAAAAGUCAAUAACGACUAGUUUUCUUCUUCAACUAUAAAAAGGCUCAAUCAAAUUCAAAUGAUUGGCAUUGAGCUUACUCUUGCAUAUUUGAAUUGUCUUAAAUUUUUUUAUUCUUUCAUUGAAACACACUUUGGGCUUUUAUUUGUAAAUACAUAUAUUGUGUGAGUGAAAUUCUAUGUAAUAUUCAUCUUAAUAUCAAAAUUGAGAGAUUGGGAGUGUGGAAAACAUUUGGGAUUAGAGGUGUGAGAUUACCUCAAGUUGUAAAGGUUUUAUUGACACGUUGAAAGUCAAUUAUAAGCAUCUUGAAACCUUGAGUUGUAAGGUUUGGAUAGUGAAAUUCUCAAGUGCAUUGAGCUUAGAGGUAUGGAUGUAAACGGGUUUUGUUGAACCAUGUAAAAAUCUCGUAUUUUUUUUUUCUCUAUCCUUACCUUUUAAAUUUACUUGUUGAAAUAAUAAUUAUUAUUAUUGGUUGUGGUAGUUUUUGAUAUUGAAUUGUGGUAUUGCUAUUGAAGAAACUCUUGAAAAUCCAAUUCACCCCCCUCUUGGGUUGCCAAGCUAGUAUUUCAAAUUGUGCAUAACAUAUUGAUAAUAUUUUGAUCAUUCUUGGUGAUUAUCACCAGACCUAUCACCUUUUAGUUCGGCACCAUCAAAAACUCCAAUUAGGGUCAUGCAUGGUUUUUUGUUAUUUAUAAUACCAGUAAAGUAAUGCGUGGAUUGUGUGACACUUUAUCACGUCUAUUCUCUGCCUCAAUAGUUUUAUAAUCCCACAAUUUGGGGCUAUGUUGCUAUGGACUAUAAACAACUUUUUAGUAUACGGGAAGUUAGGAAGACCUAGCUCUGAAACCACACACACACACACACACACACAUAUCACACACAUAUACAAUGAGGAGAUUUUUUAUCUCGUUGAUUCUAUUGAUAAUAAAUAGGGCAAACAUAAUAGAAAAAAUGCGAAAGUUUCAGGAAUCAUGAUCAUUUGUGGUGGAGGAAGAAAUCCAUAUUCUAUAAAUUAGAGUAUUAGAAGUACUUGUUGGUGGAUCAUCAAUUAGAUGUUAUGUACAUAGAAAAAAAUGUGUUUGAGAGCAUUUAUUAAACACUGUUGAAAAUUCCUGAAAAGAUCAAAGAUUUUCUUAAAUCUAGGAGAGAUCUUGUGGUAAUAAAAAUUAGGGAAAAAUUGCAUCGAACAUCAACGAAAAUGGACACACUUUUCUUCCGUCAGCUUGUUACACAUCUUUAAAUGUAUUGCUAAUUGCUAAUGGAAACAGGUAUCCCCUCAAACUAAUUCAAAUUAUAAUGGAGUGCAUCACCACCUUAUGAAUGCAAGUUCUAUGGGAGGGUGAGCUCACUGAUGAGUUCCUGCCAACUAGAGGUAUUCGGCAAGGUGAUCUCAUUUCUCCUUAUAUCUUUAUUCUCUGCAUCGAACAACUCAGCCAUGGUAUAUGUGAUGUGGUCAACACAGGUUUUUGGACUCCCGUGCACCUCUCUCGCCAUGGAAUUCCUCUUACUCACCUUUUUUUGCAGAUGAUCUGCUUCUUUUAGCAGAGGCUUCGUGUGCUCAAGCCUCGAUAAUUAAUUCAAUUCUUGAAACUUACUGUAGUAACUUGAGAGCACGAGUUAGUAAGGCUAAAACCAGAGUAUAUUUCUCUAGGAAUGUUUAGAGUAAUGAAGCAAAAAAAAUUAUUAAUACCAUGGGCAUCAGUAUGACGAUUGAUCUUGGUAAAUAUUCGGUAUGCCUCUUCUUGACAUACGGGUCACCAAAGGCACAUAUUAGAGCAUCAUUAAUCCAGUUGAGCGGCGUCUGUCGAGGUGGAAUGCGAAUCAUCUUUCUCUAGCAGGGCGGAUCAAUUUAGCUCAAUCGGUCUUACAAUUAAUUUCUAUCUAUGCCAUGCAAACUACCAACUCGCCAGUGUGUAUCAAACAUAACAUUUAUCAAGCAUUUAGGCGUUUUAUUUGGAGCAAAGCUCAUCCUCAACAAAAAAUGAGCCUUGUUAGUUGGGAUAGAGUCUGCCAACUUAAGAAUUGUGGUGGUUUGGGUUUCAACAACCUUGAGCUAAUGAAUAAGGCUUUAUUAAUGAAAUUGGGAUGGAACUUGGUAGCAUCACCUAACAGCCUUUGGUCUCAAGUUUUGUGUACUAAAUAUAGUAUCAACCCUGCAAAUCUACCUUACACUUUACCCACUGGAUAUGGAUCUCACUUGUGGAAAUCCAUAGGAAAAGUUUGGCCAGAGACACGGCUGGGGAUUCGCUGGAACUUGGGAAAUGGCCGAUUGGUGCGGUUCUGGUGGGAUUGUUUGGUUACUAAGAGAUAACCUUUGAUUUCUUAUGUCCUUAGCCCAGUCUUUGACAAGAUUAUACACAAGGUGACUGCUGACUUUGUGGAUAGUGAUGGUAAUUGGCAGUAGGGUUUGUUUGGGCACUUGCUUCCAAGUAAUAUCCUCUUGCACAUUGCCUCUAUUCAACCUCCUAGGCCUGAGAGAGGUGAUGACCGUAUCUUUUGGGCAGAAUCAACAAAUGGAGAGUUCACAGUCAAGUCUGCCUAUUAUGCUAUUUCCAAUAUGGCCAUUCAUGCCAGAGGAUCAGAUUUGGAACAAAGUUUGGAGGUGGAAGGGACCACAAAGCAUUUGGAUUUUUCUCCGGCUAGUGAUGCACAUUAAGCUAAAAAUGAAAAAUGAGUUGACAAGGAGGCAUAUUCAGCUUGGAGAGUUUUGUGAUCGGCGCGGUUGUCCUUCGGAAGAUACACUGCUUGUUAUUCGAGACGGUAUGGUAGCCAAAUGUUUUUAGAAUCAUGUCAUCCCUACUUUUUUGCAUCCGCUUUUCUAUUCUUUGCUGUUGAGGGAUUGGCUCUUUCUAAACCUCACGAGUGAUAGAAUUGUGGGAUCAAAUUUGAAGUGGACGACUUUCUUUGGAGUGGCUAUCUGGCAUCUCUAGUUCUGGCCCAAUCAAUUUCAAUUUAUGCAUUCCUCUAUUAAUAGCCUGAGUAUACUUCAUGACAUUCGAACCAGGGCAGAGGAAAUCAACUGCAUAAAUAACAUAGGCCUAGUCACAACAUCUAGGAGAGUAGACAAAUGGAUUGCAUGGAGUGCCCUCACUUGGCCGUGGUGCAAGUUGAAUACCGAUGGAGCUUGUAAGCGUACAGGAGCAUCAAGUGCCGGUGGAGAAAUUCGUGAUCACAAUGGGGCUUGAAUUUUUGGCUUCAGAAUGAAUAUACGGCAUUCCUCUGUUACCAUGGCUGAGUUAUAGGGUUUAUAUCAUGGUCUAAAAUUGGCAUGGGAUCAUGGGAUAAGGUGGCUGGUGGUGGGAAUUGAUAGCCUAUGCAUCAUUAAACUAGUUAAGAAGCCUGUGGAUACUAUUAAUGAGUACAUUUCUCUUCUCCAGUCAAUCAAGGAGAUUAUCUAGCAGAAUUGGAACGUGGUCAUUAACAAUGUCUAUUGUGAGGCGAAUUUCACAGCAGACUAUCUCGCUAAUUAUGCUCUAUCUCUUCCUCUAGGUGUUCAUCAUCUUGGUAAUCCCCCACUUGGUGGGACUCCUGUUUUAUACCAUGACUUGUAUGGGCUGGCUUACCCUCAUUUUGUUUUGUUCUAUCUCUUUUUCGAGCCCCAUUUUAUCAAAAAAAAGAUGUAGACACUUUGUUUUUGGGCUGCUUUUCUUUCUCGUAUGAUUUCCAGGAAUCUAUUUGUUGAUACUACUUUGAUAAUUGAAAACACCAAAUAUCAGAUUUUUAAAUUCUUUAUGGUUCAACCUAGACUCACCAACUUAUAUUAUAACUAAAUACUUUUAUACUUGAUAAUAACCAACCACUUUUGAGUCGUGUCACUGCCAUCUUGAGGGGUGAGUGUUGGAGAAUAUAAUUGAUUGCCUUGAUGCAUUACAGAUUAUCCUUUCAAUUCCAUAAUAUUUUGUUCUCCAAAUUUAUAUACUUUCGUACUUUUAUUCCCUUAAUUUUAGAGAUUGUAUAGCUUAGUAUUUAGAUGUCAACUGGAAUUUUGAAUAUAAUUCUUUAUAUUUUACACAUGUAAAGUAAAAAAUAACUAUGAAAGCAUUUUCUAGUUAUUACAUUGUCAAACAUUAGAGCAACAAUAAAUUAAUAGACAGAUUAAAAAUAUUUUUGUAAUCAAUAUUAAACUUAAGAAGAGAAUUAUAAUUUGUUACUGCCUAUGAGUAAAGAUAUAUUGUAAUAAAAUUAUAAUAAAAUUGUAGGAUUUUUGGAGUUAAGGUGAGUGAUUAGAGCAUUUGUAGUAGAAGUUUGGGUCUAGGAUACAAAAGACUAAAGAUAUUGGAAAUUUACUAAUAAAUUUAGGGAUAUUUUUCAACUUUCAUUAUAAUUUAGUACAAGACAUUUACAUUUUUUUCCCCAAAAAUAUUACAAGUCCCACUAUCCCUGCCUGUCUCUAUUACAAUCCGCUCCUGCGUGUUCAAAUCAUAAAAGUGAUAGAUGACUAAAAAGUUACUUUUUGAUUAUCUUUAAGCAUAUCCUGUUAAAUUAUGCUUUUUGGAACCUAUCUAUUAACUUAUUUGGUCAAGGAAUGGAAACUCAAAACUAUUUAAUCCCCUCUUUCUUGUUAUUUAAAAAAUAUAAAAAAGAACUGCUACAUAUUUUUAAUUUAAAGCAUACAAAAAAUUUUACAAUUUACGGUUCUCUAUAAUUAUAAAACUAAACAAAAGAAAAUCUUAAUAAAAUAAUUAUUGAUGUUUCACAUGACUUAUUUUUUUAUUUUUCUAUGCAAUUUCUUGAGCAAUAGCGAGUUUGUCACUUGUUGCACUCAAAAUUGAUUCCACAUAAUCGUCCAUAAUGUAUGUAGCAUACAUUUACAAAAUAUGAAAAAAAAUAAAAAAUAAAGAAGUGGAAUAAUGAACUACCAAUACACUACAAGAAAUAGGUAAUAGAUGACGAAAAAUAACUGUCAUAAAAUGGAGAGCAUGACAGACAACUCAUUAGUCAUCUAUGUCACUGUCAUUAAUUUAUGACAGUAUAUUUUCCGUCAUGAAUUUAUAAUAGUAACUCACAAUCAUAUAUCCGUCACAUAAUAUUUUAAUAUAAAAAUAAUUAAAUUUUAAUUUUAAUUUAUUUAAAUUUUCGCAUCAUUUUUUUUUAAUUUUUGGCGGGAAAUUUAAUAUUCAAUUAUGGCGGAAAAUUUUUUAUGAUAGACUUUAUGAUGGAUAUUUCCCGUCAUAAACUCAUAUAUUUUUUAAAAAAUUAUAUUGUAAUUAUAAUUUAUUGAUGAAUUUCAGUUUACAAAUUUAAUUAAUUAAUAAAAUAAAUAUCAUAAAAAAAACUAAAAACAAUUAAUAUUAAUUAACAUUCAUUCGAUCCGAAAAAUUAAUUUUAAAAGGAAUACAUCUAGUAUCUAAUGUGAUCACCACCAAUACAUAAUAAAACAUCCCAAAUUAAAAAAAAUACCAUCCAAAAAUAUAAAACAACUGUUAAAUUCCAAUUAAACUCCAAGAAAAGCAUUUAAAAUUCUAGCCACCAAGCCAAGUUACCCAACAAAACUAGCAAAGAUUAAUGGAAAUAUUCCAACAGCAAGAUUUCCAGCAACAAUACAUCUUCCAGCAGCAAUAUUUUAACGGCCACAUACCCAGCAACACUCCAACCCAUACCCAGCAAUCCACCAUCUUCAAUAGCACUCUAAUUCCAACCAUAUACCCAGCAACAUUCCAACUCAAACCCAGCAAACUAGUCUAUGCAGAAUCAAUCAAAAUACCCUAUGGUAUCAAAUGCAUGACAUCAACACUACAAUCUUUAACCAUAAUAAUUUGACACUAUAAUUUUAAAUUUCAGCAAAUUGUAACAACUAAUAUCUAUAGUUUUAUACUCAUACUAACCAUUUUGCUGAUGCAAUAAGGAUGUCAGAAAAAAUGGUUAGCCCACUCCAAACUAACCUCAACUAAUCCCAAAGUUGUGCUAAAGUAAUAAUGUUCAAUUUUACCAUGCAGCAACUAAAACAUUUGAGCUUCAUGUAAUUUGAAACAUUAUCAAAAAAAAUGAAAGAGAAGUUUAUGUUAAAGAAAAAAAGGUAGAAAUACCUGGAUAGAGCUUAAUGUCAAUAAUUGGUUUUUCUGAUCUAACUCUUUAAGUUUCUGUAGUCGUUUUGCUCUAUGUUUCAAGCAUUUUCAAUGGCUCUAACCAUGUUAAUGCCCAAUUAGAAUUACUUCUGGACCUAAACUUAUGCAACAAGGGCAGGCCAAAAGAUCAAUCCAAUAGCUUCAAGACUCUUUUAACACUUUGAAAAUAAAUUAAUAAAUAAAUAAAGCAGCAAAGAUGACUGAAGCAUUUUUAGCCAAUUAAAAUAAAUCUCUGCAGUAGAAGGGUCAUCAUCGAUAAGUCUAUACCACACCAAUUUAAAAAAAAAAAAGCUCAUCAUUUCCCCACCUAUCAAACACAUUUUGGAACGAAACAAUGUGCAGCACCUUACUAUUGGCUCCGGUUUAUUAAAAAAUGUAUCAGAAUAGUAUGUAUAGGCAAAUUAAUCACCACAAGCGGAAAGAAAAAAUGAAGGUUAAAGUAUACAAACGGACAACAUUUACACAAAUUGUGCAACUAAACAUGCUCUUAUGGAUUGCUUCUCAUAUACAAGGUUAACAACUCCAAUACUCCUAUCAGCAGUUCUAUUAGCAGAAUUAUACCAUUUUACCUUCAGAGUUUGUCGAGUUAUUUAGAUCGCUAAUGCUGAUAUUUAGCUGAGCAUGGUUAGAUGCCUAGUCCGGAGCAUUCACUUGAUCAUAUCCAUCCCAAAAGCAGAAUCCGAUGAACUGAGGAAUUACCCAGAGAAUAAUGCAUACAAGAUACUCUCAAGGCAUUAGAUAUUAAAUCCUAUCUAUAUUUAAAACAAAUCACAGAGCAACAGUGUAAUGAAAGAUGAUAUUUCCCGUGGUUUGUGAAUUAUGAAAGAAGCCAUUAUGGCUGCCAGUUUGGGCUGUUAAAAGCAAUCACAACAUGGGAAGUUGAAGUUAAGACUUAAAAGAUAUCAGAAGUGAUGAUUGCAGUUUGAACAACAACAAGCAAAUCCACACAUACGAAUGUUAUAAAUAUCCUUUUCCGGAAAGUUUACAGGGCUACCCAUGCUUUGUCCUCAAAAUACAAAAUUAUUAAUCAUUCACAAGAUGUUUAGGAUCUUUCAUAUAGAUGUCAUAUACAUAUUGCGAAACACUCUAUAAAAAUCCUACCUCAAUAACUCAAAUUUUCUAAAGAACUCUUCAACAGUUAAAACAUCCUAAAAAGACAUUUAGAGACAAAAUGAACUGAGAGAGUAAACAUACCUCAUCAUAAACAGCAGCAUGCCCCACGACAUCUUUAAAAUCCUCAGUUUUAUCCCUAAUUAUCACCAUAAUUUAUCAUCACAGGUAAUACCUUCAGCAAAAAUAGAACCAUCAACACAUCACACACUUGAGAAAUCAACACAUCAUCACACACUUGAGAAAUCAAAUGAAAAUUACCUAAACAAGAAUGUUGGACCCUAAAUUGAAAAUUCCUACCAACACUGGUCAGUUUCCCACUUACGGGCCGGGUGAAAUCCGGACUGACCCGAACACCUAAACGACGCCGUUCUCGUCCUCCUCCUACUCACCAAAGACAUGUCAUAAACAGCCCUGGCCAAUGGAUACGACAGCGUCUCGUAAGCGUUGUGGAUCUCGAUGAAAUCCCGACCGUUACCCGACAAAAUCAGGAUGAUAAACCUUCGCCAAACUCCGAUACGCCAUCUUAAUCUCCAAAAUCGUCGCCGUUGGCUCCACCCUCAGCACCUCGUACAAGCUCCCUCCCGUCCCCGGUACCGUCACCGGCAUCUCCACUGAAAACAUAGGGGGACUCCUCUUGUUCUUUCCUGAAGCGGCAGUGAAAUCAAAGAGCAACAGGGGAGCAGCGUGUGUUUAAUUAGGUUAGAUUUAGGGUUCACUUUUUCAUUUUAUAAAAUUAUAUAGUAUAAUUGUUCACAUAUUAAGUAACGAAUUAUAAGUCGACACGUGGCUGAAUAAAAAAUAAUUUUAUCAUAAAAUCAUCAUUAAUUUAUAAUAAAAAAAAAAAUUUAUUACAAACUCAUCAUUAAUAUUUAAUAUAUGAUAAAAAAUAAUUCUAUCAUAAAAUCAUCAUUAAUCUGUGAUAGAAAAUAAUUCUAUCACAAAACCAUUAUUAAUUCAUGAUAUAUUAAAAAUUAUGUCACAAGUCUGUCAUAAUUUUAUAAUAUACUCAGAAUUUGUCAUAAAUUAUUCGUCAUCUAUUAACAAUUUUCUUAUAAUGAUAGUUUUAGACACCAAUACCAAUAAUAAUAAAAGAAUAUGUUAAAAUUUUAAAGACGAUCCAUGUUGCCUAGGUAGCAUUAUGUUUAGUGAAGAAAAUUUUCUUGAAGUUUAGAUGAUAUAAAGACAAAUCUAAGUUUUAUAGUAAAUACUUAUGAAUUUUAGGUUUUGUGAAAAAUUUACAUACAUAGUGAGUUUAUAAAUUUUUUAAUAAUUUUUAAUUAAAAAAGGUAAAGGUGGACAAAGCCUAAAUCAAUUUUUUUCUUUAAAACUUAGUAAUUUAAAAUAUCAAAAUAUUGAAUUAUUAAUAUUACGUGGUAGCAGGUUAUUUGGUGAAAGAUUUUUUAUUCUUAAAUCCAAAUCCAUCUCGUUAUGUAAUGAAUUUCAAUGGGUGACCCAUUAAUCGUAGACUCAGACUUCAUGCAUUCAUGCAUUCGCAAUUUCAACUCAGCUCCAUCUUUCGUUCAACUCAGCCAUGGUGUCUCCGUUAAACUCGAACAUUUUCUUUGUGUAAUUUUUGAUUUUGUAUAUUCUCUCUAUUUGUUGUAUUAUAACUUAUAAUGUUUGUGAUAUUGAAAUGUUAGUUGAUGAUUAUUCAAUGGAUGCCCCAAAAUUGUGCUUUUUAAGCAUUUUGUUGCUACCCUUUUAGAUUUAUUAAAGCUUUUUAACUAUUUUAGUUGUGGAUGUGAAAAAUGUUUUGCACAUAAUGCAGAAUUAAGCGCACCAAAUAAUCACAGAAAAAAAAGGACACAAAAGUUUACGUGGUUCGGCAAUAUGCCUACGUCCACGGGAUCAAGAGAAAAAUAAUUGUAUUACUAACUAUUACUAGAGUACAAAUUUGGGUAGAGAAACCUCACUUUCUCAUAACCCAAAUACACCCAGUACUCUCACCCACACUCUCCAAUUGCUCACACUCUCAUAACUCUAAAAUUGCUUCACUUGCAAUUUCUCUUAAGUUCUCAAAUUUGGGAUGAUUUCCAAGUGAAGAAUGCAUCUCUAUUUAUAGCCAAAAUGGUUGUACUGUUGCACCAACCCCCACUACAAUAAAUAUGAUUUAUUAUAGCACUAAUUUAUAACGUUUUAUAUCGAAUGUCAUCACAAUCAUACAUUUUAUAGCAUUUUUCAUAAAAAUUACUAUUAAACUGAAAUUUUAUUAGAUGUAUAACAUUACUAUUAUGACAUAUUUUUUUAAAGUUAUAAAAACGUUAGUUAGCAUAGCGUUUUGUAAAAAAAGUUCUAAAAUAAAUUGUUACUUAAUAGUUUUUAUGACAUUUUUGUAAAAGCUAUUGGAAAAAACAAAUUAUAACAUUUUUAAAAUGCUAUAGAAAUAAAAAAAAUCAUUAAAAAAAUAUUUUUUUAGGCACCAAAUUUCAUUAGAUUGGUGCCCAUAUUAUAACAUUUUACUAUGACAUUUUUUAAAAAUGCUAAAUAAAUAUAUACUUAGAAUAGCUUAAUUGUAAAGAAGUUAUAAAAUAAAUAUUAAAAAGUUACUUUAUAACUUUUUAUUAAGUGUUAUAGAAUUUAUUAUAAAAAAAAACCUCUAAAAUGGCGCUAACUUUUUUACAUUGGCGCUCAUUUUUCCCACCCCAAGAAAAAGCCCAAAAGCUUUUUAUUAUUUUUUCCCCAAAUCCCUUUCAUCUUUUUCUCUCCACAACUCUAAACUUUCUAUUUUCCCCUUUUUCUAACCGGUCAAAAGUAGCUGAGUUAAAGUUCAUUUUCUCAAAUCAAUCAGGUAUGUACAAAGCUUCAAGCUUGUUACGUGCUUUAAAAUGUCAAAAGGAAUAAUAAAAAUAAUACAAAGCUUUAAGCUUUUUAUUACUUGCAUUUUUUUUUCCUUUUAGGUGUAAAAAUAAUAAAAAAAUCCUUUCUUUUUGAUAUAUUGCAUGGCUCUAUGGUCUCAGGUCAAGUGAGGACUUUAAGAUGAUGGACAAAACUUGGGUUCAACUUAAAAGGUUUUUUUAAUUCGUCAAAUAACAAUUAUAUAUUUACUAUUUUCUUAUAAUGUUAUUAAUUUUAAUUGAUAUUUUACGUUUAUUUGUAGAAAUACAAAAGAAUAUCGUGAAGGAGUAAAAAAGUUUGUGGAAAAUGCAACAUUAAAUGUAGAAAACCAAAGUUUAGUGAGAUGUCCAUGUAAAAAAUGUCAAAACCUAUGUCAUCAAAAUGGUGAAACAAUUGUAUUGCAUUUGUUGAAAGACGGGAUGGAUAUGUCUUACACAACUUGGAUAUGGCAUGGGGAACAGAUAGGGAAAAAAGGUACUGAUGUGGAAAUGACUAAUACAUAUAGCAUGUCUAGAGAUGUAGAUGACCAUUAUAGAGGUAUUCAUGAAAAUGUUGAUGAGCAGCAAGAUAACUGCCCAAUGAAUUUUGUAGAAGAUGUUGAAAUCCCAUUGUACCCAGGUUGCUCAAAGUGCACUAGGUUAUCUGCAGCGGCUGUCUUAUAUAAGCACAAGACUAUGUACAAAUACUCAAAUAAGAGUUUUGAUAACCUCUUGGAGAUUUUGUGUGAUAUGUUACCCGAAUUAAAUACUAUUCCAAAUUCUACUCGUUCAGUUGAAAUGUUAUUGAAACCAUUUCAACUAGAUUGUAUAAGGAUACAUGCUUGUGUUAAUGACUGUUGCUUGUUUAGAAAUGACCUAAAGAAAAGUGAAACAUGUCCUAAAUGUGGAUCUUCUAGAUGGAAGUUAGAUGGUCGAAAUAAAAAGAUUCAUAAAGGAAGUCCAGCAAAAGUGUUGACUUAUUUUCCCAUAAUACCAAGGUUUAGAAGGAUGUUUGAGUCACCAAAAAUGGCAGAACAAUUGAGACGACAUUAUGAUCAUAAAAGUAAUGAUGAUAAAAUGCGGCACCUAGUGGAUAGCUUAGCUUGGAAGACAAUUGAUAAAAAAUGGCCUUCGUUCUCCAAAGAUCCAAGAAACCUAAGGUUAGGUCUAGCAGCGGAUGGGUUUAAUCCUUUUGGUAUUCGUAGUUCAACAUAUAGUUGCUGGCCAGUAAUGUUAGUAACUUACAAUCUCCCACCAUGGUUGUGCAUGAGAAAAGAAUUUAUAAUGUUGACAUUGUUAAUUCCAGGGCCUAAACAACCUGGUAAUGACAUAAAUAUUUAUCUACAACCGCUAAUAGAUGAUCUACAACAGCUAUGAGAGAAUAGUGUAGAGGUUUAUGAUGCAUUCACUAGGACAGUUUUCAACUUGAAAGCAAUUUUGAUGUGGACAAUUAACAAUUUUCCUGCAUAUGGCAACUUGGCAGGAUGUGCCACAAAAGGUAAGGCAGCAUGUCCUAUAUGCAGUUCUAAUACAUGCUCAAAAAGGUUAAAAUACAAUAAAAAAACUGUAUAUAUGGGUCAUAGACGCUUCCUUCCUUCUGGUCAUUCCUUUCGAUUCAAAAAGUCGUGGUUUGAUGGUCAUGAAGAACUUGAGAAAAGACCUAGAAUAAUGUCUGGAACGCAAAUUUUAAAUGAGGUAAAAGACAUAGAAAAUGAUUGGGGAAAAAGUUCAAGAAAGAACAAAAGGAAUAUAAAAAAAAUACUCGAUGUGGAAAAAAAAGUCAAUAUUUUUUUACUUACCAUAUUGGCAGGUAUGAUUCUAUUGAAUAAAUUUUCUGUAAUUAUGUUGAUAAUGCCUAAAUAAAUUCCUCAUGAUACUCUUAUUGUUCUUGAUUUUUCAGCAUCUUUUGUUGCGUCAUAAUUUGGAUGUGAUGCAUAUAGAGAAGAAUGUAUGUGAUAGCAUAGUUGGGACUUUGCUCAAUAUAAAGGGAAAAUCAAAGGAUGGCCUUCAUUCUUGUAUGGAUUUGAAGGAAUUAAAAAUAAGGAAAGAUUUAUAUCCAGAUGUGCGUGAGAAGAGUACUUUUCUUCCACCAGCACCACAUACAUUAUCAAGGGUAGAAAAACAAAUCUUCUGCAAAAGACUGUUAGAUUUGAAAUUGCCUGAUGGUUAUAGUUCAAACAUUGGGAGUUGUAUUUCAAUGGAAGAUUGUAAAAUUUCAGGCCUCAAGUCUCAUGAUUUUCAUGUGUUAAUGCAACAGUUGUUGCCUGUAGCUUUACGAGGCUUACUUCCAAAAGGACUAAAGAAUGCAAUAUUUAGGUUAUGUGUAUUUUUUAAUGAUUUGUGUCAAAGAGUCAUUGACCGAGAGAAACUUGAGGCACUUGAGGAGGAUAUUGUUGAAAUUGUGUGCAUGUUUGAAAGGUUUUUUCUUCCCACAUUCUUUGAUAUAAUGGUUCAUUUGCCAAUCCACUUAGGACGCGAAGCAAGAUUGUGUGGGCCGGUUCAAUAUCGUUGGAUGUAUCCUUUUGAAAGGUUGUCAAUAUAUAUAAAUUAAUAAUUCUUUUGUGUUAGUUUAAGUAAAAAAGCCUCUUGUGUUGACAUAAUGUUUGAUUGUAUUUAUAGAGAAAUUAAGAAGUUAAAGAGAUAUGUUAGGAAUCGUGCAAGACCAGAGGGUUGUAUUGUUAAAUGCUAUCUUGCCGAUGAGUGCAUGAGUUAUUUUAGUAGAUGCAUAAAGCAAGUAGCAGAUAUGGAUUGCCACCAAAGGAGAAAUGAAGAGUACAUGCAUGAUAUGAUACUUGAAGGCCGACCAAUCUCUAAGGGAUCAAUAAUUGAGUUAACAGAUGAGAGAUUGGAAAGUGCUCAUCGAUAUGUCUUAUUUAAUACAGCUGAAGUAGAACCAUAUUUACAGUAAGUCUUUUAAUUUAAACUUUCUUUAGAUAAGAUAAAGUAAUCACCUUUUUUAAUUAUCUCCUUUCUUUUAGUUUGCACUUAACUGAGUUAAAACAUUCAGAUAAGAGACUCUCAAGAAAUGAAGGUUUACUUUGGAAGAGACAUUCAGAAGAGUUUUCCAGUUGGUUUGAACAAAAGGUUCCAAUAUAGUAGCGUUGUGGGAUCUAUGCUUUAUUUUAUUUUGUUUCUUGAACUCCCAUUAAUUGAUAUUUUUUUAAUUUCUAAACAGAUUGAGGAAGAAAAUAGAAACGACGUCUCAAUGACAUUAAAAUGCCUUGCAUGUGAUCCUCGAAGGCAAGCUGUGAGCUAUAAUGCAUAAAUCGUCAAUGAUCAACGUUAUCAUAUAAAGGAUGUUGAGAAAUCUACACAGAAUAGUGGUGUUUUAAUUGAGUCAGUUACAGUUUGUCAAUCUAGUUCAAAAGAUACCAAUAAUUGCAUCGAUACAAUUACGUACUAUGGUGUCAUAAAAGAUAUUUUGUUGCUUGACUACUAUACUUUGAAAAUUCCAUUGUUUGACUGUAAUUGGGCUAACAUUAGAAAUGGUGUCAAAUUUGAGAAUGGAUUUACUUUGGUUAAUCUGCAUCAAGGACAACAUUAGUUUGCAAGGGAUUCGUUUAUUUUAGCAUCUCAAGCAAAACAAGUGUUCUAUUUAAGGAUGGCAAUGGAUCGGAUCUGACCCAAGAUCCAUGUGAUCCAAAUCCAAUUGGAUCGGAUUUGGGUCGGAUUAAAAAGGAUUUGGAUCGGAUUUGGAUAUCAAUGUGUGGAUCUAAGGCGGAUCUGGAGCAAAUUCGAAUUUAUCUUAAUAUCUAGAUCCAAAUCCAUAUCCACUCACCAUUUAAUGUAAUUUUAUUUUUAAAAAUUCUUAACAAUUAUGUAAUUAUAAAUAAUGAUAAAAUUUAUUUAUUAGCAUGUAUUUAAGAAUCUUAAAACUUAAAAGUAUUUAAUUGAUAAUAAGACAAAAAAUUAUCAAGUGUAAAAUAAAAUUAGGAUAGUUUGCCCUAAUUUUUUUUAAGUUUUUCACUCUACAAUUUAGUCUCUUUUUUCUUCUUUAGUCUACUCUCGCUUCUCCACUUCAUUUGAAUGUUUCGAUCAGUUCUUUAAUUGUUAGGAAAAUCCAUAGACUUGAGUUUAUUUUUCUAUCAUUUUCUCAUAAUCUUAUUUAUUUUGGAUAAUCACUAAUCAAUGGUGGCUAUCAACUAUAAAAUAAUUAUGUUAAUCAUAUAUUUAGUUAAAUAUGAUCAUAAUAAAAAUAAUAAAGCACUGAAUAUAAUAAAUUAUUUUUAACUUAUAUGUUAUUAUUUAAUGAUAUAUGAAUGAUGAUGGUGUGCAGUGGAUAUCAAGAUGGUAAAUGAGACAUUAGAAUAUUAUAAUGAUCUUAUUCUUGCAAUUACUUUUGAUCGAUAUUUUAUUAUAUUUCUUAUUUGUUUAUUUUGGUGUAAAAGUAUAAGGUACAAUACUUAUUAAAUUUUUUUAUACAAAUUAUAUAAUUUAAUUGUUACCAAUGCAUUUUAGUCUUAAAUUUUCUUUCUAAAAAAAUAUUGAUAUCUUAUUAUUGAGAUUUAGAAUUCAUGAUAGAUCUAGAGCAGAUUUGAAUUUGAAUUUUUUUUUUUGGAUUUGGAGCAGAUAUAAAUAUUUAUUUUUUGUUUUGGAUCUAGAUAUGGAGCGAAAAAUAUAGAUCCAUAAUGGAUCUGGAGCAGAUACGGAUCUUAAUUUUUAUUACGGAUCUGGAUCUGGAGCAAUGUAGAUCCAAUCCAUAUCUGCUCCAUUGCCAUCCCUAGUUCUAUUCAAGGGAGAAUGAUUCGUCCAGUUGGUAUGUUGUAUUGAGAGCACCUCCAAGAGGAUUUCAUGAGUUGGAUAAUUAUGCUGAAAAUUGUAUUACAACCUUACGACCAUUAGAUGUAUCAAGGCUUGAUAACAAUAUAGAGGGUGAAGAUGGUAGCUCCCGCAGAGAGAAUUGUGAAGGGAUCUAUAUUUAACUUUCUUUGGUAAUUGUAAUACAUAUUCUAUUGUAGUUUUUAUUACAAUAAGCAAAUUUAUAAAUAACUUAUUCUAGUUUCUUAUACAUACUAGUAAGCUAAUUAAAUAUUUUUCUUUUAUGUAGUUCAUUAUAAAGCAUGUCGUACGAGUACUUAUUUUGAUUCAUUUCAGCAAUUCUGUGCGAUCACUUUUAUUAGGUAUGGAAACACUCGUACCUAGCAAACUUUUGUAUUUGUCAUGUUAAGAUAAUGUAUGCAGAAUUGUUUAUGUUUUUAAAGUUGACGCUGUAGUUCCAAAACAUUAACAAAGAACUUACUGAUAGACCUAGAAAUAAUGAAUAAACUGUAUUGGUUGGGUACUUUUUUAGAGUAAUUCUUGAAUACUUUUGCAUUCUAGACUUAUGUUGCUUUCAUUUAAAAGUGAUUUCAUGUCAAUAUCAUUUUUGUAUAAUUUUUUGUGAUUUUUUGAAGCUGACCCUGUAUUAUAAGAACUUUCUGACAGACCUGGAAACAAUGAAUAAAUUGUAUUGAUCAGUUAUAUUCUAGAGUAAUUCUUGAAUAUUUUUGCAUUCUAGACUUAAGUAGUUUUCAUUUAAAAUUAGUUUCAUGUCAAUAUCAUUUUUGUAGAAUUUGUUGUGAUGUUUUGAAUUCGACCCUGUAUUUUAAGAACACUGACAAAGAACUUAUUGAUAGACUUGGAAACAAUGAAUAAACUGUAUUGAUUGGUUAUAUUCUAGACUAAUUCUUGAAUAGUUUUGCAUUAUAGACUGAAGUAGCUUUCAUUUAAAAUUAGUUUCAUGUCAAUAUCAUUUUUGUAGAAUUUGUUGUGAUGUUUUCAAUUCGACCCUGUAUUUUAAGAACACUAACAACGAACUUACUGACAGACCUGGAAACAAUGAAUAAACUGUAUUGAUCAGUUAUAUUCUAGAGUGAUUCAUGAAUAUUAUUGCAUUCUAGACUUAAGUAGCUUUCAUUUAAAAGUAGUUUCAUGUUAAUAUCUUUUUUGUAGAAUAUUUUGUGAUUUUUUUAAGUUGACCCUGUAUUUCAGGAACAUUGGGGAAGUACCAUGUGUGCCCCAUAGGUAAAUACUUAAUAUUGUUUUGAAGAUUACAAUAUUUAUAUAUGUUAAAAAUGAGAAAUUAUGCCAAUUCAUUUUAUAUAUGGCCAAUAGAGUUCUCGACAAGCUUCCAAAAGAAAAAGGAAGGAAAGUUUAUCAACUAGGUCUGAGCCUAGAGAUGCACCUAUUACCGAGAUAGACUUAACUAAUGAAGAUCUCAAUGAUGUCACAUUCGAAAAUCCAUAUCAAUCUUGUAAUGAAGAGAAUUUGACAAAGAAGAAACGUGGCCCUACUGUCUGUCAUGAUGUGGCAAAUGGAGAUGGGAAGAAGAUAGUCUUAGAAUUGAAUAAUUUGGGGCAACCUAUUGGAAAAAUCAUGUGUUAUAUUCAUCGUUUUAUGGUAGUUUGGUAAAGCAGGCUGUGUUUAUAAACUGUGAUGAUUGGAGAUAUGUUCCAAAACAGCAAAAAGCUUUGUUGUUGUUGAGAGCACUCGAGGUAAAUAUGUACACAUCUAUUUUAGAGUGCAGUUCAAAUUAUAACAUGACACUAACAUUAGUUAUUUUUUAUUUGCUUGAAACAUUCAACAAAAAAUUGUUUUGGAAGGAGAUGCAAUCAAAAAGUAUACGCUACAGAUUAUGGGAAAAGUCUGGCGAGCACAUAAAUCAAGAUUGACAAAAAAGUUGGAUGCUCGACCUAGUCUUGUCAAACCUGCCGAGUGGGAGACUUUUAUUAAAAAAAAAGACCUCAAAAGCCUUCAUGGUAUGUAUGCUUAUAGUCCUAGCAGAAACAUUCAUUCAUGCAUAUAUUAUUUUAUUUAGAAUGAUGUAAUUAAUGUAUAUUAAAACAGGAAAAAAGUAAGGUUUUUAAGGAAAUGAGGGCUAAGCAAGAUAUUCCAUAUACCGGAAGUCGAAUGGGAUAUGCUCGUAUGCAAGAUAAGAUGGUAAAUCUUUAAUUAUAUUCAAACAAUAUAGUAGUUAUCUAGCUAGCGUCUGUUAUUACUUUGAGAUAAAUAUAUAGUUAAUUCUAACUUAAAAAUAUUUUCAUUACAGAAGAAAAACAGUUCAAAUCCAUUAGAAAUAACUCGAAUUGAUGUUUGGAUUAAAGCACAUACUAAAAAGAAUGGUGAACCAUCUAGUUCAAAAGUUGUUGAAGUGAAGGUAUGUGUCAAAUUUAUUGAUGAUAACUUAGAUAUGCUAGAAAUUAUUAUUGGAAAUAUUAUAAUAAAUAACUCUUUCUUGAGUUUAGGAAAUGUAUGAAGCUGAAAAAAAUUCAGAUUUGUCAGAAGCACAAUCAAAAUCUGUUAAAAAUGAUAUACUUUCAAAGUUUAUUGGACCUGAGUAAGGAGGCCGUGUUAGAGGUCAAGGAGCAGGAGUGACGCUAUCUAAAUUAGAGGCAAUAUCUCAGUAAACUAAGAAGGAAGCCAAAAUGCAAGAACAAAUUGACACAUUACAAGACACAAUGAAGCAAAUGCAAGGUUUCAUGGAUGAUCAAAACAAACUCAUACAAAGUUUAAUGAGCAAACUGGUAAUAGCAAGUACCUUGUUAAAUGUUACGUUAAUUACUUGUGAAUCUUAAUUUCAUAAAAUGGUGAAAUCAACUUCUUUUUUUAAUUUUUUUUGUAUAGAGUGAAGCAUCAAAUGAUGGACAAAAUCAAAAUCUAUCUACAUCAACUCAAUCUAAUAGUACUCCACAAGUAAAGUUUAAACUUAUACAACAAUUUAUGCUGUCAUAAUUAAUAGUUUAGUAACUAUUAACUUAAUUAUAAUUAGAAAUGUUGUUUUCUUUGUUUUGCUUAUGAGUACAACAUGUAAGCCCAAAUCGAAAAGGCCAAAAGUGCAAGUUGUUGAAUUGGCUUGAAGUAGAUGAAGUAGUUGCAAUAGGACGUUGGGUAACAAAUGAUCCUAAUGCAAUGGUGCAUUGUGUAGCUCUUGGAAAAAAUGCUUCUCGUGUGUGGGUAGAUGAGGUGAAAAAUCCUUCUGCUGAGUUGUGGAAAAAAUAUGCAGAUAUGGAAACAAUAGAAGAUGCUUUGGGAAGUUCAAUUGCAUGGCCAACGGAAGCGAUUAUUGUUAUGGAAGAUUAAUUUUGGUAUGAAUGGUUAAAAGUUUAAUUGAAGACAAUAUUUUGACUUAGUGUUUUAGUUAGAUGAUUUUGAUGGGUCUAAGGGUAGUGUUUUGGUUAGAUGAUUUUGAUGGGUCUAAUGGUAUAUAUCAUUGUUGGAGUGACUAUUGGUAUUUGUUAAACUUGGCAUUCACAAUUUUGAAUGAUGUUUACUGUAAUGCUAGGUCUUCUUUUGGACAUUAACUUUAGUUUGCCUUUGUAUAUGUAUGAUAUUAAUUUUUUCACUCUUAAAAUACCUGAUGGUAUUUGUUGUUCAUGAAUUAAUGAAAUGUAGUUUAUUCCUUUUGUUAAAAUUGUCAGUUUUAAUUAUAAAUCAUAUUGUAUUCGAUUAUGUUAUAAAUAUCUAAUAAAUGUUAUAAAGUAAAAAAAAGUUACAAAAUUAACCAAGCACAAUAGCAUUCCGGAAAAGAUUAAUAUAGCAUUACCAAACUUCAUAAAAUGCUAUCAACAGUUUGUAGCGUGAAAACAUGUUAUGGCGUUUCGGCUAAUGCUAUAGACUCUUCAGCUAAAUUAUAAUAUUGAUAUAAAUGCUAUAAAUUACUUGAAUAACAAUUAUUCCUUUAGCAUUUAAAAAACGUUAUAAACAAAUAGCACUCCAAAAAAUGCUCUACCAUGAUAUUUGAUAACGUUAAAUAAAUGCUAUUAUAGUUUUAUAACAGCAUUUAAAAACUGCUAUACAUCGACGGUUUUUAAAAACACUAUAGAGAAAAGAUAGCAUGGGCAAUCACGACAUUAAAUAAACGUUAUAAUAACGACAAUAUAACAUUUUUUGAGCGCUAUGAAAAGUCAUAUUUAUUGUAGUGGCCCUUUGCAAUUUGUCACUUCUCCUCUCCGUCACUUUGAAAAAUUUUGCUAAUUUUUCCAUUUUUCUUCGUUCGGUGCAGGAUUGUCAAAUGCCAAAUAUUCUACAGCUUGAAGUUUUGAAUUUGGAAGCCACUUUAUUGACUUCUCAGCCAAAAAGUUCAGACUUUUAAUCAGCUACUUGAAAGCUUGUAGACUAUGAUUUUAGUUUAGAUUUUGAUGGUUGUUUAUAGUCGUGAGCUAACUUGUACAAUUAAAUGAGUUACUGCCUUGGAUUACAUGCCUUGAAGUUUUCAGCAUACUGUUUUGGAAAAAUCCUAUCACAUUUGUAUACCUCGAGAGUUCACGCACGUACGUGUGUGCAUAACUCGCGCAUACAUAAACUUAUGCUCAUGCUAUACAUGCACGGACAGAAGCACACUUGCAUAUAUGUGAUACAUGCACGGACAGAAGCACAUGCACUUGUAUAUAUGUGCUGUGUGCACGACGUUCGAGUGAAUUUCACGCAGAAGCAAACAAACCUUAAACAUCUUGGGCGUGUACCAUGUCCACUUCUAGCUUCGGUUACUUACUCAGUUUGAAAACUAAGUUGUGCUAUUAAAUGAAAAAUCUAAUAGGAUUAUGCCAUUAAAGUUUCCAGCGCAUGUAAUCGGGGAAAAGUCUAUUCAAUCCUGCACAGUAAGUUUUAAAAUGGAAAACAAAUAAGGGAUUGGAAAGUAAUUUGAGAAAGGAAUCCAAAGUGGGGCGGUUACAAAAUGGAAAAUGAGACUCUUACAACAUUUAGUACAAAAGUUAGCACAAAACGGUGCGUUCUGUGCUAACUAUAAAAUGGUUUCUGUGGCACCUUAAUUCACACACACACGACUCACACAGCAAACGAGCAAGCAAAACCCACACCAAAACGCAACCGUUUCAUUUUCCUCCUCCCUUGCUCUGUGCUCUCUCCGUCAACUUUCUCCCUCUCUCUCGCCGUGGGUGUCUCCACAUCUGGCCGUUGGCUCUCUCUUUCUCUCUCUCGCACACACAGCUCCCAUAGCAAACGAGCAAAACCCACACAACACUCACCGUCGGCUCUCUCUCUCUUUCCGUGGGUCUCUUCACAGCUGGCGUGGGUCUCUCCACAAAUCUUACCUCGAAAAUUUGGAAAAUUUAUGGCUUGAAUUUGUGAAGAUUCAGCUGGAAUUGUGUUGCUUGUGGUGAUUGCAUCCGUGGUCAAGUUUUGCAUUUGUAAUCGAUUUGUAUUGUCAAGUGAGUUUAAAUUGAUUAGUAAUUGCAUUUAGAUUGAUUUUGAGUGAAGUAAAAGAAGAGUGCUCUUGUACCAGUGAAGCAGUUAAUAUAAAGAUUUUGUACAUUUCGUGGAUUCCGCCCUUGAACAAUCGUUUAAGAUUAACACUUAACCUGGCACAUGAUAUGUUGCAUACGAACAGCUUGAUCUUUUGCUGAUUGUUACCAAAACCAAAAUUGCAACCAAAAUAUAUUUGGGAUAUAUUUUAGUGAUGUGGGAGAUGCAAUCGACGAAGGGGAGAGAGAGGGAGAAUCGGCUUAUGGUGAUUCAGGCUACAAGUCAAUUUUUGAGCUGUGUUCUGUGAGCAGCAUGUGUGGUGGGAGCAGCGAGUGAGCAGCGCGUGUUGUGUGUAAUAUGUGUGGACAAUUAAUAUUUUGCUCAAAACGCACCGUUUGGUGCUAAGUGUGGUGCAAAAUGUUGUAAGAAUAUCACUGCUGUUACAAAAUCUGCUCUUAGUGACCUGUUGAGCACUAUAUAAGUCGAAUUUUAGUCCUCGAAGACACUGGUAAAUCAAAACUAACCAUACACAAGUGAUUAGAAACAUCUCUCUGGUAGACAUGAGCUCACUUACUGGCAUAGACGAAAGCUUGCAAUAUCCGGUUGCUCGUAGAGACGAGUCCAUUGUCGAUGAUUAUCACGGUUUCAAAAUCCCCGACCCUUAUAGAUGGUAAAUAAAUGUAUAAUUCAAAAUCUGUUUUGACCGGAAUUCAUUUUUUUUUUUUCAAUGUUAUUGGAGCAGGCUUGAGGAUCCAGAUGCGGAAGAGGUAAAAGAUUUUGUACAAAAGCAAGCGGAGUUAACAGACUCGGUGCUGAACAAAUGCGACGUAAGGGACAGGCUUCGGGAGAAGAUAACAAAGCUGUCUGACAGUCCCCGAUACGACGCGCCGUUUAAGCGGGGGAAUAAGUAUUUUUAUUUUCAUAAUACGGGGCUGCAACCGCAAAGCGUGCUUUAUGUGCAGGAUAGUUUGGAUGCAGAAGCGAAAGUGUUGCUGGAUCCGAACACGCUCAGUGAAGAUGGAACGGUGGCGAUUACUACAGUUUCGGUUAGUGAGGAUGCUAAGUACUUGGCGUAUGCGCUUAGUAACAGUGGAAGUGAUUGGGUGACUAUCAAAUUAAUGCGCAUUGAGGAUCACAUUGUUGAAGCUGACACUUUGUCUUGGGUCUGUUUCUGUUUCUCCCAUUCGUUUUUAGUUAUUUUUUCCUUUGACAAUAUUAUUGCUAAAUGUAGGCAUAUACGUACAAGCUUUUCUUUAUUUAUUAUAUAAUAUAAUUUUUUUUUAUUUUCACCUGUCAAAUCAACUAUAUAUAUAUAUAUAUAUAUUUUUUUUUUUUUUAACUGCCAAAUCAACUAUUUUUGCUGUGGAGUGUUGUAUCACAGGCUAAGUUUACAAGUAUUACUUGGACCCAUGAUAGUAAAGGAUUUUUCUACAGCCGUUACCCAGCUCCCAAGUAAGGAUCUUCACCAUUUAGUCAGCUCAGUGGAAUUUGAAUUCUUGACUUUAUAUUUAAACAUUAUGGAUAAUUUAUGAAUUUUGUUUCAUGCAUUUAUUAACUUUUUAUCCUAAGGGUGUGAAAGUUGUUUUAUUCUCCUGUGUAAUUCUUUAGAGAUGGCAAAGCUGUAGAUGCUGGAAUAGAGACUGAUUCCAGCCUUUAUCACGAAUUUUACUAUCAUUUUCUGGGUACGGAACAAUCAGAAGAUAUUUUAUGCUGGAAAGACCCAGAACAUCCCAAGUAUACUUUUUCUGGCCAUGUUACAGAAGACGGGCAGGUGACUAGCUCUUCAUAGGUUUAAUCUUUUUGCCUUUUUUGGAUCAAAAUGUUGUGUCUGAGUGGUGCCCCUGUUCUUUAUUUAUUUCUUUAUUUAUUUUUUAAUGGUAUGGUUGUGCUCUUGUUUGUCCACCUGAAAUAGUUGAUGCAAAGCUUCAUUAAUGAUACACAAAUUUUGGCAAGCUGAUUCAUGGUUGACAUCCAAAGGUCACCGCAGGGGAUAUAAUGAAAGAAUAAUAACCUCUCUUCUAUAAUAUUUUUAGAAGAUGAUACUCUUUAAAACGAGGUUUAUUUGUGUCACUACUUGUUUAGUGAAAAUGUAGAUUUUAGAUACCCAUGUUAUUCUGUUAUUAGGUUACUUUAUGAAAUGAGAAGCAUCCAAUACUAAAGUUAAUUAUAUGGGGAAUUUAUUAUGAUGCAUGAUAUGUAUUUUCAUUGCAUACAGGUCUGAUUGAAUUGAUUCUGAUUAGGAUUGUUUUUGGAAAAAAAUUGUAAAUUUUUGUGGACCUGUUGUAAAUUAACUUCACAUUUUAUUCUGUUCAACAGUACCUUGUCAUGUAUAUAAGAGAGAACUUUGAUCAAGUCAACAAAGUAUACUAUUAUGAUCUGUCUGCACUGCCAGAAGGUCUGGAAGGUUUUAGGAAAAGCAAUGGCUUGCUUCCAUUUGUUAAGCUAAUUGAUAGAUUCGAUGCACAGUAUGAAGUAGUUGCAAACGACGACAGUGUAUUUACCUUCCGCACUAGUAAAGAUGCCCCAAAGUACAAAAUAGUCCGAGUAGAUCUCAGGGAGCCAAAUAAUUGGUCUGAAGUUGUCCCAGAGGCAGAAAGAGACGUGCUCGAGUCAGCAUCUGCUGCUAAUUUUAAUCAAAUGAUUUUGAGUUACUUGAGUGACGUGAAGUAUGUUCUUCAGAUAAGGGAUUUGAAAACCGGUUCCCUGCUACACCAAUUACCAAUUGAGAUCGGCUCAGUUAAUGCGAAAUCCGUACGUCGUGAUGACAGUGUGGUUUUUAUUAGUUUUACUAGUUUCCUUACCCCUGGCAUAAUAUAUCAAUGCAAUUUAAUAAGUGAGACUCCAGAAAUGAAGAUAUUCCGUGAGACUAGUGUACCUGGAUUUGAUCGCUCCGAGUUCCAUGUUCAUCAGGUAGGUGACUGUUGUUUAUCUAUUAAAAAUAGAUGAUGCCAGCUUUCAGACUUUAUUGUUCAUUCAGUUUUAGGCUGUCAUAUUAAUUGCUUUAUUUUUCUGGGCUUCAUUCCCUUGAAAUUUCAGUAUAAUCAAAUUCUUUUUUUCUUGGCAAACUGCAUUUUGUUCAGUGUCUGAUUGGAUUUAUCAUUUCCAGGUUUUUGUGCCUAGUAAGGACGGUAGUACCAAGAUACCAAUGUUCAUUGUAGCCAAAAAGGAUAUCAAAUUGGAUGGAUCGCACCCUUGUUUAUUGUAUGGAUAUGGUGGAUUUAACGCAAGUAUAACACCUUCAUUUAGUGUCAGUCGUACUGUUCUCAUGAGGCAUCUUGGUGCUGUCUUCUGCAUUGCCAACAUCCGAGGCGGUGGAGAGUAUGGAGAGGAGUGGCAUAAAGACGGUGCACUUGCAAAGAAGCAGAAUUGCUUUGAUGAUUUCAUUUCUGCUUCCCAGUAUCUAAUAUCUGCUGGUUAUACCCAGUCUAGAAAGUUGUGUAUUGAAGGAGAAAGCAAUGGCGGGCUUCUUAUUGGGGCUUGCAUAAAUCAGGUGGAUUGCUUAGUUGAUUUUGUAUUUUUCAGUUUUCUGUGGUUAUUAUCGUAUUGAAUUCAUAAAAUAGCAUCGGUAAUUUUUUUCCCUCUUAUUACAGAGACCUGAUCUUUUUGGUUGUGCACUGGCUCAUGUUGGUGUGAUGGACAUGCUUCGGCUCCACAAGUUUACCAUAGGUUAGUGUAAAUCUUUUUAGCUAAGCAAUGCAAAAAUUUAACUAUUGUAUAUGUACUCAUCAAGAUUUGCUUUGUAGGUCAUGCAGGGUUUUCUGAAUACGGUUGUCCAGAGAAGAAGGAAGAGUUUGAUUGGCUAAUCAAGUGAGUAAAACCUUGUUCCCGGUCCAAAAAUAUUGUGCACUGGUGAUAGGCUUUUAUGUAUUUAAGUCCAAAGUUCUAAAUCUCUGAAAUGUUAAAUGUUUUCUACACCCAAUCUAGCAAUUGAUGAAAAACCCUUUUCCCUUGCAAAACCUAAUACCGUGUAGAGGUGGUUAACUUUGGUCAAUUUCACAGAAUGCGCAACCACUUCCCCUUCUUCCUUUCUUAUGAGCUCAAGAACUUGUGUUGCUUUGAUUCAGAAUAUUAUUUUUAUCAGCAUGACAUAGCACCUUAUGUCAUUUGAUCACUUAUCUGUGACAAUAAAAAAUGUGCUCUCUUGUCACUUGGUAACUGAUUAGUGUCUGACUUUCUUUCAACUUCUUUUUAUAAGCUAUUAGUUUAUAUGCUCAUUUUAUCACAUUUAUAUUCUGUAGGUACUCCCCAUUACAUAAUGUCAGAAGACCAUGGGAACAGGACCCUGAUAAACCAUCUCAAUACCCAUCUACCCUACUAUUGACAGCUGAUCACGAUGAUCGUGUUGUGCCUUUGCACUCGUUGAAGUUAUUGGCGGUGAGUCCUUAAUUAAGAAAUUAUGUAUUGUUUUGUUGUCUUAUGUUUUUUGCAUUUAUUUCUUCUUCUGCAAAGCCUAUGCCUACGCAUGGUUAGCUUGUGAUGAUCAAUGGGCGACUAUUUCAUGUUUCCUUCGUUCUAUUUAUUCUCAGACUAUGCAAUAUGUUUUAUGCACGAGCUUGGAAAAUAGCCCUCAGACCAAUCCAAUACUUGGUCUCAUCGAGUGCAAGGCUGGACACGGAGCUGGACGUCCAACACAGAAAAUGGUAAUUUAAUCUUAUUUUUACUUGGUUUUUGUGUAGUUGAUUCCUUAUUUACUAUUUACCUUUUACUUCCAUAUAUUAUUGCAGAUUGAUGAAGCUGCUGAUUGCUAUGGCUUCAUGGCAAAAAUGUUAGGAGCUUCUUGGAUUGAGUAAUUGAUGUAGAUCUGAAAGAAUGAAAAUGUUAGGAAAAGUUCUGGAACCGGAGACAGUUCCAUUUCUUUGGUUUUUUUUUUUUUUUUCAACAGAUGUGAUGGAACUUUUUUUUUUUUAAUUUAAAUAAGAGAUUAGUUGUGUCUCUAACUUUUAGUAAAAUUAAAUAAGUAAUGAUAGAAUAUUAAAUUUUUGUUUUAAAUUUUAUCUCAAAUGCGUGGUAUGUGAUGCAUUUAUCCAUUAAGUUAUUUAUAAAGUAAAUUAGUUGUAUUAUUUUAUCAUCUAAUUAAUAAAUACCACAUAAUUUAAAAUAAAUUUUAGGAUAAAAAUUGGGAUGUAUAUAAGGUCAUUAAUCUAAUAUUUAGGACAACAUUUAAAUUGAACUAAUCGAAAAAGAAAAUUACUGAUGUCUCCACAAGUACAAUAAAAAAAAUAUCAAAAAUAAAUAAAUAAACUAAAGAUAGAAGCGCAACAUUAAUAUCAUUAAUGUGAACUCAAAUGAUUACCGAGCAGAAACAUGAUAACAUAAACUAAUUUUUGAAUGGCAAAAAGAGCAGUAGUAUCGAUAUUAUCCAAUCAUUUUCCGGGCUUAUUUCGAUAAAAUAUCUCAAAAACAUUAGCGCACACACUUCUGAAAAUCAACUGGCACACUCACUCUGAAAAUCAAUUAACAAAAAUUUCCACGCCUUCAGAUAUUCGACCAAGCUAAGAAAAAAGACACUCCAAGCUGCGAGUAACAAAUACAAUGCACCAUCACAGAUAAUGAACCAACCAAAUGCACUAAUAUAUCAAGCAAAUAAAACAUUCCAUCGAUGACACAAGAGGAUCAAUAAAUUGAUCGUAGCAUAAUGCAGAAAGACUAAGCAGGAAAGUUUACCGCAGGACGUAAUUAAGAAUUUUGCUCAGUUGGUACACAUUUAAAAUAUAUUAUAAUUUUGAACAUUCACAUGACAAUAAAUAGCAUCGCGACUAUAAUAUUUAUUGAUAUUAUUAGUACUCCUCAGCCAGUUUCAUGUUUUUAAAUGAUAUAUGAAUGUGUUAUUAUCAAUGCAUGCUUAAUAUAAGAUACACUUGGUGUUGGCAACAUAACAACAUGAGUAAUGGACCGGUGUUCGGUGAGAUUUGGCGACAUAUCUAUAGUUUGUUUUUGUUGUUGGUUUUUUUAUACUUGGAAAUAUUCCAAAAACUAGCUGGCCUGUGCCCCACCUAGUCCAUUACUGAAAUCUGCAUCCGCCCAUGGGUCAGUCUUGAUUCUUUUGGCUUAACAAAGUAGCAAUGAAGCAGUUUGCUGUUCAAUGAGACUACUUUUCACAUUUGAAGAAGAGUCUAUUGUUGUUGUAUCGAGGCCUUUAUAGCAUAAUUCAUACCUUUACAAAUGAGGAGAUUAUUUACCCACAAUUCCACAAUUUGUGUAAAGAUAAAAUGAAUCUUUAUGAGAUUUUAAACCCUGGAUUGACGAACAUUGCACCGAUUUUGCUCGAAAUAGUGUUCAAUAAAAAAACCCAGACAUAGGAAUUUAAAUUCUCACCUGCCAGACAUUAUGAUUCCACUCACAUCUUGAGGAUUGUAAAGUGUGUCUUUCUAAACAUGCACAGAUUACAAACUUAAGCCGAGAAAUUAACACGAUAUACUAAAAUUUUACAAAAUUAAUGAUUUAUGUUCGAAGAUUGCUACCUCAAAGAUGGUGGUAUCGAAUUUAAUGAUUGAUGGCAGGGCUUUACUUGCUAAAUACGCUUCUGCUUCAAUAUUCAAAUGUUCAUAUCAAACUUCCACAUAACUUGAAUACAACUUAGACAUGAAAAAUAAAAUAAAAAUGAUUAUCAAUAAAUUUUGUUUUUUUCUAUGUUGGGUCCAAAUUUAUACAUAUACCUCUGAUAUCAUCACAAGUUAAAUAUGUUGGGGAAAAAUCAGGUUUUUAAAUUUUUUAUAAAACCUUUUGAAGAUCGCUCUCAUAUAAUAUAUAAGAAUUUGUAAUCUAAAAAUCGUACCUUGAAAAUCCAAUUUGACUUUUUCCUUUGAAGUGAUUUAGGCUCCUAGAUCAUGAUCCGCCACCACCACUCCUUUUGGAUCACGAUCCGUCACCACCACGCUUAUUAGAUCACGAACUGUCACCAAUGAUCUUCCAGGUUAUGACUCAAGUUCGAUCUGCACUUGACGUGUGGGCGCCUUUAUCACUACCAAAGCAACUAGCACGAGAAAAUUUUUUUCUCAACAAUAGAGAGAAAAAUCUUUUUCUCUGAUCUGUAUAAAGUGGCUUCUUUUUUUUCUUUAGAGAAAAUAAGCCUUUUAUAUCACCCUUUAGUGAAAACCCUAGGCUCCAAAUAAUCAAAAAACAAAACUCACCUUAUUUGCUUUUUCAAUAGGGGACCCAUAUUGUAAAAUAACAUAAGGCCCCUUACACAAAAGCUAAUUAAAUGGAGCCUCCCACUAAAUGAUAUAUUUAGGCUUUUGACCCAAAUAGCUAGUUAUCUUACUUAUUAGUCCAGUAGUGAUGCAGUCAAUUAAAUGAGCUAACCCGGGGAUCAUUUGGGAACAUACAAUAGUGGCUACAAUAAUUAGGCCUGUAAUUAAACUAGCUCAAUUAUUUAAUUCCAAAUCUACUCCACUAAAAGAUUGGAACUGACUUCCAUAAUUGUAUGCUCGAAUAAUAAUUCGUCCCAAGCCACAUUGAUUUCUUUACUGCACAAUCAUUUAUACCACAUCGUUAAUUAAAUUGAUAUCUCAACUGUCCAAUCAAUUUAAUAACAUCUUAUUCCUUGAUACUUACUAGUUUUCUCUAAUGAUCAUUUUCAACAUACUAAAUAUGUUGACACACUCUAGCUAGAGAAUUCUAUGAUUAAGUGCCGAAAACCCAUCAAGAGAUGUGUUGUACAAAUUUUAUAUUGUUAAUCUAUAACUCCAAUACUCAUAAAUGCUCCCACCAAGAUACUGGGUAAUCUAGACUACAAGUAUGUGUCAUGCCCAUUGGUAACUCAAAUGGAAUAACAAUUACAAUCAUGAAAUCAUAAUUAACUCAAGAUUAAGAUUAUAGUAAAAUCAAUGCCUAUGAGAUUUAAUAAGUCUGACAGUUAUUACAAAGUUAAUUAAAUCUCAUAUGUGAUCAUGUUCAAUGUAGUUGUACUACAUCAAUAAAUUCAUACAUGAUUAAGACAAAUCAUUCAAUGAAUUUAUUACAGUCUAUACCUAAAUAAAGUGCCCAACUUUAUUUAUCAACUGCGAACUAAAUUUAUUUAAUCAUAAGAUAACUUGUAUUUAUGUCUUCUGUGAAUCCACAUGGUGAUCACAUAAAUACAUAUAAUCUGAUUAAAUGGACUUUAAUACAAAUAUUAAUGCAAUUAAGAUAUUUGAAUAAAAUACCUCAUUUAUUUUAUUAAUCAGAAAAAUUGUUUAUUACAAUUAAAUAAACACAUAUGCUUUUAAAGAGUAUAUUUUUCCAACAAAAUAAUACACACUAACAAUGUGCAGGGAGUUCAAACCUUAAAAUCCCUUGUAGCACUAAAGAGAACAUUUUCAUUAAAUACAACGCUUAGUAGAACUUUGGCCUCCCAGUGGUAACCCGGGAUUUUGGUUUGAGUGAGGCCAUAAUGAUCGAAUUAACCAAUAACCCCCACCGCGGUGUUGCUUAUCACAUUUUGGUGAUCAAUGGUAUUGAUUAAUCACCAAGAAUGGUCUUUGUACUUAGUAUAUUUAGCACCUUAUGAGACCAUAAUGAUAUUGGUAAAUUAAUUGACUAACCAACAGUAGAAUAUUGUUACGAAAAGGUUAUCAUUUUAAGUGUUUUUCACUACUAUCAAAAACAAUUUCAGAUAAGUCAAAAAUGUUUAUUAAAGCAUAGACAAGCAGUAACAAUACUUUUUCUUAAAAAAAGAUUAAGUUCUUUUCUAGGAUCUAUUGCCAUCCCUCUUCUGGGAUUGCUUUUGCUGAAAAGCGCUUUUUUAGAUACGAUUUCUUUUUUAAAGUGUUUAGAGAAUGUUUUUGUAUAAUGCAAUAUUGAGUAAAAGAAUUUCGUAUAACUGUUUUUACUAAAUGCUUUGUGUUUUCUUGUUUAGUCUUUUUUUUUUUUUUUUUAUUCUUGUCUCUUGUGUAAAAGAAUUUCCUCUUUUUUUUAAAAAAAAAAAAAUUGCUCUUCGAAAUAGCUUCCAUCUUUAUAGUCAAGUUUUACAAAAUAAUCCUAAUUAAAUGCAUUUUUUUUUUCUGAAAAUACUCUUAACAUAUGCUACAAGGCCAAAAGGGUAACAAAUGAUGAGAUUACAAAACCAUUGAGGCAGCCUCAAUUCCUCCCAUUGGUAAAAUAUCAAGUUUGCUUAUUUCAAAUUCAAAAGCACAAUAAAGAAUCAUCAAUCGACCCCACCAAAUUUUUAAAUAUCACUCAAAUUCAAAAGCAUAAUAAAGAAUCAUCAAUCGACCCCACCAAAUUUUUAAAGAUCACUCAAAUCAUUCGUGUGAACAUGAUUUCGAAGUAUUUAAAAUGCUUGAUAAAAUGUUAACAAGGAGUUAUAUAAGUAGUUUGAUUAUCAACAAGACCUUUGAGUACCACUGGGGCUUUCCUUGUUAUACUAUUCUUCUCACUCAUUCUUCUGCAAACAGUGCUUACUAUGAUACCUUCAGCCGAUUUUCAAGGCCAUUGCGGUCUUGUUAAAUGGUACUAAUAUUCAUGAAGGUUUUAUGCUAAUUUAUCUCUGUCUUGAUAAUAGCCCAUGGGAUUGGUAUUAUACGUUAAUGGACCGACCAUAUUAUAAUAUAUAGUCUAGGGGUUGUUUGGCACCCCUCAUUACACCCCACGCUUGGUGCAGCAAGUGGCUGCACUAGCUAAACACGAUGCCGAAUUAGCUUUUCCCUUUUUUAAUAAUAAUAAAAAAUAAAUGUAACUUUUUAAUUUAAUAUAAUAUUAUAUAAUAUAAAUAUUUCAUUUUUUAUUUUUAUAUUAUUAUUAUAUAAAAUUAAUAAAUUUAUAAUUUAGUAUUCAAUAAUAUUACAUUAAAUUUUAAUUUUAUUAUGUUAAAAUAUAACUAAAUUAUGUGUUAUUUAAUUAUAUUAUAAUAAUUAAUAUGUAAAAUUGAUUAAUAUUCAAUAAGUUAAUACAACUAAUAAUAAAUACCUAAACACUAUAUGAAAAUAAAAAAUAUGACAUAAUAUUGAUUAUUUAAUUACAUUAUAGUAAUUAAUAUAUAAAAAUUGAUUAUUAUUCAAAAAUUUAAUAAAACUAAUAAUAAGUACUUAAAUAAUAUAUAAAAUAUUAUAUAAUAUUACAUAAUUUAAUUAUAUUACAAUAAUUAAUAUAUAAAAAUAUUUUUUAAAUAAUUUAAUUUAACUAAUAAUAAAUAUUAAAAUACGAAUAAAUUUGAAUAAUAUAAAUUUAAAAUUAAUAGUAAUAAUAUAAAUAAUGUAUAAAAUAUUAUUACAUAUACUACAGAACUCUUACUUGGAUUAUUUAGCACAAUUCAUUUUGUGAGUGAAUACAUUAUUGCAAUUAUUUUGUGAUUAUCUUGUGGUAUGUACAAGCUUUUAUUCUAUCAUCAUAAGAUGACUUUUGAACUAAUCUUGGAGGUUUUAAUUAUUCAUUUAUGUUGUUAUACUAGUUAGAGAUUAAUUGUUUAAAUUAUUUGGUUCGCUUUUAUUGCAUAUGUUAUAUAUUUAGAAAAUACUAAAAAAUAAAUGUUAUGCUUCCGAAAAUAUAUUUAAGGUUAUAAGCUUUGAUUUUUAUGAAGAAUUAUGAUAUUUUUACACAUUUAUACUUAAAAAUGUUAAAUUUCUAAAAUUCAAGACUCCUACAUUUAGUAUUUUUCUAAGUACUAACAAAUACUAUUUUCUAAAUAUAUAAUUUAUAUUAAUCACAAAAAAUUAAUACAAUACAAUGCAUCACCAAAUAUAAUAUAAUUCUAAAUUAAUACAGUACAUUGUAGCACCAAACUUUAUACAACAUUAUUAUAAUACAGUGCUAAUGCAAUAGAGUAUAAUACAAUACACCUGCAUUAAAAUAAUGCAAUACAACAUAAUAACAUAUAGUGUGCCAAAUGCAUGCUUAAUGAAAAUUAUACGAAAUAUUAUUAUUGUUGUUGUUUACCAUAAAACCGAAUCAAGUUGCCAAUGGGUGAUGCAAAUGAGGGGAAAAACCACAGCUUGGUAGUUUUAGAAAGCCAUUAUUUCAAGAGAAGGUGCAAUUAGCUGAUGGUAUAUGGCAAGUUGCACCUAAUAGCCUAAGAACAAAGGCUGCAAAUCUAAACAGAAACAAAAGGAAGAAAGGUGUAGUGCAGCAUGUGUCAAGAAACACUAGGCACGCAACGGCAAUACACAAAAACAGUCAUCCAAUGUUUCAUCUCUUUGGCAGAUUAUGUGACAUGUACUUGCCUCCAUCCGGUUGGAUUCCAUAUUGGAUUGAUGAUGAUGCAUUUCAGCUAAAAGGUAUUGCAGCCCACGUUGGGAAAAUAGAAUAUGAUGCAAUGCUGACGAUGAAAGUGAUAGGAGUUAACGCUAUUGAAGUAUAUAUUGCAUAAGAGAAUUUUGUUUUUCUUUAUGCUUUAAUUAAUUUUUAUGAUGUUGCAAUACUUUUCUAAUGACAACUUUUGGUAUUUUGCAUCUACUGUUUCAUGUUGUUGUAUAACUCAAUUAUCCCAAACAAGAAAGGAAUAAGACCAUUUGGAUUCAUAUGUCUAGGUUUUGUAUCACCCCAUCCUAGACAAAUACCAGACAUUUCCCAUCCCAACAGAGUAAAAGGUGUGUGCAAAUGCUUGAAAAAAGCCCGUAAAGGACAAUUCUUGUUCAUGCCAUACAAUCCUAAGUCUGGAAAUUUCAAAGUACAAUCAAGUGUUCUUAUCAUUAUUCAUUUAUUUUAUCUUGUCUUUCAUAAUUGUCGCUUUGUUUUCUUUGCUUUUCUCUAUUUUAACUUCCAUUGGGUUUUGGUUGUGAUUGAUGUGGUGAAAAAAGAAGUGUUUUAUUUGGAUCCCAAGGGGUACAAUGCUUCUGAUCCUAAUUUAGAAUAGCUCAUUAAAUUGUAUAUAUUUCUUUCCAGCUCAUAAUCCUUAUAUUCUCACUUUCUCUAAUGUAUUUUUGAUACUUUAACCAAUGUACUUUAUCAUAUAGUGCUAUGACACUGUUCUCAGCUGAAGAUUAUAAGGAAGAUGGAAUUAUGGCUCUAAGAUGAGAUUUGUGAAGGUAAACAAAUUACCUUAACUAAAAUGUUGUGUACCUAUCACUUUAAGCCUAAAAUCAAAUACAUUUAUAUAUUUUGUUUUUGGUUUAUAAUUGUCAAUAGACCCCUCAACAGCUGGGAUGCAUGAAAUGUGGCUAGUACAACUUGAGGUUUAUGAAAGACAUUAUAGCAGACCUUAGUUUGCUGAUGAAUAAUGUGAGUUAGUGAUGAAUAAUAUCAUAUGAAUGGUUUAUACCAUAUGUACUGCAUUGUUAUGGAACUUUGACAAUGUUGAUUUUAUAGUUUUCAGUUCCAUAGAAAGGUUGUAUAAACUCAGGCUGAGAUAGAUGAAGUUCGUUUAGAGUGGGUGAACCAUUGUUCUGAAAUCAUUAACGCAGCAAAAUAUGGUUAGUUUGAAUCUAAAACUAUACACAAACGUUUUUAUUACUUCUUAUAUAUUAUAAUUGGUUAGAGACAAUUUGAUUGUACACUCGAAUGAGUUAACCUCCUUAAUUGAGAUUAGUUAACUAUUGGAUCAUGAAUCACGUGUGUCAUUCCCUGAAUCUAUGGAGCAAAUGCAUUCUCUCUUUGACAAUUCAAAGUAUUUUAGACAAAGUGGCAAUAAUAGUGACUUGGCUAGCCACCCAGGUUUCUUGAACUAAGGCUAAUCUUCUAUUUGAACAACAAACAACUGCAGGCAGAGUUCUUAUCUUGAUAACAACAUUGCUAUUUAGAGAUGAGAUUGGUAAUAAUAGAGAAACUUGGUAGGUGCAUAUCAAUCUAUCCAUGGUAGUUGUAGAUGAAUUUGAAUAAUGAGGUAAAUUUUAAGGCAAAAAUUAAAAUAACAAUAAAGUUAAUAACUGAAAACAGUAAAAUACAAACAAGUUGAAUGAAAUAGCACAUGCCACUUAGUUAAUGGAAUCGGUUCUUGUAAUUGUAAGAGAAGAAAUAUAAUUGAAUUAUUCUUUUGAUCGAUUCAUAUAUCAUGUGAACAUAUGGUCUAUGUGUGUUUGGCAGUAAAUUUCUAUGCUUUCCAUUCAAACCAAAGCUUGCUUUUUAUUUUCAUACUUGCAGAAAAGUAAUUUUAUUUUUAUGUGUACCAUUUUGGUUUCAGCAAGGAAUUAAGAUAAGUUGCAAAUGAAACCUGAAGUUUUAUUUUAGUAGAUAAAUGUUUAUAAUGAUAUGUUGGCUAUACUCAUUGGUGUUGCACAUGCAAACUGAGUUUAAAUUUGUAAUGAUUCUGUUGUAUUUAAAACCUAAGAGUUUUACUAUAAUAGUUAAUUCUUUAUAAUGAUAGUGCUCGGUAUAUUCAUUUGAUGUUGCACAUGCAGGUUGAAAGAAACCGUUGAACUUGGGAGUUUGAUUGGGUAUUUGUUGAAAAUACCCAAUCAGUGGACGGUAUGUGUCUGGAUAAGGCUACUUUCUUUCUUUCUUUUUUUUUUUAAUUUUAUUUUUCACUUGCGUCCUUUCCACUUAACAAAACUUGUAUGUGACCGAUGAGUGGAUAGUCAUUUGGUGGUGGGCAUUCUGUCCAAAACACUACUAAAUUCAACUUAACCGAAUUGUUUCGGUUUAGAAAUCGGGUUGUGGUUUUGGUAUGUAUUGAGAAGCUCGACGACCCGACCCGAAUCAUCCGAUUCGUGAGUCAAUAUCUGAAACCCAAAAAAAAAAUCUUAAUCUAGCACACUGUUGAGAUACAAAUUUUUAUGCCCAAUUUGUACAAGAAAUUUUUUUCCAUUUUAAAUAUUACAUAAAUGCCAUUUAAAACUUACAAAAAUGUCGGUUAAAUUCCUUUUUUUAAUUCUAUUGUACAUAAACCAAGAUAGCUUAAACAUGUUUCAAACAUUUUUAUCAAUAAAAGCAACAUGACCCAAGGGGGCCUGAAUAAUGCGAUACAUGCACUUUAAAGGUUUAUAUAUAUAUAUAUAUAUAUAUAACUAAUAAUAAAAUAAAAUAUUGACAUGGUUCGGAUAAUAAUUAAUUAUUAAUUUUUUACUGAUCUCUAACAAGAUUAAAAAUAUUUUCGUCGGGAUAAUCAUACGUGUCUGAAAAAGAGAAACGGUUAAUAUUUUCUUGCCACAAAAUCAUGCAAGUCAUUUGAAAACUAGACAUUUUCAGUAAUAUUUAUUUUCCAAUUAAGAAUUCAUUAUAUAUAUAUAUAUAUAUUUAACAUGUAAAGAAACCCAUCAAUGUAUGCAUGAUUAUGGCUUUGAUUGCCUUUGAUGGAAGAUUGAUUGUUAAUCGAUUGUCUUGAUACAACGCUACUCUAUGAUUAUAUUGUGUAGUCCACAAAAUAUCCUCUUUUGUGCCACGUCGAAUGUGAAGCACGUGGUGAAAUUUUAAUAUUAAAAUUAAUUAAAAAUAUAUAUAUAAAGCCCGCGUGAACUGAAAGGCAAACAACCUCUCUAUCCACAACAACUAUUAAACUAAUGAGAGCAUGCAACAAAAUUUGCAUAAACCCCACCUCUAAUAUUUCAAAAUUACUGAAUCACCCACCGGAGUUUAAGACACAGCUGAUGACAUGAGAGAGAGAGAGAGAGAGCUGGCAAUAAAAGCAUAAAGUUCAGCUCCAUUAACGAUCUUUAUGAUACCUGCAUUACAGCAUUAAGUCAUUGGGUUUGGCUACAAUGCCGUUGGCAUUCUAGCCAGCACCAUGCCGAGCUCUCAAAAAGAGAGCCCGGUUGUCUUUGGUUGCCAUUUGGCAACCAAAGACUUGGUGCAGGCGGUUAACAGACCGGUUGCACCUUUUUUAAAAAUAAAUAAAUAAAUACAAUAUAAAAAUGAAAAAAAUUAAAUAAAAUGUAAUUUUUUUUUAUAAUAUAAUUAAUAGCAAAAGAUAAAGAAAUUGAAUAAUAUAAUACAAUAUAAUAUAAUUAAAUAAAACAAUAAAGCAAUUUAAAAUGAAAAAAAUAGUAUUUCAUGUUUAGCGUCCGUUGUUGAAUGUCCGACGGUAGGAUUUCAUAUUUGACGUCAGAUGUUGCAUGUUUUGGAUAAACCCAAAAUAAAGAAUAUUCUCCAAUAUUCUCGUCCGUUUCAUGUUUGACGUCCAUGUUGCGAACUUUACGUGAUAAGUUGUAUAUUUCAUGUGAAGUGUUGCUAGUUUCAUGUUUAACGUCAGUUGUUGUAUGUCCGACGGUAGGAUUUCAUAUUUGACGUAUAUGUUGCAUGUUUUGGAUAAAGCCAAAAUAAAGAAUAUUCUCGAAUAUUCUCGCCCGUUUCAUGUUUGACGUCCAUGUUGCGAACUUUGCGUGAUAAGUUGUAUAUUUCACGUGAGGUGUUGCAAGUUUCAUAUUUUACGUCAGUUGUUGCAUGUCCGAUGGUAGGAUUUCAUGUUUGACGUCAUAUGUUGCAUGUUUUGGAUAAAGCCAAAAUAAAGAAUAUUCUCGAAUAUUCUCGCCCGUUCCAUGUUUGACGUCCAUGUUGCGAACUUUACGUGAUAAGUUGUAUAUUUCACGUGAGGUGUGGCAAGUUUCAUGUUUAACGUUAGUUGUUGCAUGUCCGAUGGUAGGAUUUCGUGUUUGACGUACGAUGUUGCAUGUUUUAGAUAAAGCCAAAAUAAAGAAUAUUCUCGAAUAUUCUCACCCGUUUCAUGUUUGACGUCCAUGUUGCGAACUUUACGUGAUAAGUUGUAUAUUUCACGUGAAGUGUUGCAAGUUUCAUGUUUGACGUCAGUUGUUGCAUGUCCGAUGGUAGGAUUUCAUGUUUGACGUAUGAUGUUGCAUGUUUUGGAUAAAGCCAAAAUAAAGAAUAUUCUCGAAUAUUCUCACCCGUUUCAUGUUUGACGUCCAUGUUGCGCACUUUACGUGAUAAGUUGUAUAUUUCAUAUGAGGUAUUGCAAGUUUCAUGUUUAAUGUCAGUUGUUGCAUGUCCGACGGUAGGAUUUCAUGUUUGACGUCAGAUGUUGCAUGUUUUGGAUAAAGCCAAAAUAAAGAAUAUUCUCGAGUAUUCCCACCCGUUUCAUGUUUGACGUCGAAGUUGCGAACUUUACGAGAUAAGUUGUAUAUUUCGCGUACAGUGUUGCAGGUUGCAUGUUUAACGUCUGUUGUUGCAUGUCCGACGUCCCGCUUGCAUGUUUGAUGUUAGAUGUUGCAUGUUUUAGAUAAAUCCAAAAUAAAGAAUAUUCUCGAAUAUUCUCACCCGUUUCAUGUUUGACGUCGAAGUAGCGAACUUUACGUGAUAAGUUGCAUAUUUCGCGUGAAGUGUUGCAAGUUUCAUAUUUAACGUCAGUUGUUGCAUGUCGGACGUAACGGCUGCAUGUUUGACGUUAGAUGUUGCAUGUCUUGAAUAAAGUCAAAAUAAAGAAUAUUCCCGAAUAUUCUCGCCCGUUUCAUGUUUGACGUUGAAAUUGCAUACUUUAUGUGAUAUGUUGCAUAUUUGACGUGAACUAUUGCAGGUUUCAUGUUUUAUGUCAGUUGUUGCAUGUCGGACGUCACAGUUGCAUGUUUGAUUUUAGAUGUUGCAUGUCUUGAAUAAAGCCAAAAUAAAGAAUAUUCUUGAAUAUUCUUUUCCGUUUCAUGUUUGACGUGGAAGUUGUGAACUUUACGUGAUAAGUUGCAUAUUUCACGUGAAGUGUUGCAAGUUUCAUGUUUAACAUCAGUUGUUGCAUGUCGGACGUAACGGCUUCAUGUUUAACAUUAGAUGUUGCAUGUCUUGAAUAAAGGCAAAAUAAAGAAUAUUCCCGAAUAUUCUCGCCCGUUUCAUGUUUGACGUCGAAAUUGCAUACUUUAUGUGAUAAGUUGCUUAUUUGACGUGAACUGUUGCAAGUUUUAUGUUUUACGUCAGUUGUUGCAUGUCGGACGUCACGGUUUCAUGUUUGACUUUAGAUAUUGUAUGUCCUGAAUAAAGCCAAAAUAAAGAAUAUUCCCGUAUAUUUUUCAGAGUAAUUCUAGAAAUAACGGUUAGCCGUUAUCAGAUAAUGGUUGACCGUUAUCUUCCAGAAUCAAAUUAGUAGUUACACUAAUUUCUAGAAGAUAAUGGUGAACCGUCAUUAAAUAACGGCUCACCGUUAUCGUCCAGAAUCAUUUUCGACGAUAAGGGUGAAUCGAUUUUGGAUUACGGCUAACCGUUAUCUUCCAGAAUCAUUCCGGAGGGAUAUGGAUGUGAAUUAUAUUCACCCAUACUUUGGUCUUGGAUGGUUGAUAUGAAUUUGAAUAUUUGAUAAUCCAUAUAUUAUGUGAUCAAUUUAUUGCUAAUAUGGAUAUGAAAUAUUUUAUCUCAUAUUUGAUGUUAUUAAUUUAUUAAUUGUAAUAUGGAUGGGAAUUAUAUUAACCCAAAGGCUAAAUAUGAGUAUUCCAUAGAAUAAUAGCAAGUUACAUUUCUAUCAAGCAUUUGACAAAUAUUUAAUUUUCUAUCAAGCUGAUUAAUAUAAAAAAAAUAUCAAACACUUAUAUUCAUAACUAAAUACAAAAUAAUAGUGCAUUUCAAAAUUCCUUGACAAUUCAAAUGAUAAUUUAUAAUUAAACUUAUUUUUAAUAUUUUUUAAUUAUUAAUUAAAUUUAAUUAAGCCAAUCUAUUAAGUUUUAAUUUUUUAUUAUUAUUAACUAAGGUUAAUUAAGUGAAUCUAUUAAGAAACAAAUAUGAAAAUGUUGCCUUAGCGUUAAAAUUAUUUGGUAAUUCAAGUGAUUAUUGUUUGAUACUCCAAGUAAUAAUUUAUCAAUUUAACUAUUAUUUGAACCAUUUAUUUUGUAAUUUGUUUAAUUUUUCAAGCGAAAACUAACUACGAUGACAAUUUUAUAUUACCAAACAACAAAAAUGUUAAGUUCCAUUGGUAAUUUUUAAAUUUUUUAUUCUGCAUAAAGGGUCAAAUUCAUUGUUGCAAUUUACUAAGGAAAGAGUCUCUUAUAAUUGAAUUAAGCUCAUAAAAGGAAUGCGUAUUGAUAAAAACUAUAGAUUAUAUAACUAAAUUGCAAAAAUUAAAUUGGGCAAGACAAGUAAGUUUAAUACUACAAGGAAGCAAUCAAAACUAGCAACACAUAUAUGGCAUGUGCAUUAGUUUAGCAUUAUUAAUAUCUAAAUUGAUAGCAAAUACCCAAAAUAAGAUCACAUUUUCUUCGGCUAUUCUUCUAGUAUUGUAGAAAAUUUGUAGAAGAUCAUGAAAAAGGGGGGGGGGGGGGAAAUAACUUUUUCCAAACUAUAAAAUGGAUACCCUAAAAUAAGUGCUUAUUUUGACAUAAUCAAGCAAUAAAUUGUAAAAACGUACAAAUAUAUCAUAGCUGGAAUUAAAGAAGCCAUAACAAGAAUAUUCCCCGUAGAUAACUCAUCUAGGGAAGAGAUUGUUUAUGAUAUAAAAUUUUAGUGGUAACAAUCAGAUUAAUAAGCAUAAGCAUUGACAAAAGUAUCAAGUCAAGUUGCGAUAAAAACCUAAUGACUAACUGGAGUAGAUUCAUCUAACACACUAAAAUGCCUAUAAAAUUGUCGAAAUCCAUCAUUCACAUGCAGAGUUGCAGGAAGCUUUAGCAUGUCAUGUUGGCUAUUGAGCUUGGCAACAUCAAUGGGAGUCUUGCGAUCCAUGUUCUGCAGAGUUCUGUGGUAACAGAAGAUAAUAUAGUAGAAAGAAUUAAUCAUAUAGCAUUUUAUAAAAUAGAGACGGGAGUUAAAACAAUAUUGGAUGUUGGCUUACACAGCAGCACCGUUCUUCAACAGAGGGGCUACACAUUCCUUCUAGUCAUAAUUAGCUACAUAAUGUAAGGUAGUACUUGUUCUUAUCCACAGCAUCCACAUUUGCUCCAGCCUCAAGUAGGAGUUGAGCACAUUCCACCUAAAGCAUUCAAGUGCAUUUGAUUAACUCCAUGUCAUAAACUUGGCCAAUUUGCCAAGGAAGUUUUCAAUAAAAAACUAACUAGAAAGUGGUCCUAAUUAUCCCUAGGAGAUGAAUAAUUGAUGCCAUAAACCAUAGAAGUUAGCUGAAACUGUCACUAGAAAGCCCCAGUUAGCACAAAUACUAGUUUGCGAUUGGCUUUAUUAGCACUUCCUCAACUAAAUAACCAAAAACACAAAACGUUAUGUAAUAUUUAAUUCUAUCCAAAUCAUACGCCCUGCCUUUAAAACUCAAACAAAAAGGAACAAGAAAAAUAAGUAAGAAUGGGUAAAGCUCAGAUUGUUUUACCUCACCAUAUCCGCAGGCAAAAUGCAACGUUGUCCUUCCUUCUAAAUCUUCCUCAUCCUUAUUAGCACUGGCUGCUAGUUUAUUUUUCAUACCCUAAUUGAAGAGCAGUAAGAAAAAAUUAAACUUUUAGCAAGAUACUAGAAAAAAGUACAUUGCAUCAAAUGUAUACACUAAAUCAACUUCAGUAGUGUUAGCACAACAUAAAACUAGAAACAAGAAUUUCUGUUAAAUAAUAGUGACAGAAAAAAAUUUACAAAUUUUGUUUUGGUUGAUUGAAUAAGCAGAACAUGUUAUUUUUCCACAACAAGUUGCAUUGCAUAAAAGAAAAAGAACAUUAGAGAAUCAAUAAAUCCAAUAUUUUGAAGAGAACUUAGAGAUUUGGCCUCCAUAUACUCUUGAAUAGCCUUGCAAGAUGCAUAAGAUUAGUUCACAUCCAGUCCCAAUUCAGGCACAAUAUAAUGGCUACACCUAAUUAAACAAAUUAAAAAGAAAAAUCACAAAAAAUAAAGAAUAAUGCUAGUGAUAUACAAAAUACCAGUCAUUAAAUAAUAAUUUCACCUCUCCUUGAUGAUAAAUAUUAAAAACGGAUGGAUGCCGUUGGGACUCAAAUAAGCAUCACUCAUAAACAAAUAAAAAUCUCGAGAACGCAAGUGAGGAAAGGAAAAAUGAUCAAAGAUAAUAGAAAAAACGAGGACUUACUAGUUAGCAUCAAAACACUAGGUCCUUUACAUGACGAGAACAGAGGAGUUACCUCGAGCCACACUGAUCUUCUUGCAACUCAUCUGUGCUGCUCUUCCUGUCCUAGAAUGACUCCAAACAUAAACCUCAACUCUUUUUUUGGUUUCAUUCCAGGAUACGCCACUACAUAGAUUUUUAAAGAUUGCUCUGCAACCCCAAAAUAAUUAACUCAAAAUUCACAACCAAAAAAAAAAAAAAAAGCCGGACCCAGAACAAUGGGUAAGUUCUUACCAAAUUAUUGAGCGCCCAUCUUUAGUAUUCCUAGCAAAGAGUGUAGAGCUCAAAACAAGCAAACAACACCUAAAACCAAACAAGAAAAAAUUAGGGUACCUGUUGUGCAAAAUUUUAAUGUACUCGCAAGCGCACGAAUCUAUUGUAGUAUAGAUCAAUGGUGACGAGUGUCGAUCCCACGAGGAGGUGGAUUUUAAUUGUGUAUAGAAUUAAUUUUGCAAAUGGUUGAUUGGAUCUGUGGUGGAAAUGAUUUGGAAUAUGCUAAAACUUAAAUUAAAAUGGCGAGAAUAAAUUGAAGAGAAUUCUAUUGAAAUGACGUACUUGGGUAUCUGGAUCCGUAUCAACAUGCAUCAUGGGCUAAAUAAUCUGUAUUAAUGCCAAUUAAAUCAUGAGGGGGGAAUCCACACCUCAUGAACCACGCUCUAAUCGAUAUGGUGCUAAGGGCUUAUCGUGCCAAAUAAUAAUAACCUUAUACUAGAGAGCCGGUGUAACCAAGGCGGUAUCUAGACAAGAUCAGUAUUAUUUGUCGACGAGAAGUCAAAACAUCCACAAAAACUAGAGGGGAAGAGAAAAUAAAUUUACCAAAUUAAGCCCAUGACACAUGUUGAGACUUCACCUUCAACCCAAGCUUGAAAGGAAAUUAGCUACUCAUAAUUGAACUAGGGGUAAAAUAGGAAUUUAUUAAAAUACAAAGAAAAUACAAGAUGGAGAAGGAAUUACAGAAAAUGGAUCCCAAAAAUGGAUUCAGAGAUAUCAAAUUAGGGGGGGGAGGCCCCCUUUUUAUAGAUACAUGGAGUAAAUCAUGGCCAUCGGAUUAAAAACAGUUUGGACGCUCAGGAUUGCGCCACGUCAUCAGUCAACAGUCCACGGUUUGACCACGCGGAUGAACAGUAACACGGUUUGACCCGGAUGAACAGUAACGCGGUUUGGUUGAAAAUAAUCCUGUGUGAUGCAUGCACCGUACGCGAGAUUUUUCGUCCACUGAUAUGCUGCCACGUCACCGUCAACAGUACAUAAGAAUUUUAGUCCAACAGGAUCGUGACACCUCAUCAGUCAAUGCCACAUCAUCGGUCAAUGCCACGUCAUCGAUCCGUCUUUGUGAACAGUGUCGUGAACAGUAACGUAGACAGUACCGUAUACGUGAAUAGUACCGUACAUGUGAAUAGUGCCAUUUUUCCUUUUAUGCUCCUCCUAAGGUUUUCGACCGUCCUGAGUUCAAAAGUGAUGUCCGUUUUGCCGUCUGAUCUCUCCUUUAUUGUGAAAUGACUAUAAUGCCCCUAAAAUACAUAAAAUACUUAAUUAAAAUAACACACACGUAAUUACAUCACAAGAAGGUUAAAUACAUAAAAGUAAGGGUUGUUAGUAAGACUUGAAAUGUAAAAUGACGGUUUUCUCCUUUAUAAAUAUGCAUUUUCUAACACUCAACACACCCCCCAACCAGCUUAUUGCUAGUCCCUAGCAAAUAAAGCGAAAACAAAAUUCAAAUUCAAAAUGAUUUUUUUUUUUUUUUUUUUUUUUUGAAACACUCGUGUUUAUUCAAUCAGAUUAAUGAUAGCAAUCAAAUAAAAGUAUAAGCAUUAUCUCCAGUCUAAAGCAACAUCACACCCACAUCAACCAUCCACAUGAAUUAGCCCAGUAGACUUUGUUAUAGCUACUUUCAAGAAUGACAUGUCAAACCCCAAAAUCUCACUGGAAGUAGUGACACUCUCACAAAGAAAUUAAAACCCAAUAAACAUAGUCACUCCAAUGAAUGGUAAUUGAGAGAGAAAAUAAUAAAGAAAUGAUAUCACAUGCUCUCACCAAGAUGAAAUAAAUAUGCCCUCAGCUUAGAAAUAAUACGAUCUCAAGUCAAAUAAAAUGUUAGUCAACCCACUUUAUUUAUCUUCUUUUUUUUUUUUUUUUUUAUUAUUAUGCAUCACUACAUCUUUUUAGCCCAUAUAACUAGCUUCUACUUCAAACUAUAGUUCCCUAAAAUCAAGAAGGACUUUUAUUAGGACGUAACGUAGGCUAGGGAUAUGGCUAACAAAGAAAGGAAAUAAGGAAAACAAAGUGUAUGUUUGAGAAAAAUGCAGAAUUUUUUUUUUUUUUUUUUUUUUUUUGCUUUUAUUUGGCAUAACUUCACUGAACAACAUAAUUAUUUACAUUUUCUCAAACAUAAAUAGGUGAUGGAACUUAAAAGACAUUGGGUAAUACUCCAAAUCGGAGUGGGUCAAGAUGAUAAGUUGACAAAGAAAAGGUUUUUGUUCUUUUUUUUUUUUUUUUUUUUUUUUUUUUUUUUUUUUUUUUUUUUAAAGGCUCAAAAGGGGUAACUAUGGAUAUUUAAUAAAAGGGAUGGCUAGAAAGGCUCAAACGGAUCAAAGAUGGCCUUUCCAUCGUCUUUUAGGGCUCUAAAUAAUUAUCCAUAUCUACUAGUUAGAUGGGCCUCCCAAUGUAGCAACACACAUUUUUUUCUUUUUUUUUUUUUUUUUAAUUUUACCAUAUUUUUUUUUUUUUUAAAGGGUUAACUUAAAAGAAAUCUAGAGAUCUUGUAUAAAAUAAUAAACUGCUAAGCUGUAUAGAGAAUGGGCAAAAGGGUUACUCUCCAAGAAAAUGAUAGGCUCAACUACUCACUUGGCACUUAUUUAUGACAUGUUCAUUCCUUCAAGCAACUCAUAUUUGUCUCCGACAUCAACAUGUAAAGUAGCAAACAUAGCGUAACAUCACUUAAGACCAAAGAUAAUACAAAUACUAAAAUUUGAAAUUAAUCAUGUCAUCCAAUGUUAAAACAAAUAACACAAUUUUUUUUUUUUUUUUUUUUAAACAACAUUCUACCCCCCAACCUAUUCUAAACAUGAAAGGAAAAUAUGCAUGCAGAAAUGUGAAAAUGAUGUAGAAAAAUUAAUUAGAAAAAGAAUUUUUUUUUUUUUAAACUAAGAAGAUGCGUUUCUAGAGGCACUACACUCCAUAUUCAGCCAUCUUCGACUCAAAAAUUUGAAACUACAUAUUUAUAAAGGAGAAAAAGGAAGAAAACAGGUUUUUUUUUUUUUUUUUUUU